Molecule: long non-coding RNA, 98175 nt
Filed under: Setaria viridis
Lineage: Eukaryota; Viridiplantae; Streptophyta; Magnoliopsida; Poales; Poaceae
Description: long non-coding RNA (SVIR_LNC005940)
Source: RNAcentral
CGUGCCAGCGUUCCCACGGGUGUUUCCCAGUGUAUUUAUGCAUGCUCCUUGUAAGAAUAAUUUUUACUGGCGAUCAUAUGGGCUGUAGUUCUUGCAAUGUAUGAAGGUUUUCUUUGCUCUAGUGUUUUUUUUUCUUUAAUCUGAUGAUUUAGAAGAAUCACUUGUAAGAAAUGGAAGAACGCAAAUUAAGCAGGAUGUGGAACUAGCAGGUCACUCCUGAUUUCAUUUUCUUUUUCCCUCAUGGUCAACUCAUGGCGUGCGUAGCGUCAAUCGGUGAUCCGUUUCCUCUUAUUUUGCGAUCAACUUGCCGUUGUUCAUGGGCGCGGAUUUCAGGCCGAUCGAACCGGUGAGCAUGCGUGUUCCAUGCUCGAUCUCUAUCAGUUUCCAAAUCUUUUUAAUUCAAUGCUCAUCUGCACGGGUCACGAUUGCGCAUAGUACACGUACAGCUCAGUUCUUCCCAUGGAUCGCGACCUGUUCGCAGCAUAUGGCCAGCUAGUACUGAUAGUUGCAGCUCUGAGCCUGUGAAUCUGUGAAAGCCAUGCCAUGAUCCGAUCCUCCCCCUGAUCCUCCUGCAUGAAACCUGGUCUCCUGAAGAGCUACUUCGGUUUACAGUGCUGGUUCAGCCAACCAAACGAAGAAACACGGUCGUAUCCGUGUUUGAUAUUAAGAAGAUGGGACAUUCCACGGGCAUCUAACAGCAUCGUCGCACCAACGAUGCCGGUGCCUCUAAUAUUUAAGAAAACAGAAUGACAGAAGAGUGUUCAGCAGAAUUAGCAGGGGUACCCCCAAUCUUUGCAAACGGGCAACUGCUGUUCAGUGUUCAUUGAACAUAUCACUUGCCUCUCGACAAGGAAUCAGCGGCAAGCAUGCAUCAAAUGACAGAUGUAAUAGCAACAUAUGUAACAUUUAGUCAUAAAAAUCUAAACUUUAUAACUUUUGAUUGACAUGUGCUAACGACAUAUUCCAAUGUACAACUUUUUUUUUUGCUAUGAUUUGGUAAUGUACACUAUGUUGUGGUCAAUUUCAACUUAAAAGAAUUCCUAAUGCGCUUCACAAAAGUAGAUGUUGUAUUAAUUUCUUUAUUUGCAACCUUAGAUAAAAAUCUAAACUUUAUAACUUUUGAUUGACAAGUUUGCUAACGACAUAUUCCAACUUCCAAUGUACAACUAUUUUGCUAUAAUUUGGUAAUACCAACAUUAUGUUGUGGUCAAUUUCAACUUAAAAGAAGUCCUAAUGCGCUUCACAAAAGUAGAUGUGUAUUAAUCUCUGUAUUUGCAACCUUAGAUAAAAAAAAAGCCAGUAGUUAGGCAAGGGCCACUAUCCGAAACCAGUUGCACAAAACAAGAUUAUCAUAGUCCACCUCGAUGGCAAAUGUGUGGAUCCCAUGACGGCUUGUUUGGGCUGAUCUGUUAAACGCUAUUUUUCUUUUGUCAAAUCUUAGCCCAAUCUACAUAUAUGGGCUGAUCUGUUAAACGCUAAUUUUUUUGUCCUACUUGCGUACUGGGCCAGAAUCGGCCCAUACACAAACAGGCCCGGGUGAACCCAACUAGGCACACAGCUCGCCACAAAACCGGACUGCCAAUGUUUUUUUUUAAACAAAACCGGGCUGCCUGCCACUGCCCGAUCGGACGGAAGGAUCGUACUCAGGGUCUUCCGUCCUUCGAGGUAUGAUGAUUUGCACGUUUGAUCCAUAGACUUUUAAUUUUCAAGUACAUCGGAUUUUGAUAUCAAUUAGAACUAAUUAUAAAAUUAAUUGCACAAAUCGUGACUAAUUCACGAGACGAAUCUAUUAAAUCUGAUUAAUUCAUGAUAUUUACUCCAUGGUCAAAUUAUGAACUAAUUACACGAUUCAUCUCGCGAAUUAGGCUUCAUUUAUGCAAUUAAUUUUGUAAUUAAUCUAUAUUUAAUACUCCUAAUUAAUAUCUAAACAUUAGAUAUGACAGGGAUUAAACUUUAAUCAAGAACCAAACAAGCCUUAAACGUUUAAGCAUCCAUCUCUAAGGGGGUGUUUGGGAGGAGUGGGCUAAAUUUUAACCCUGUCACAUCGGAUAUUCGGAUACUAAUUAGGAGGACUAAGCAUAAGCUAAUUACAAAACUAAUUGCAGAACCCCUAGGCUAAAUCGCGAGACGAAUCUAUUAAACCUAAUUAAUCCAUCAAUAAUGAAUAGUUACUGUAGCACCACAUUGUCAAAUCAUGGACUAAUUAGGCUUAAUAGAUUCGUCUCGCGAUUUAGUAUAGGGGUUGUGUAAUUAGUUUUGUAAUUAAUCUAGAUUUAAUACUCCUAAUUAGUGUCAAACAUUCGAUGUGACGGGGGGUUAAAAUUUAGUCCCCUCCCCAAACACCCCCUAACUAUGCCGGCACCCACGAUUCAAGUCUUGUCACCCUUGAUACCGAGGUCAUCAAUAAUGCUGUUCUGUGGAUAUCCCAAUCAUCCAUAAAAAAACUAGAGAUUGCACUAUCUACUGUAUCACUCAACAUCAAACAGUAACGCGGCUGGCUCCACAAUUUCAACGCUCAUCACCACGACCCUAGCAGCCGCCACUGCCAAGUCCGUAAUAACUAUCGGGCUGUAUCAGUUAUCUGUCUUUUUUUUUAUAAGGGCAAUUUUAGUAUAUGAUUUCGUCGUAACUGUCAUGUUAUCUAUUUAAUGAAAUGAAAUUGUCAUUCUUAAGGUAUAGUUUCAUUGCACAGUUUUGUACAUAGCAUACAACAUUUAAUUUGUACGUGGAGUUAUGAUCAAAUGUGUCUUGGGAUGAAACUAUAACAUCUUCAGUGCAAGUUUUAUUAUGUUUCAUGGGACUUGGUAACGAUACCAAGUAGGUUUCAUGAGGAUGAAACUCCCCUCUCCUCUCUCCUCUUAAUUAGGUUGCCAAGUCAGCCAAACUGUUGAUGUGGCAUAAAAUUUAAUGUCCAUAAAACUCCCAUAACACCCCACUGAGACUGGUCUAAGGCUAAUCCCAGUUGGAGUUUCAUAGAGGUUUCAUGCACAUUAAAUACAAUGACACAUCAGUAUAUGGGAUGACAUUACAACAUAAUUAUGAAGAGAGAGAAGGACUUUCAUCAGGAUGAAACUGUGUAUGCACUGUUUCCAAAACUAUAAAACUUGUAUUGGGGGCUAGAAAGUUUCAUUUCAUCUCACCAUAUCCAAUCACAUGCCUUGCAAUUAAAUGGUAUGCCCAGCCUAUAAAAUCAUGAAAUAAAACUUUGCACUGUGGGGAUUGGUUUCAUUCAUCAACUCAAACCUCUUUUGGUGACAUGUCACUCUUGGAAUGGGAAUAACCUAAAUAAACCGUGAUGUUUCAUUUUCCUCGUGCUUGUUUGUGCCAUGUUGUCCAUAAUUUUACUGCCUUGCAGCCACAACAAUGGACAGCUAAACUUCUUCUAAAAAUCUAACUAUUACUAUUACUAAUUGGAGGUUCCUUUUGAAGGCUCUAGGUGAAGCUAUCUAGGAUCCUACAUGGACACUCUAGAAAAAGAGAGAAAUUUUAGAAAUUCUUAAAAAAACAAAACAUCUAAUCAUCAAAUCAGUAGACUCAAAUUAUCAUAGCUAUUGGAUGAAAACUUCGAGUCCAUUAAAUAAAUUCAAGUACAUAUCUGCGAUACAAAGUGAAAAGUUAAAGAUUUACAAUCGGAUAAAGAUAAUAAACAUAUAUCUAUAUAAGUAUUGUGUUCGAAUAUUUAACAAAUGAGUAGUAGCUCAAAGUAACAGUUUCUGUAGCAAUAUGGUCUCAUUUUUUUCAUUAGAGACUCUGCAUUAGUUCUGACGAGACACGCUAGAAAGAAACACAAAUCCUAAAAAUUCUCACAAAAAUCAGAAACAUCAAACAUCAACCAUGUAAACUUUAAUAAUCAUAGCCAUUGGUCUAUUAUGUUUUAUAAAAAAAUUACCCAGCACCGUCAUUAUGAAAAUAUUCUAAAAUAAACCCUAAACAUAUAUCUAAAUUACCGGGCUUUGCCAUUAUAAAAAAUUAUCUAAGGUAACCCCAUAAUCUUAAUCCAAUAUACUUAUGCAUAUGAUUAUCAAUCAUAACUUAAAAUGUCAUUCUAAAUUUGUAUCUAAAUUAACCACAUAUGUUGUUAUUAAAAAUAAUCUAAAGUAAAUACCUAAAUCGUGAUCUAAUUAUAUUCAUGUGCAUCGUAUAGAAAUGUCCAAAAGUAAACUAAUAUAUGAUUCUAAAUUACCUAUUUGUGUAACUAUUUAUGUCAUUGUUAAUAUUGAAAUACUAAUUUAAAGUAUAUAGUUAUGAGUAGUAGGUAAACAAUUUUGAUUAUUAGCUAGGAGUUUAAUUUCUAAAUAAUUUUUAAAUACAAUAAUUUUUAAAAAUACUAGCCCGUGCGGGAGAAUAAGUUGAUGGACUAGUUGAUGGACUAGUAGACCUUAAACCGCUAACGACCAAUUAAGCACAUGUUGAUAAAUGAUAAGCUUCACAAACAAACACUAGCUGACCAUGAAAUUUAUAAUAAAGGUAGCAAGGGUACUAAAAUUAUGAAGUCUUAUAUUUGGUCUAGUCUACUUUGGAGAAAGUACGUAAGUAAGGAAUGAACAAAAUCUAAUUUAUUCUACGACAAACAAAAGAGCGGACCAAGAAAUUUGUAACCUUGUAGCUGAUGAUGGUUAGGUGAGGGAGUCACAAGUCACCAACUCCUACUCCCUCCGUUCCAAAUUGUAGAUCGUUUUAACUUUUUUAGAUUCAUAGAUUUUGUUAUGCACAUAGAUAUACCCCCUGUCUAGAUGUACAAUAAUAUCUAUAUAUCUAAAAAAGUCAAACAACAUAUAAUUUGGGACGGAUGGAGUACUAAUUAACCUCAGUUAGAAAUCAAGUUUGUGACUGAUAGUCUUGCUCACGUAAAGCUGCAUACCCACAUCCUCAGGUAGUGUAUAGGCAUCUAUCACACUUGAUUUCUUACGACUGAACAAGUUCACAAUCAUCUAAUUAACCUCUAGUUAUGGCAUCACCGAUGUAAAUAAAGGAUCCCACACUCUUACCACCGGAGCAAUACUUUAUGUUUUUCCUGUGCCUGUCUGUGUGCCAUAACCCAAUCAUCCCAGUUAGAGAAUUUGCAGUGUCAUGCUCUGAUGCUCGUCAGCAAAAUUAAAUGUCCCACUAGCUCUGCAACAACUCAACGCCCACCCACCAUGACCUGCGCGCAGCCAUCACACUGUCAAAGCCCCGUUUACCACUGGAUCAAUUAUCUUGCCUUCUUCCAAGACAAAUUGCGCUUGCUCAUUUUCCUCGUGCAUCUUCCUGCCAUGCCAUGUUGCUUAUUACUAUUACUGCUAAUGUCAAUGACAUUCCUGCUGCGAGCUAGUAUGCGACAACGGACAAGUGAGCUUUUCUUCAAAUAAUGAGCCUGUGAAACCGAUAGCACAUGUUGAUAAGCUUCAGAGACAUUUUCGCGGACCGGAUAGUCGUGGCUGAAUCACCAAAACCUACUAGGAAGCCUAGUCAAACAAAUAAAUUCCUCAUUAACCACAUCGUCAUGACUCUUCAUGUUCAUUUGAAAGGGAGUUAAUUUACCCAAUUAUCCGGGACAGCGCAUCUGACCACGCUAUGCCGCUUGCAGCCUUCGUUAUCAUUAUCCUACAUACUUAAAUUACCCAUAAGACUCGUUCGCGCCCGUAACUACCAGCUCAACGAUUGGCCGUUCAGACUAACGUUGCACCUGCUUUUCUUCUGUCUAACUUGACACAAGCGAACACUUCACCUACCACGUCGGCACCUCCUGACCAACGCAAAAGCUACGCACGCAGCUUCUGCGAACUGUUAAAAGUCUCUGAACGUUUCUCCGCUGCGAAUUAUUGUUUUGGGCGCGCACGUACGUGACAGCAGCAGGCCAGCAGCUCUCGAUAACAGUCAUAUAAAAGGAGAUCCCGGCAUGAUCAUUCAGCACAGAAACUCAAUCCUCUCUUCUCACCAGACACACACCAACUCAGGCCGACGCCGGCGACGACGCGAUCAACGAGCGGGGGAGAGCCAUGGAAGCCGAGGCCUUCCCGAUACGGUUCACGAAGGGCAUCAGGUCCUACUGGCGCCGGCAAGACUACCAGCGCGUGGACGGCACCGGCGCAGCGUCCCGCGGCAGGCGCCGGCACAGGCUGGUGCGGCUCGGGGAUGGCAGCGGCAGCGGGCCCAGGCCGUGGGCCGUGCGGAUCGGCGGCAUGUUCCGGGUGAAGCGCCACCGCGGCAGGGCGCAGGCGCCGCCGCCGGCACCCGCCCGGGGCGCGGCCGCCGUGGCCAAGGCGCCCAUGCGCGUGCUCGGCCGGAUCCGGGACGCCUACGUGGACGUGAUGCUGGGCGCCGCCAAGACGCAGCCGGCCGCGGCGCGGGCGCUGCCCACCGCCGCUGGCGCGCUGUGGCAGAAGCGGGUGCCCAUGCGCCGCUCGACCAGCAAGGCGCAGCAGAAGGCCGACGAGCUCGGCCAGAGGCUCGUCAUGGAGAUGUACAAGUCCGUGCUCGCGUCCAGGAGCGUCUCAGGCAUGCUCCGCGCGUCCGUGGCGCGGUAGCGUGCAUCUGCAGUGGACAUGUCGCGAACGCCGCGCAGGAAGACAGUCUCUUCACUUUUUUUUUUUGUACUUCUGGUUAACCUAUGUACAUGAUCCGUCUUGCCUGUACAUCCAUAAAGCAUGGGGUUGCUCUGCUGAAGUUCUCCAAACCCCGGUAAUUGCAGUAAUCAUGUAACAUCCUCUUUCAAGAGCUGUAUAAUUACAUUCAUUAAUGGUUGGAACAUAUAAUUUUCGCAAGAAUGUCACCGGAAACAGUUCAAUUCCAGCAUGAUUCAAAUUUAUAAGACCAGGAUGCGACCUUUAAAAAUUCUUUCAAGAACUUUGUGUUCAUGGGGAGGCCCAUCCAGCGUUUCUCAUCCUGCUCUCCAAAAGGAAUAUAGGAGCAUCAUGGGCCGAGGGACAGUGUAAUAGACAGGUUGGGCUUGUCCAUAACUCCAUAUUAUGGCCUGUUGUCAAUCCAAUAUCUUUCCCCAAGCAACACGUUGUGACUCUUUUUUGAUUUUUAGUCCUUUUUGCGAAAGAUUCUGGCGGAACCAAUUCCAAAAAGGACCCUUAGCUUGGAUGGCGCCAAGCUUACACGUCUCGACGCCAGCCAUCCUGACGUCAAGGUCCAUGCACAGCUGAUGACGUGGAUGCCGACGUGGCGGGGGAUGGCGCCAAGCCUGGCGCCGUGGAUCUUGACGCCAAGCAAUUUACCCUAUGCCUCCUGGCGUUUCGAAAGAAACAAGUAUUUACGCAGGGGUUUGAACUCAGGUCUUUGGGAUAAGAAGCCCACGUCCUAUCCAGUUGAACUAGAGCGUAGUUUGUUGCACACUCCUUGGAAUAAUUAUACUUGUUUCGUUCGAAACGCCAGGAGGCAUGGGGUAAAUUGCUCGACGCCAAGGCCUACGGCUCAAACUUGGCACCAAGAUCCACGGCGAGGCUUGGCGCCAUCCAUGAUGGCGCCAAGCCCCCGCCACGUUGGUAUCCGCGUCAGCAGCUGCGCAUGGACCUUGGUGCCAAGAUGGCUGGCGCCGAGACGUGUAAGCUUGGCACCAGCGUGGAUGGCGUCAAGCUAAGGGUCCAUUUUUGGAAUUGGUUCCGCUAGGGGCGUAUUUGUGAGAAUCUUUCGAAAAAGAGUUAAAAAAUAAAAAAGACGGAAUUGUGAAGCAUCCCAGCAAUGAAGAGCCCCUAUGGAAUCACUUCACGCGGAAUGGCUCUGGCUCUUGCUGCACUGUGCUAUAUUGUUUUUCAAUCAAAAUUUGGCUCCGGCUCCACUCGUUUUUUUGCCUUGGGGGCACGAGGAGCCGGUGGAGCUGAGUUUGCUGGGCUCCCGCGGCUCCGUCACGGUGGCCUAUUGUGCCGGAGCCGGAGCCAGGCGAAGCCCUUACCAAAGGCGCUCAAAGCAAGUUUGGGGAAAGCUGUUCGAGAGUUCAACUGCUACUCUUUACAUAGGAUUGCCAACGGCAAGCCGGUAACGUAUCAUAGCACCAAGGAAUGUUCCGAGUUGCACCGGCUUUUCUACUAAGGCCGAUGAAGCUGCGUAGGUUGCAUUGCUUGUCUGCACUCUGCAAAGAUGCUGCAUAAAUCGUGGAAGAAACGUUCUUUUCAGCAGUGGGAGUGAUCAGCCGUCUGGCUUAUGUGCGCAACUGCUCAAGAAUAGUAUAUGUCAGUCUGCAUAUUUCUUCGUUCUCGUUUUGGUGACUACAAGUUUAGCUGCAAAGCUAGUGCAAUGAACACCUCCAAACUGAAACAACUUGGAACUCUGCUAAUUCCCAACUAGCACUCUAGCGGUAGCCUGUGCUGCUGUGCAUGGAGCAUGCAAGUUCCAUACCCAAAUUCCAGUUCAGAACAAACCCAAACAGAGAAAAAUACAGAGACAGAAGCAGCACGAUAAUAAGGGAUCAUCGUAAAGAUUUACUGGAGAACGAUUUUUCGGAUAACGAAACUUAUGUUGUGAGCAAUAUGACAACAUAUGUACUGGAAAAAUUACUAGCCAUCACAGUGGAAAAAAGUUUCAAAGUACAACAAAAGCUAGCCUGAAUAAAUCAAAAAGCUUCUGCACAGAUCCAACACUCAUCAUACAGACAAAAUGACAGGUUUCACCCGCAUUUCCUUGCAUCAAGUGCAAGCAUUCCGGUUGAAUUUCACCUGAACAUUGGAAAUGCCUGCCGGAUCUACAGCCAUACGGACUUUAUUGUAUCAAGCUGUCCCUGUCACCCAUUGCAUCGAAACGCAUCGAAGAAACAGGGCAGCUAUCACCUAACAAAUACACCCCAAAAAAUAGAUUACAUAAACCGAAGACACAGUUGAAGUCCCUGAGCACCGGCAGCUGACUGACGGUGAAGCUAAUCUUCUUGUAUUUGAAUAUUCACAUUGCCUGAAAACUAAUUCUACGAUCAGGUUUCUUUUAUGCUCUUUUAUAUGUUACUUUAUCUUAUUUACGCUGUUUGCAUUUUUUGUACAUGUUCGUGUGAAUUAUAUACUUGACUCGUUGACUCGAGACGGAACAAAAACGAACGGUUCCAGAGGCUGGCCGUGCUCCGUGGCGCUGCUAAGGGCGGGGGAGGAGGAGGCGUUCGGCAGAUGUGAGCGAGUGGCGGAAAUGGCAUCGGUGGCCGUACGGGCAGACCUCGCCGGCGAGCACCAUGCGGCAGACCUGGGUCUUGUAGCGCGGGUGGCGGAUGACGGGACGGAGCUCGGCGACGCCGUGCGCGAACUGGCACUGGUCGCCGUAGGGGCACGCCCCCGUCUCCUCCCACUUGUUGCACAGCUCCGUCUUGAACAUGCCCUGGUUGUACACCUCCAGCUCCAUGGCCCCGGCCGCGUGUUGCUGCUUGGCCUCCUCGCCUUUCUUAUCGCCGCCGUCGCCGAUGUACACGCGCUGCUGAUCCGUGUGUGCAAGCAACAAUGAUGUCAGAUGCCAAGCGGGAUGCGGAGUUCGCGCGGCGUGUGAACUGGGACUCACCGAGCUGGGUUUGGUCGGGUUGGACGCGCGAGGCUUGCGGUUGUUGGCCGCCGGCGUGGCGGGGGCCUGGUUAGGCUGGUUCAUCUUGAGGUAGUCGUUGGACCGGACGGAGAUGCUUUUGGGCAGCACGGCGAGCUUUUCGGGCUGCGCGCGCUCCUUGGCGGCCGGAACGGCCUUCUGCUCGCUGAAGCGGAGCCGUCGGACCUCGUCGGCGAUGGCUGCGGCGGCGGCCUGCUUGCCAAUGCCGCUGAGCAGCGCGAGGCGGCGCGUGAGGUCGCCGUUGGCGGCUCGGAGCUCGGCGUUCUCGCGGCGGAGCGCCGCGGCCUCGUCGGCGGCAUCGGCGAGGCGGGCGAGGCAGAGCUCGUAGCGGUCGGCCACCUCCUGGUACUGCAGCGCGAGGCGCGCGAGCUGGAGGCGGUGGCCCGUGGCGGCGUCGGUGGCCGCGGCGUCGUCGCAGUCGUCCACGAGAGAGGCCGACGAGGACGGCGAGAGCGAGACGGAGGAGGUGGCGAGCGGCGACGGCGAGGAGAAGCCGAAGCUGGGGCUGAAGGGGGAGGAGCAGCGGAACAGAGCGUCGUCGCCACCCGUGCCGCCGCAGGCGAGGUUGAGGUAGCGCGGCGAGGCGAGGCGCUGGUCCCCGAAGGCGAACGGCUUGAGCUCAAAUGCCGAGCGGAGGCUGCCGGCAUUGGCCGGAGAGAGGAGAGCUUCCUGCAUGGCUGCGGCUUCCAAGGCAGACAACUAUAGCCUCUGCCUGCGAAUUGAACAGACCGAAAUGUCACAAGAAAAUCACAAGAUCUUUCUUUCGAACUGUUGUUCUUGCUCAAAAGCGUUAAGAUCACGGAAUUAACGACACAAAACGAUCAGAAAGCAGAUUGCAAAGAAUAAAGGCCACAAAAUCAGCAAGCUGCCAAACUAAUGGUUCCAAUUUUGACUUGCCCGCCUGUACUAGCUAGCGUCUGAUCACCACUGACCUCGGACGAACUCGAAACAACCAUAAGACGGUACGAAGAAAAUGAGAAAAAUGUCAGGAACUAGUACUUGGUUCCAUCUCAAACACAACUCCGAAACCACACCUAAUGCAGCCAGAUCAAACCGUCGACCGCACUUGCAAUCAGACGGAGAGAGUGUAAACAGAGCUCGGUGCAGCAGCAGCUGCAGCUACCAAAAUGCAACGAAAGCCGCCAUUAAAUUGAGCUGGACCGCGACAGAUCGUACCUCCUGGACGAACCGAUCGAAGCCGGGGCGUGUUGGAGAGGACGAUCGAGGACUGCGAAGCGAACUGCAGGUGGCUGCUGGCCUGCUGGGAACGCUUGGCGUCGUGCUUUAUAUAGCUGGGGGAGCAUGCCAGGAGCAGGGGAGACCGUGGGGCCCGCCCGUCUGCCACUGCGAGAGCGAGGCCGAGGCCGAGGCGGCAGGGGAAUGGGCGUGCCCCGGUCGUACCGGAGCACGGUCCGGACGUCGGGUUCGUUCUCCUUGUCCCGGUUGCAUUCAGGCAGUCAGUCGGUGGUUGGCAAAUGCCUUAUGGCGUCUGCUUCUGGUUGGGUUUGAAACUUUUGGACCUGAGUGAGCUUUGCUUUGCUUACCUGGCGUGGCGUGUGCUCCUGGUCUGCUCUGUUUCAACUGGGUUUACCUCGUCAAUGGAGCAGUACGAGUUUGGUGCGGCACGAACUGACCGAGCUGCGAUGCUUGCUAGUCACGGUUUCAGAUGUUCAGUAAUUAGUAGUACAAUUAGAGGUGGUAAUGGAUCAUGCUUCUCAUACCUCCUUUACAAUCUAACUCAGCCUUAUAUUUAUUUAGUUCAAAAUCAUAUAGUAUUUCAGUUCGAUUCUUAGUAAGCCGAGUUCUUAAAUUUGCUAGGCUACACCCCUAAGUGAACUGCUCCCUCCGAAAAAAAAAAUUGCAACCUCAUUCUAGUUUGACGACUGGCUCCCUUCUCCCUUCUGGACCUCUAUGGCUUCAGUUCCCUGCGCUCCUCACUUCUCUGUGUCUGCGCUCCUUGAACCUUCAGCUAAGACCACGGCUGUCUACUGCUGCUGCCCGCGAGCUUUGUUCCUUGAAUGAACUCGUGAGUAGUGUAGUUCUUGUUGCUGGAACGGAUGAACGGAUCCUGAUUUGGGAAGAGCAACUAAUACUUCCUCUAGUGCAGCUUACAGGACGCCCACAGCUACGGAGGAAUUAGAUGCCAACAGUGCCCACAUCUGGGCAACUCGCAUGACAACAAAGGUGAAAUUCUUUGCAUGGCUCUUCUGCAAUAAUCGUCUACCAACCCGUGCCAACCUGCUCCACAAAAUCCUGAAGAAGAUGAAGCCAUUUGUCCUCGCGGCUGCGCGGUAGCGGAAUCCGCGAUGCAUCUCUUUUCCGAGUGUCCUGCUGCUGCUUCAAUUUGGGAUGCUUUGAUGAUCACGGAAAUAUCAGACCCAUGGACCCCCCCCCCCCCUCCGGAAAAAUUCUACAAAAUUUGCAAUUCUCGCUUCUCAACCAAUUUUAAAUUUGAUCAAAUUUAUACAAAAUAGUACUAACAUUUAUUGUACAAAAUAAAUAUUAAUAGAUUAAUCAUGUAAUAUAUUUUUAUAAAAUCUAUUUGGAUACGUGAAUGUUAGUAACUUUUUAUAAAUUUGAUCAAAUUUGAAAUUAUUUGACUCCUUGAGAAGUGAGAGUUACAUUAUUUUUGGAAACGGAGUGAGUAGAGGUAGCCAGUGCGAAGUGUGAGUGCUGCUCAUCAGUAUUGUACUACGUAUUGUCUAAUGUCUAGUGAAAAUCGAUGGCUGAGAUUGCACAGCACCUCGGAAUGAGAACUAUUAUUUACCAUUCGAAAUUUCGAAUGCGAUGCCAAUUUGCUUUCUUUUUCCUAGAAGGAUCAUUUGCUCUUUUCCAACAUGAUUCAACAGGCGGUCCGGUUGCGGAAAUGGUAUUCGUGCCAUCACGGGAGGUGCCAACGUGAAUUCCUUCGACCACACUUCACCGAGGCCCUCCUCCCCUUCCCCUCUGAUGCGGACAAGUCGCUGGGCUUUAUGUCAAGCGAGGUCACGUCGGGGAGGUUGCAUUUCCCACUCCUGCUGGCUCAGAAUUCACAAACGCUUUCCAGCUCCGAAACAAAAUCUAGGAAGAGGUUACAGUGUUAUACGUCCAACUAUCCAAAGCCACUCGUGCGUACAGGAACGUACGUAGGUGUACCGCGUUGCUGUUCUUCUGUCCGUGCUUUCUGCGUUACUGCGUAGCAGGUACCAUCUGGCAAGAGGCACUGUGUUCAGAAGCUACAAAUAAAGCCUGUUACUCGAAAAGCUGCACCAUGUUUGCAUACGCUAGAAUAUAUUUUGGGGUAUGCCAGAAACGUGUGCCACCUAUUUAGAAGAAAAUAAAGUUGUUUGGUCUGUGGGCUCGUGGCAUGGCUAAUUCGCAUCAUGCCUUUGUUUAGCUUGUUGUAGGUGGCUUGGCCGUGGAGAUUAUUUGGCUUAACAAAUCGGAGCACCGUACCGUACCAAACAUGCUCCAGUGCCCCGCAGUCCUGUCACAAGAAACAUAAGGCGAUUUUUAAUAAUUAUUAAACUCCACAUCAAACCAUCUCAUUAGUCGUUGCUUAGCACUAAAUUAAUCUUCCUCUUUUUUUUUGGGGGGGGGGGGGCACCGCUAACUAAUCGUGCAAUGGUGGGUCCACUCUGCACGUACGACACGCAUCUCCAUCGGGUACACACAUUACAUUACGUGACAUCCUCGCGCGGCCAGUGCGGGGCACCUCCGAGUAAAGUGACAGGGAAGGCUCAUCUCUCCGGCCGCCCGUCACAAACGCAACGCAAAGCGGCCGAGACCGAUGGAGCGCAGCCUGUUGCUUGCUUUGCUUUCACGGGUCAGUCCCUCUCGGUGCUAACCAACCCACCCCGAUCGCGGCCGCUGCGGCGUCGUCUCUCCUUAGGAAAAUCAGAGUAACAAACCCACGCACCACCACACCGCGCACUGCCGCGCAUCGCCCUCGCAAUCAUGUUGCUUCCUGCUUACAGCUUUAACUAACUCCGAGUCCCGCCCGCCUCUCCUCGCCUACCGCAGGCGCAGCGCGCGCGGCGGCACGUCCGAAUCAUUCCUCGGCGACGGCGAGACGAGCGAGACGCCAGAGAAAAAAAAGCCUCUCGUGUAGCGUGCAUGGUGUGUGCGGGAGCCUUCCCCUGCCGCCCGCGCCGUGUGUGACGGCCAAACGAAUCUGAUGGACUUUUAGGUGGGCGCGAUUACCUGGUCUGGCCUGGAUCUGCGGUCGCCGGUAGCCAUCCGGUUUGUUAUGCACUGUGCUUGGGCGACGCCGACGGGUCGUGCGAAUGAAGGCAUGCACACACUACUACUACGAGCGAUCUCUGCUGGGGAACGACGGGUUGAUGGGCCACUUGGACCAGAAACGGAUGUUUAUGGGUUAUCUUUGGAUGGUUGUCGUGGCUAUCCCUGCAUUCGUUCCUGGCUGGCAUGGCUAUCCUACUCCAGACAGUGGCAAAGUAGGAGUACCGUUCGUAUCAGCAUAAGCGAGACAAAAAUGCAACUUAACAGUGCUGCUGGCUAAUCAUGUAGCUACUGAUGGCGACCAAAUGCGAACGGCACGAGCUAAGGUUGCAAGAUUCAGGUCAAAGUUAGAGGAUCACAGACAGAGGAGUAGAGAAUCGUUCAAAUGAAUAUGGAAGGAUCGGCCCAUUUGGAACAGCAGUACAGUACUGCAGACGAGAACAUCUCAUUGGAACAGGAACUGCUGACAUACUCUGAGACUCAUCACACUAUGGGUAUAUAGAUAUUCAUUCAUAUCAACCGCCGAAAGACAGCCUCUGAUUUGUUGCGUUUUCUUCACACGAGAGCGCCAACAAACAGUAGUUUGAAUUGUCAUUGAAGGGACCGUAACACCUUGAAGCACGUAAAAAACCUAUUCCAAUUUCUAAUUGUGCACCAAGUUUUUCUAUGUGUUGCUAUCUCUACCAUAAAAGAGUUUGUACGGUUCCAAUCAUAUAAACUACACAUGAAAUUUUAGGAAAGUUAAAUCAUAUAAACUACACAUGCAAUUCUAGGAAAGUUAAACGCGGAAUGUAAAUGCAAUAAGAAAUGCGGAAGGUAAAUGAGGUAGAGAAGGCAAACUCCAUUCACGGCGACACAACGUUUUUUACCGAGUUAUCGGAAAGCAAGGCUCUCUAUUAGUCCUCGUUAUUGGAACCCCUCUUAAGAAAAUGCCCGUGGAAGGGCAUACGCUCCCCGGUCAAGUAACUUCGUAGGAUAGCUAACGGACCUUCCCCACGUCCAAGUAGAUCUCCACAUAGCCUCUCCCGGAUGCUCCUUGCCACUCUUCACUUGGUAGAGCUUUGGCAAAACUCUCAGGACCUCUCAUCCCUAUCACAAGCACCCGUGGCCACUCCACAAACAUGGUUAGAGGGUUUUGCAUGUCUUACAAGUCCUGAAUUUACAACUUUGAUGUGCGCAAGCACCGAUAACUUGUUCAUUUAUCUAUUAACUUGUUGAUUCCCGUUUCCAUUUGCAUGAUCUCCACCAUCACCAUUAUCACCAAAUUUUUUUUUUGAGAAAGCAACGGGGGGGCAGCGGCCCACCUGAACCAAAUUUCAUUCCCAAAUUGAGUCCACAGUACAAAAGAGGCAUAAGAGCCUCAACACUAGAACAGGAGGGUAGGGGAGAACCUGAAACACAGGGUUUAAUUUACAUGAACUAAAGCAUGGCACCAGGACAGAAGCGGCUCCGUGUCCAACCUCUGAGGAGCUCGGCACACUCACAGUUGAAGGUGAUCCAUCAGGAGGGCGGCCAUGGCGCGCGCAGUCAGCGUGUCCAUUAUCACCAAAUUUGUUGUCCGUGUCAGACAGCAGGUACGAUUCGAUAUCAUGCAAGACAGGACGGUAUUGACUGUUAUACAAGCUGCUUGGCUGGCUGCGCUGCUGGCUUCCGGCUGCUGCUUUUGCCUGUUGGCUGCAGCUACUGCUUUGCAGCUGCCUGCAUCUGGCUACGCUGCAUGUAGUGCUUCUUUGUAGCUGGUUUGUAUUGCGGGAUGCUGCAAUUGAAUUCAAAUUUUUAGUAGCAACGUGUGCAAUUGAUUUUAAUUUUUUAGCGCAAACGCAGACCAACCAAUCAAAAUAACCCGCCAUCACCAUACCAAUAGCCAAUGAAUCAGUACCGUUCUACUAACAGUUCAUUACAAUAAAAAAAAUUACACACAAAUUACUUGACAUCCAACAUAUGGCAGAAACAAACACACAUAGACAUAGAACAUUACAGGGAGAUAACAGCGAGGCAUCCAGUACCAUUGCUACGGUCUGCUUGCUCAAAUUCCACUACCUGGCUGCCUAAAUGUCAAAAUUUGCUGUCACCACUUGCACGUACCCAUUUUGGUAUAGCCAUCAGUCAUCACCAACAUCUAUGCAAACUUGUAUAGAAACAAAAUCCAAAACUAGUCAUACCUGUUACCUACAUCAAGAAGAUUCCUGCCACGAUCCAAUCUCAUACACUUGCCAUAUCAGGUGUAGCAUUUGCUGCCACCCAUGCGGACACGGCGUAAUCCGGAGUUUGCGCUAUGUUCCUAUCUGCAGUACUUGCAUCAGCACGGUCCAGCAAAUAAUUGUGGAGUGCAAAGCAAGCAAUAAUGAUCUUCGUUUGCCUCUCUCGAUCAUAGAAUGAUACUUGUCGCAAAAUAUGCCACCUCGAUUUGAGCAAGCCAAAUGCUCGUUCCACAACAUUGCGAAGACUCGAAUGGUGGAAGUUGAAUUUCUCCUCCAAACUUUCAGCCGCUCUUCGGCUGAACUCCUCUAGAUGGUACCUCGUACUGCAAUAUGGCCCCGGAUAGCCUUCACGAACUGCGUAACCCGAAUCCACCAGAUAGUACCUUCCUGGAUAACAUCAAACAUAUUCACCAUUAAUGCAACACUUUUACAAUUGUUGCUUCAUGGAUGUAAUUAGCCAACUAACAUACCUGGAGGUGGAUGUGGGUAAUUUGGUUUCUCCAUACAGUCCCUCAAUACCGCCAUGUCAUGACUGGAUCCCGUUCUCCCCGCUCCUACAUAUGUGAACCGCAUGUCCAUAUCCACUAUGGCUAACAUAUUAAAGCUUGGCCACCCUUUUCGAUUAAUGAAGUCCAAACGUGACUCACGCCCGAUUUGUACGGGAAUGUGAGUUCCAUCUAAAGCACCUAUGCACCUUAUGCACCCAACAAAGAACGGUGCAUAUGGGUUGAGCUUAUGAUUAACCUUUGAGUACGACGAGUCUUUUGGAGCGAUAACCGUUUGUGCGAAUGAGAACAUGACAUCUGCCACAUGAGCCAUCUUCCUACUAACUGUGUCCAAUGACCGCUCAAAUCUAUCUCUAAUCUGUCGAGAAGCCUGUUGUGUCCCACAAGCCCAGACGAACAUAGCUAAAGCCUCGAUAGGUUCUAGCUCUUGUAUUGAUUCCAGCCCAUGAUAAUUAACUAAGAUAUCAUGCAACUGAAGGAAUGCGUCAGGAUACAUACGAAAAUUAUCGUAGCACCUCCAGCUUUCCCGCAUAUUCAGCUCAACCCAUUGACGUCCGGUCAUUCGUGGCAACUCCACGGGCGGGUUCACCACAGGAGCUGGACUUCUGCUUGCAGCUGCUGCUACCCCCACCAGUUGGUAUACGAUGGAGCUAGCAUCACUGCCAGUGUCGUUGUUUGACUCCUCAGCGCUGCUCAUAAUGUAAGCAACCUGUGCAUAGAAUAGACAUUAAUGGUUCAGUCAUAAGUCUAUAAAGUAAAAGUUCCACUACAAGUUAUAGAACAAACUGCUUCAAACUUGUCAAGAAACUUCCCUGUCCUCCUCCCUGGAUGGCUGCAUAGGUAACUUUCCUGUCCUCCUUCCUGGAUGGCUGGAUAGGUCCUCAAUGGUCCUCCAUGCCUUCCUGGUAAAGGCACAAUGAAAAGCAAGAUCAAGCUUCUUUGUCACUGAUGCACAUGCCAUGUAAAUUACAUGCGUUUUUACCUAAGAAUGAAAUAGAUGCACAUGCAAUGUAAAUCAUGGACCACAUUUAACUUGGAAAAUUAUACAUCACACACAACACAUUGUUCAGGCCAGAGGCCACAUUACAUGCUAAGACAUUAUUGUCUACCAUCAGUACACAACACUACGAUAAAACCAACACAUGCCACACUGAACUACUUGUUCUCCCUCUCCCAGUUGAAUUGAAUCCAAUGCAGGCGGCCCUCUCUGGUUUUCAUCUUCGUGAAGACCCUUCGAUACACUGCAUUCUUGCACAAAUAUAUUGCCAUGCAGUACAAAUCAGAACCCUCAUCGAUACCAUCUUCUUCUAAAAUUCGCAUUGCAAGGUCUAACCCCUCUUGCUCACGGUUGAGACGUUUCUGGCUUCUUGUAGCUACAGUUCCGGAGAGUUCUCUGACGUAGUCCUCCAAGCUGCCACUCUUCUUUUUCGGAGGACUGUCAACAACUUCCUCCCGGGUUGGCCUUUUAGACAUAUUACGAGCACUGGUAGCAGCCAUGGGGUCUAGGUACAUGUCUGAUGCAGUGUCCUCGAUCCCCAUACUGGGUGUUGCCUCACGGACACCUCCUGCAGUUAGCAAGGUCCCCCUGUCUUGGGUGGUGUGGCCGAACAAUGUGUAAAGUUUGUCAAGGAACGGUGGCGGUUUAGCAGUACUCGUCUGGAUAGCAUCAACACUAGUUUCCUAGAGGUCACAACACUACAUGUUAGAAAAAAAAUUGUUGCUCGAAUUGAAUGAACAGGAAGUACUGCAAAGGUGACAGCACGUACCCCUUCGUCGGUAGCCCAAAAAGUGGAAUCAGCUGCAACGCCACCAGUAUGUCUGUCACGGCCUAGGUCUGAUUGGACUUGCAGGUCCCUCCUAUUCAUGAACGACCUUUGCAUGGUGCUCAGCUUGUUCUGCAGCUGCUUGCUGCCUAAAGUCAGACCAGUCUGUUGUUUGAAGUUGCGGUAGAUGUGUUGCCAUCCCAACUUAGUUAGGCACUUGUUACUCCAAUUCAGUUGGUUCUUCUCAGCAAUGCAGAGGUUGAGGAAUGUUUUUUUUUGUCUCCUCAUCCCAAUUGGCACGGCUGGUAGCCAUCUGAGCCUAGUUGUACAAUGCAUAGUUUGAGUAGGUAGGAGCUGCAAUUUUAUUUUAACAAAGAAGAAAAUGCAGGAGACAUAAAAGUAGACAAACUCAGUAUGCAAUGAACAUGUCACUUGUGUUGGAGUAUAAGUGAACUACCCAGCUCUCCUCAUUAGUUUAAGCUUUUGGGUUCAACUGGUUGGUGCAUGUAACUCAAUAUGGUAUCAGAGUCAGAGGUCUCGAGUUCAAAUUCUGGCGGGUGCGAUUAAAUAAAAUAAUUGCAGCCCACUCCCAUUUCCACAUGCGGCCUGAGGGAUCCUGCACGUGAUGGGGAGUGUUGGAGUAUAGGUGAAUUGCCCACCUUUUCUUAUUAGCUUAAGCUUUUGGGUUGAAUUGGUUGGUGCAUGUAACUUAAUAACUUGCCUUAGCAGUUAUCUUGGUGCGUUUGUAACAGAGAUUGUACGGACAGGCUCGUGGGGGAGAGCAUGAAGAAGUGGAUGGCGAUGCCAGUGUGGGCACCGUUGCGAAGGACAAGACUGUACUGCAAGUAGGCUCGCUACAGAGGACUGCAUAUAUGCAAAAGAAAAUAUUGUCAGAUUAAUGCUUCAAAUUUGCACUCAAAUUGUACCAGAAUUUAGUUACAACACUUGAGGACAAUCCAAUUCAGAGAAGCAAUAAACUUGCAUAUAAACCUUUAUGCAAGCUAGAAAUAUAAUCUAUAGAUAAAAGGGACCAGAAUCUGAUAGGUAGGCAUACUGAUCAUGGCAAUAUGCAAAUCUCGUAGAGACAUACACUAAUGAGUAAUUAACAGGCAUACUGACUGGUAUCAUUGAGAUACUAAGUUAAUUUACAAAUCUAAUCCUACAUUUUGAAUUGUUACAAAGGAAACACAGUAUAAUAAAUUCAUGAACUGGUAAGUUAAUAAUUGUGUUCAUGGGGCUACAAAUGUCUCUCAGUAUAAGUAAAAUAAAAAGUAAUAUAUGAAUAUGAGGAAAACUUGCCUAAAGUACCAAAAUGUAUUUAUUAAUCCAAUAAAAGCAACCACAUGCAUAUCCAAUUUCAUUCAUUUGAAUGAGAUGGCAGAAGGUCGGGAUGUUGUACGUACAUCAAACAAAGACCUCAACAGGGAAGGGAAAUCAAAACAUUUGGUCUUUUAUUAUGAACAAACAUAUGAGCUCAAAUAGUAAACCAAAUGACUAAUCAGAUGAAAAAGAAAAAUACAUGCAAUUUAAGCAAAUUUACUUAAUUCAAUAUUGUUUUUGUGCUACUAGGUUGAAAAGACAAUGUUAGGUUGUCUCAACAUCAUGUAUGCUAUUAUUUACCAUCAACAUGUUGCACAAGAAUGAUAGCUGCAAUGAAAGCACACCAUGUUUUCAUCUUUGCAGCAUCCAGUAUUACUAUUUUGGAUCUCAUGAACAAGAAGAAACCAUAAGUUAAACUUACAGUGACACAAGUGAAGGUUGGCCUAAACCAGGUGGUAAGCUUCAUGUUAGUGAAUUAUAGCUUAAGUUCCUAACCAAGCAGAAGAUAUAACAUUAGCUACCAAGCCUGGAUCACAUACUAUUAACUGUAGAAAUAACUCAAAAAGGCAUUUACAUAAGCUAUAAAAAAAUAAUUCUCAGGAAAGGUACAAGCACACAUAAAAAACUUGGCAAUGGUAAACAAUAUAAACUUCUUAAUUCAGACAACAAUUGGUCUAAAACAUAACCAACUAUUAGCAGGUCCGGACAAGCAAGAAGGUAACUAAGAUGAAUUCUCAAAACAACUUAUAUUUGACAUCCUUUAGUAUUUGUGGCCAUCAUUUAUACAGAUGAAUAUAUAUCAUUCCAAAGCAAAGAAUGUAAAAAAAACAUGUGUACUAGUAGGUGCAGUUUACCCAAACAGAGAAAAUUAACAAGUCAAUCAGUUUAUUCUCAGGUAUUAUUUGAAUGAGCUUUAUCAAUUUAUAUGUGAUUUGUCAAGUGAGAGGGACAAGGAUCUGAGUCCGAUGGAAACUUUUAGAGGUGGAGAGAAAAUAUAAACCUACACCGUUGUAACAAUUGAACUCUCUAAUAAACAUCGUUAAGAUCAGCAAGAUCAUUAGAGUCUUAUUGAGCUGAUGAAUUAGCAGCUUUCACAGCAAAAAGACCACAAUGACCCUAAGGAGUUAAACUGCUAUUUACAUCCUAAACCACAUUUUUGCACAACAACUUUAAGUUUCACCAACAAGAAAGUUGUCCAACUGGUUAAAUACCAGCAACCUUGGUUCUCACUUUUGUUUUUCCUUAGCCAGUCAGAGCUCUAAAUCUGUGAGACAAGUUCAACCUUGGAGCCUUUUUACUCCAAUCCGUUGCGAUCUUGAUCUAACUUCUUUUGGCAAAGUUGUGCAUGGGUUCAAGGAUAGAAACUUGUUAAAGGGUUCAAUUGGCGCGCGGUUCAAAUUUUUGGAGAAGAGUUGCAAAGCAAGUAACUGCUCUAUUCUCUUCACGCCCCAAACGCUAGCACCCUGUGCGACGUCGCCGCGUGGCACGCCACCACCGGCAGCUUGCCGGCAACCAACCCGCAGCCGUGACGCGACGGGAUAGCGCUAGCAUUGCCCAAUCGCACUAGCAGGCCAUCCCUCCUCACUGUUCCAAAUCCCCAGCACCCAAUCCCGCUCCACCUCUCCCCUCUCCGCGAACACCACACCGCCGAAGCUCACCGGCGCAUGCCUUCGCCCAGUAACCAGCGCGACGCGACAACACGCGCGCGCAGAACUAGCAGAUCCGCGUGCCUAGCAAACCUGCUUUGCCCCCAGCCCUCAAUCCUUGCUGCCCAACUAGGGCAAGAUUGCGUCCGACCUCGCCAAUGGAGGCGCCGACCAAUCGUCGCCGCGACAGAGCACUUCCUUCUCCCUCGAUCUUAUCCUCUUGCCCGCUCGAGCUCGUUUCCUUCAUCUGAACACUUCCGCGCAUCUAUAAAAAGGUAUUGAAGCCUCUUACCGAAGUUCCCUUUGCCACCACCGCCUUUGCCACCACCGCCAUUGCGGCACUACCUGCUCUGUUUUUCUCCACCGCACUCACCGCUGCACUUGGAGCUGCCACUCCGGCUAGCCCUGCGCAGCGACUCCUUCACUGUCAGCUUCGCCUUAGUCGCCUGGAGCUCGUCGACCCGUUCAAAGAGCACGCCGACCUGCUCAAGGAGCCUCUGAGGCCCUAUCUCGCUAGAUCGCCGCCACCAGUUUCUGUGACACCGACCUGAGCCGCCGUUGUUCCUCGUUCCGCCUCGGCUUGUUUCUUCCCGAUCCCAAGACCUCGUCAGUAGGACCGAAGGUGAGCUGCCGACCCCUUUCCAGCUCUUCCCGAUCCUGAAUCAUCCGCGAAAGCGACCGGACCUUGUCCGCCUCGCCCGAGUGUUGUCCGCCUCGCCCGAGGGCUUGGUUAUGUCUUUUCUUUUGACCGAGGGUAUCUGUGUUAAAUUCCGAGGAUUUCUCUAUGUUAAAUCUGAGAAUCGUGGUACAGUUAUUCCUUAAGUCUAAGGGUUAGAUCGUAAGUUUUCCCCAAUCCGACUCUUUUAACUCGAAUUAAAUUGACAGAAACUUGGAAAUUACAUCUUAAAUCGAGGAAAAAUCAAAAAAAUAUGAAAUCACUUUGGUUGGAAUCCUCGUUCUGAGUAGAAUCCAAUAAAGUAGGCUUGACACCUUUUCCUAUAGUUUUUCUACAAUUUUGGGUUUAAAUCCUUGCAAAUGCUGUUGGAAUUACCGUCUGAGUGUCUUAUUCUUGCAUUGCAUCUCGUGUAGAAUUGAGCGUUGCCGAUGGCACCUACGAGCUGCAUCAAGUGCUUGACGAGGACCCUGCUGCAGAGCUACUCCAAGCCGGAGCAGAGCCCAUUGCUGAACCCGCCGAAGGCCCUCAAGCUAACUUAGCGUGUGAAGGCAAGCCCCGGAGCAUAACCCGAUUUUUCUAAACUUGUGCAUGCCUUCUGUUGUUAAUGUUUGUGCAUUUACGUUUACAGGAGUUGUUUGGAAACUCUAGUUGCAUGAUCCUAGGUUCCUUUAUUAUGAAUACUAGUAUGACAGGAUCUCGAGUAGCUGCUUUGCUUAAAUAGGACUCGGUAAAAGUCGAGUGAUUUCCUGUCACUCGCGAGUUAUAGGAGUUGCUUGCUCUCUUUUUGUAACAACUAUAAGGACGAUGGAUGGGGCAGGGUCUUGUGAAUUAUUUUGGUGGUCGGUGGAUUGCCCCGUCUGUCGAAAUGAAUUUGACUAAGGUUGAGAUAUGCUAGUGUUCGUGAUCAAGUGUUUGAACAAUACUAAUCUCAUACCUAGUAUGGGAUGGGGAAGCCUAGUACCUGAUUGAACCGGCAAGUGUCUUACACCCCUGCUGUCCUUGGAACGUAGUUCCCAUGGUGCAUCAUGUGGGUGCAAGUGCGGUCACAGUACGGUAGAGACCGGGACUAUGGAGCAUUGCAUGCCAAAGGCGGUUUGGACCUGACACGCGCUUGGGAAUUGAUGGGGACAGUGGACAAGUGAAGCUAUCCUUUGUGGUGAGCGGAUGUUGUGGGAUUAUUUCCACCAUGCAUGGUUAAAACUCGGAUCGAUUCGUCUGCCUCUCACAGCUUGAGACUACUUGAUCAUUAUGCUACACUGAGUAAGAAGAGGACAUGUUGAUGAUGUUAAUGCUGAUGUUUUCUAUUAAUUGUUUGUAUAACCAUGCUUGUUCAGUAUGAGUUGCAAAUGUAGAAUGGUUAAUGAACUAGAACUUAUGGCUAAAAUGUUGAAGGUAAGGAUCCACCACUAGUCGCUUUUGGCAAAAUAACCCCUCUGGCCAAACAGCCUGCAUGUCUAGGUGUUGGUGGAUUAGUACCACCAACGGGUAAGUCUUGUUGAGCGUAGUCACUCAGCCUUGUUGUGGCUUAUCUUUUCAGGUUUUGUUGUGGAAGAAGGUACCGCUUGGCCCUCCCAGCUCCCUUCGGGAUAGACGGUCGAGUGGGCUCCCUCCUCGGACGGUGAGGAUGGAGGUUACUGAUGUCGUGACCGGCUUCGUCACGGUGUCGGGCGUCGACGUUUAGUUACCAUUGUUUAUUUCCGCUGAUGAACACUUUGCAAACUUGUAUUGAAUUUCGAACUCUUUUGUUGUAAUAAACUUAUGCACUUGUUAAAAGAAUAGACUGUUGUAAUCUCUAUAACCGCUCACUCUCGGGUGAGUCCGCUUUCGUGAUCCUGUAGCGUGGUUUCAUCGGAAAGAAUCCGACAGACGACCAAAUUGGCUUGAUUAAGGUGCACGAUCGCAUGUCAGACGACUUAAAAGUGUUUUAGCCGAGUUAAUUUGAGCGGUUCUGCCACAACCGUAUGUACCAAUUGUAAUAAAUAACAGGAUAAUAUACGCUUCAGAAGGUAUUCAAUUUUGUACCCAAGGCCUAAUGCUAGACAUUCACCUGCCUCAACAAUGAACAGGCUUUAGAUCCAAUAACAUCAGUUUAAAUGUUUCAUUUUGCUAUUGCAGUCCAGCUUCAGUCAUCUUGAGGAAGAAACAUUUGGCGGUAAAUAAGGGGAUUACCUGGAUCUGAAUGGGGGGCUUCCUCGGGCUAUGAUGACACUAGGGUCGGGAUGUGGCGAAUGGGAGAUCUGUUGCUGGACUUCUUGCUCGAGUUGUCAGGCGGGGGGUGCCGCGGUGGAGACGGUAGCAGCCGCAAGCCCGGAUCCCGGCUGGCGUGCUGGACGACGAGCUAGAUCCCUGGCGGCCGCCUUGACCCCGGGUGCCUCGACGCUACAGGUAGAUGACCUUCCUACGCGGUGGGGGCGAAUGGUCCGGCGCAGGCGACGAAAAGUCCACCCCGUGCUGAAUCUGCUUCGUGGAUGCUGCGUCGAGGACAGAGGGAAGCCGUCACCAGGAAGGGAGACGCCGGGUAUGACGGUGGUGGAGAGGGGGCGAGAGGGAAGUGGAUACGGAUGCGACGCGGGAAAGAGAAUGCGAGGCUUCAGGACCGCCGUCAGCUCAAUUUCUCUUCCAGCUGUGCCAAUCAAACCUCGUCAACUCCGGUGAACGUGGGCAUCUCGUCGCCGUGGUCAAAACCCCCAAUCAGAUCUUCACUCGUGCUGUCUACUGACCACGCAUCACAUCCUAUUCCAAAAUUUUCUUCAGACUGAACAAAGUUAAUCAGGGCGAUUGACAACACCAUGCAUUCCCAACAUUAGUGUGACAUUACAGUGCGAAUAAAGAAUAGGAGCACUGUAAAUGAUGCAUAUCAAGGAAGCUGAUCAGAAGUGAAAGGUGGAAGUUCUGGGACAGAUUAUUGGCAGAGAAUGUCGCGCGGUCUUGUGGAGGAACUCACUCCCUGUUUUGCAUCGCACCGCAAGAGGCAUAGCUCUGGCGUGGAGGACUGGUCGGCGCCGAUCAUCUCCAUCUCAACCUUGAACUCCAGCUCGCCUCGUGCGCGCUUGUCCGACGCCAUCCGGUCGCGCAGUCCGGGUGACAGUGCCACGCCGGGGGGCGAUACGAGGAUCACAUAUUCACAUCCACCUCGCCCGUGGCCCUCCUGGGCACGCACAAGCCCGACGCCACGCCCCAGCCGACGUCCAGGCCAGCGUAGAGGAUCCACACGGCGGCGGCCCCCGUGCAGGUCUCGUCGUCCCGGCGGUUGUCCACCCGGAGUGUUAGGUUGAAGGAGGGGGUGGCCGCUGGGUUCCGCGCGGCGCCGAUCAUCCCCUCGGCCGCCGUGACCCCGACGUAGAAUUCGGCGCCCUUUUCGAGCUCGGCGGACAUGAAUAUGAGCAUAGUAAAACGGCGAAGGCCAGUCCCACGCAGACGAUGAAAGCUAACGCCGGUCAUGUCAGGCAGGGGGGUUCGCCUGAUGACUCUGGUUCGACGCCGCUGGCCUCAACGUCAACGGGUACCACGGGUGCCAUGGCGAGCAACCGAGGACGCAGUAUGUAGGCAGAACAAAACGAUCUAAUAUUAGAUUUCUCGUGUAGCUAAUGCAAGCAGAUAGCAAAGUCCGUAUUCAAUUCGAGUCUGUGAACCGAGUCCUCGGUUACACAAAAGCUUCUGCGAUCCGGAUUUUGUACAAUCCAAGGUCUCCUUCCAAGUUCCGUUCGGAGUUGCACAGUCACGUAAAAUCCUUGUUCUAUACGCUUUGCACUUUUUGCCGUCGAUCCUAAUCUCGUGCUCACUUUUUUAGCCAUGUCCUGCUGGCGAGUGCGUAACGCUGCUGACGAUCUCGCGCAGCCUGCGGCGGCCGGACGGCGAUCUGCUCCACGCAACAAGAUAAUGGCAUGCCUGUAUUGUGUGGUCAUCAUCCUCGGCGUUCUUCUUUGCGGUUUCGCCGUCUUCAGGUUAGCCGAUGACGUAGCGGGGCACUACGUCGUGAAAAUCAGCAUCGAGGCGUCGGAAUUCCGAUCCAUCAUGGCGGACGACGGGAGCACGAUGUCAUCUCCAGUAAAGGUAAAGCCAUCGUUCAACGUCACCGCACGCGUCGAGAACCACUACCACCAUCACAUACGCUUCAGGACUGGGGCGGCGCCGUGUUGCACGACGGAGUACCGCUCGGCCGGGCCACUUUCCCCGACGGCCUCUGCGCGCUGAGCAUGGGAGAAGGCAAAGUGACGGCCACCACGGCGAGCGGGUUGGUGGGGCUGACCGACGAGGUGCGCGGCCGCAUGGCGAGGCGCGGGCAGACUUGGGGAGAGGUAGAUCUGCGGAUCGAUAUGAGACAUCACGUCCUGCUAGCCGAUUCAAGCGCGGACGAGUGGCUCCGGUGCACCGCAAGGUUGGACGGGCGACCUACUUCAGCACCGUGCCAAUUCGAAAUCUCAUCGCGAUCUUAGGCCACUUGUUUCUCUCUCUCUUUCGAGACGAUUUAGGCCAUUUGUUUCAAGUUUGUCCAUAUUUGCUCGUCUAAUCCGGCAAUCCCAAUAAUAUUCCCAUCGAGCAGCCACAGCCACAGCGCACAAGCGACAGAGGAGUCGAGCUCUCCUGAGCUUGGAGGGAGGCCACAGCCACAGCGCGCAAGCCACAGGGCGCAAGCGACAGAGCAGUCGAGCUCUUGAGCUGAGAGGGAGGAAGGCAGCGGGAGCGGCGGGGAGCCCGGACCUGAUCCUCAAGCGCGCCGAUCCACACGAUUUCCGCCAUCCCCACCCUCCUCGACGAAGGCACGGCCACUACAUCUUCUCCCCUCGGUCGACGCCUCCCCCACUCGUGACUCUUAAACCAUCCCCGGUCACCCCCACGGGCCUCGCGACUCCGCGCCCAUCCGCAUUCCGUCCUCCCGCAUGGCGCCGUCCGCCACCAGCUCCAUGGCCUCCGUCUCCCGGGCCCUCCGCCCGCGGCCCCGCGCCGCCGCCUGCUCGGCUCCUCGUCUGGGUACGCGCACGCUGAAUCCUGCUUGAAUCGAUUCCCUUUUUUCGUUUGUUUGAGGUGGCUUUGAUUUUACUUGGGGUGCGGUUCUGGGUGCAGGGUGCGGAUUGGGAAUCGCGUGCUCGAUGCCAAGUUUGGGAUUGGCCGUUGUGACUGCACCGUCUGCUACCGUCACUCCGGCUCUGAGGUAUGUGCGUGCUCCAGAGGUUAAUCAGGCCUUGGGAAUUGCUUUGGUUCAGGGAAUGGAUUGGCCGACCGUGAAGAUCAGGGUUUGUCUUUGUCAACGGAAAUGUGGUUUAGGGGUGUUGACUAGUCAAUUUUGCGCCAGUCUGAAGCAGAGUCCUGGACACCUGCAUCUCUUUAGGAAGACAGUAGCCCGUGCCCUUUAGGAGUUCUAAAGUUGAUCUUUCAAAAAAAAAAAGGAGUUCUAAAGUUGGACAAUGACUAGUUGCUACUGUUGGAUCUAGCUUUGCUCUCUCUGUCCCACUAGGCCGACUUUUUUUUUUGAAGCUUUAGGCCGACUUUGACUGGCCCAAAAGAUAUCAAAGGAUGACAGCUGUUUGAGGUCCCUACAAAGUCACUUACCAUCUUCUACUUUGAGGUGCAUAGAUUUAGUUCAGGAGUCUCAAAAGUUAAUAAGCAACAAACUUGUUGACGUAUGUUUCAUAGUGUUCAAGUCAACUUUAUCAAAAUCGAAGCUCACGAGUGAAAGGCGCAGGUGCAAAGCUAUAUUCAGAAGCAUACAAUAAGUCUAGCAGAUCAGAUGACUAGAUAAGUAGAGCAGUGCAAAAUAAUUUUUGUUGAGCAGUGCAAAAUAAUGAGAUUCUCUUGUCAUCUCAUUAUUUUGCACUGCUCAACUAGGCUAUUGGAUAAAGUUGUUAUGCAUGUCUAUAUUUUAAUUUGUCCAAUUUUUUUAUUUCAGGAGACGCCAAAUUUUGUGCCAGGCUGAAGCUAACAUAUCUAAUAAUCUUCCGGAGAAGUUGCCUGCUAAAGUUAGCCAGCCUGCUAAAGUUAGCCAGCCUGCUGAAGUUAGCCAGCCUGCUGAAGUUAGCCAGUACGAAAAAAUUGUCGAGCUGCUUACCACUCUUUUCCCUGUCUGGGUAUGUUAUACGAGAGCAUGUGAAGGUUUUGUUUUCCUUUGAACUAACAGGCAGUUAUAUAUGGUGGAUAUGGUACAGCUGUUUGUAAAUAUACUAAUACAGAGAUCACCUGUGGCAGGUUAUAAUAGGUACUUUUAUUGGGAUCUACAAGCCAGCUAUGGUAACAUUUCUCCCACUUUCAGUUGCCAUCGUUUUGGAAUCAACAGUUAACACCUUACCGUUUUGUUGGGGUUUCAUUGGACAAUCUGCAGGUUACCUGGUUGGACACCGAUCUUUUCACUAUCGGGUUAGGACUUCUAAUGCUAUCGAUGGGGCUAACAUUGACAUUUGAAGAUUUUAGGAGAUGCUUGAGGAAUCCAUGGACAGUAUGUUUCUGCACUUGAAACCUUUAUCGAUUAGAUUGUCUUUUCUGUAUCCAACAUCGAAUUGAUGUAUAGUUUAUUAUGUAUGUUCUGAUGGAAUUUCUUAUUUGCAGGUUGGUAUAGGAUUUCUUGCACAGUAUUGCGUCAAACCUCUGCUAGGACUCGCUAUUGCAACGGUAACUCUAUUAUGGCAAUAAAAUGCAUAUAACCAUUAUUGCAUUUCCAAUGUUUUGUCAUCAACUAGUAUGAAAUUUCACUGAUUUUAGGUUAAGAAAGUGUUGUGAUGGAUACAAUAUAUUCUGUUUCAUUGUUUUUUUGAAUCAUGGUUAUAUUGUCGUAUUGUUGGUUAAUUCAUGGUUAUAGUCUAAAGUUUUAUCAUUGUGUGUACAGUUGGCUUGCUUAAAUAAAUGAUCACUCCUUAUAAUGUGUUUUAUUUUCCUUCAUUUUAUAUUUAGAUAAACACUUUUAUUGCUGGAUAAAGCUUACAUCUAUUAACAGUAAGUGAACAAAACUACGAUCAUGUUUCUAUCUAGGAGAACGGUAUCUAAUAGUACUUGUUAUUUCCAGUCCAAUCAAUUACAAUCUGUUGUACCUUUGUUUUGAGUUGCUGUUAUGCUGGACUUUUUUUCUAUGAUAUACAAGCUUAUUUGAGAAUUUAAUAUAAGGUGAUUUGGUACUGCCCCAUUUUAAUCAUGUUAUAUUAAGUGAACAAUGUCAGUCCAUGUCUGCCACCAUUUUCAAUAGUUUGUUGAUUCUAAAAUAUAACCUUCUCUAUUUGGAUCUUCAAUUGGGUACAUUUAAGAUGAGAUGUCUAUUCAUUGCUAAAAAGUCAUUUGACCAUAGAAUUUCUUCUACAGCAUGAAAUUUGCACUAAAGUAUCUCUAGAAGCCAUUUCAUUUUAAUUCCUGCAUUUAUAAGCACAUAAUCUAGGUGCCUUGUAUUACAGACCUUGAAGUUACCCGCUCCUCUCGCAACUGGUCUUAUUUUGGUCUCAUGUUGCCCUGGUGGACAAGCAUCAAAUGUUGCAACUUACAUAUCGAAGGGAAAUGUUGCGCUUUCAGUUCUUAUGACCACGUAAGCUUGAUGUUGCUUGUUAAAAGAAAGUAUAUUGAUUUGGACACUGCAUGCCUGCUGUCAGUUACUGUCACUAGCUUUUUAAGUUAUUGAGUUCAUCUGAUGUCAGCUCUCUUUGUAACACCAUUUCCACAAAAUUAGUGUGAACAAUGGUUGCACUCCUAAACAGUUUGCUGUUGUCUUAAUCAAAAUUUGGAUUUAUUUUGAUUUAAUUGAGCCUUCCAUGUUGAAACUUUUGAAGUACGGAAAUGUCAGGUUUAGCUAGCUUCUAUGGGAUUUUGUACUUUGUCUAGUAUCAUAGCAGUGCAUUUUUUUUUUUGGUAGAAUUUGAUGAGCAGACCAUUUAACUGUUGCAUAUCCUAUUGUCAUGUUGUGCUACUUAAUUUUUAUGCUAUGUUGCUUCCUUCAGUCUACUGCUCUAUUGCACUCUAACAUUUUACUCCCUUCAUGUUUUAGCUGUUCAACUAUUGGUGCUAUAAUAAUGACACCCCUCCUGACUAAACUCCUUGCUGGUCAACUAGUUCCUGUUGAUGCAGCAGUAAGGGCACUACAAUCCUGUCCCUAUUUGUUUCCUUAAUCUUGUCUGCUUGAGUUAAAAGGUUAUUAUGUUUGUGCAGGGAUUGGCCAUCAGUACUUUCCAGGUUGUUUUAUUGCCGACUGUUCUUGGAGGUGCUUAAAAAACUUAAUGGGAGAUUAAUUUUAUUGGCUUUAGUAUCUUAGAAAUAUUUUCUCUUACAGCUUGUGUGACUAUAUUUUUGUCACUAUGCAGUAUUGGCCCACGAAUAUUUCCCCAAGUUUACUGAGCGCAUUAUCACCGUAGCACCCCUGUUCGGAGUCCUCCUCACCACUUUGCUUUGUGCGAGCCCUGUAAGUAUAACAAAGAACUUACUAGAGUAAGGUUCAAGCAUUUGCAGAACUGUUUGGUAAUAAUUCAAAAUCAUUUUUAUAUGUUUCAUGAAAUAACAAAUUCAAAUAUUGUUGGGAUACCCCAUUUUAACCUCACCAAGCAUGUGAUGUUUCUACUCACAGUCAAGUGUGCCUAAAUUUAUCUCUUAGCUAGUAAUUUGUAAUAGUUAUAUUCUAUUCUCUUAUCUUUUUGUAAAAGUUGCUCCUCACAAUUAUAUUUUGGAUAGUAUGAAUGAAAUGCUAAUUGUUUAUACUAAUUUUGAUUGGAAAAUCAACUUUUGCAAGAUUGGGCAAGUCGCAGAAGUGUUGAAAACUCAAGGUGCCCAACUUAUUAUCCCUGUCGCUCUGCUACAUGUUGCUGCAUUUGCUCUUGGGUACUGGUUAUCGAGAUUCUCUAGCUUUGGGGAAUCAACUUCUAGGACCAUCUCAAUUGAAUGUGGCAUGCAGGUAAAGAAAUGUUGAGAUGCUCAGGUUCAAUCUGUUCUUAUCUAGCCAUAGAAAUUUGUAGCACCGUUAUUGUUUUAAUUAUUCUUACUUUUGUUUGGGAUAUUAUUAGAAAAUGGUGGGCAAGUAAAUAAUAUAUUUGGUGAAUUAUUUGUGAGUUUCUGUGCUGGUGCAGUUUGUCAUGUAGUUCUUGCUUAGACAUCAAUAUUCUGUAAAAUUAUUUUGCUGCCUGGUCUCACAAACAUGUUAUCUAUGUCUAAUGGUUGGUGAUGUUAGACAGCCUCUUGAUGAAUCUGUUUAGUUUUUCACUACUAGUAACAUUAGAUGGUUUUUUGCUAUUGAUACUCUUCUCAGUGGAAUGAGUUUUGUUGGACUCUGAACCUUCCUGGUUUUACUAGUAGUUUAGUUCGCGAAGCAUCAAAACAUUCCUUAGCUAGAUGUCUGUACAGUUAUGAAGUUUCUUCUCUUGCCUAGAGCAAUGUGGAUUUUCAAUUUAGUGUUUAACAAUGCCACUUUUUUUUGUCAGAGUUCUGCGCUUGGAUUUUUACUUGCUCAAAAGCACUUCACAAAUCCGCUCGUUGCUGUUCCUUCUGCUGUCAGCGUUGUGGCCAUGGCCGUAAGUUUCCUAGUUUCCUUCUCUUAGCCCGAUGUAUAUGUGCCACAAUUCUUUUGCACUCACUGUUAACAUUUUGCGUGGUGGCACAAGUAAAUGUGUGUUCUCAAAGGUCUUCACCUUUUUGUUCGUGACAGCUUGGAGGGAGUGCUCUUGCAGUUUUCUGGAGAAGCAUAGGGCUUCCAGCGAAUGACAAGGACGACUUCAAGGAGUGAACAAACUCAACAAGAGAACCUAUCGCUGUCACCUGGUAUUGGUUUUUAGAUGAGCGUGGUUACAUCAGAGCAGAUUCAUGUUCCCAAAUUUCAGGAAUGGAUAUCAAGGCCUAUAUUCUAUCCUGUGGGUUAUCCUUAGGGGUUACACUCUUGUUAUGUUUGUUGUGUAAUAUUUCACCUCUGCUUUCCCGCAGAGCAGUCAAAAAAGUCUUGUGGACCCUUGGGUGGUCCAAGUAACUGGUCAGUUUGUUCCAAUAGUUGAUAUGACAAUUAAGAAUUAUGAUUAUCCUGUGCUAUUGUUGAAUGCAUCGAUUGAAUUUUGAGCUACCUUUUGUCGAAGUGUUGCAGGUUUGUAAUAAUUCAAUUAUUGUGCCAAGUACAUGUUUUAAUGCUGUUUUUUGUUCGAACUGGGCCAGCCAGGAAAUUAAUUGCCUCAGAAUGAGAUUAUUCUUUUUUAAAAUGGACGAAUAUUCUUUUUUAUUAAUGCAAGAAACGAACAGAAUCAUUUGUUCAUUGUAGAAUGUAAGUAACACGAUGAAUCCAGCUGGGGAGUUCUUUUUCUGUUGAUUUAAGUAUGUUUUUUUACGCCUGCACCUGGGGGGCUGUGGCACGCUCGGGUAUUGUAUAACUCCUGCAGUCCUGCUAUGUACUCCUAGGUGACAACAUUGUACUAUGAAUAGUUAAUGGAGAAGUUACAAUAAUGUAGUAGUAACGUCAAAACCGUGGGCAGGGAAAAACUCGAACAAAACUGGUACGUCUGCGUCGCAGGCUCGCAGCAUCAGCGCAGCGCAGCUCCUGUGUGGCUGCGUGCACCUGCCAUUCUGCCUUCCCCUCAGACGGACCCCAUGGCACACUGCUCCAGCACACGCAUGCAUUGAAUGGGGCGCAUGCGCCGUGACGCGCAUACCACCAGCCCCUGAGGUCAUCGGCAACUGUACAAACGUGCAUGCCUGAGGUCACCGGCGGGCGGGUACUGUGCGAGAUACAGUAUAUUGCAGCGCUGACAGGAUCGCGUACGCAGUGGCGGUACCACUGGAUCGUGCUCGUACGCAUAUAAAAACGAUCGGCCAUCCAUCGGCGUCAAUCACCUCGAUCGCAGGAUGCGCAGGUGUGCAUCAGGGUGGGGGAGGGGAAUGACCAUCGGUAGUAUAGCAGCUCGAGAUGCACACGCGACAUUAUGGCGCUCGAUGGAUCGAUCGAUCGCGUGCCGUGCAUCCAGCCUCCAGGCAUGGCGACGGCAUCUUGCCGUCACUCCGGUGAUCCUGAUGGGAGAGGAGAGGAUCCAUCGGCGGAUCGAGCUUAUCAUGGUGCCAUCAUAAGCUCGGACGCAGUCGCCAUGCCCUCGGCCCUCGCUCGCUCAGUCGCUCUCGCCGUACCGGUAGCUGCACGCCAACUGCGGCCUGGAUUCUUGUAAUGAGACGUCAAAUCGACACGUACUGUGAAGCCUACCGAGGACCAGCUGGCCUUGUGGCAGAAACGGCGAGAAGGUCGCCGUACGCCCGUUUGGAAGAAAUUCUUCUUAUUUCGAAAUUUGGUCCACUCAGUUUUUUUUUUGCAAAAGAAUAAAAUCUGGUCCAGUCGGCGAAGCUGAUCCUUUGCGGUUUCUCUCUGAAAGCAUGUCACUAUCAGCAUCCCUCGAUUGUUGUUGCACGCCUGAAUCCUGCUGACCCCGUGGGCUCCAAACACAAAAGCUCGGUUUUACCAAUGGCUAGCAGCGAGUAGUAGUACUCCGUAGGUUGGAAUCCCGUCAUGGAGCGGUCCCCGAGAACGAGAUUUGGGGCCAGCGGUGCGCUGCACGCGCCGUGUUGCUCCUCCCGUUUUGCCCGUAUGCGCGCGCGCCGCGCGGAGCGCGAGGCAGGAGCCAUCAGCUAUCGUCUCGUCGUCUGGUCUCGUCGCGUGCACUUGAAUGGCGGAGUGGUCGCCGGACGCCGGGUGGGGCGAACGUCUGCGGCUGCCUGGCCUGGCCUGGGCGGCUGGGCGCCCGAUCCCAUCAAAGCCUUCCCGUCACGCGUUCCUCGGCGGGAAAAGCUCGUGGGCGUGGCGUGGGGGCGGUGCGCUGCGGUCCGGCCGGUCCGCGGAGGAGACCCGGGCCGGGAGGGAAUGGAAUAUCCCGCGGCGUGGAUCCUGCUCUGCAUCCGCGCGCGCACGUCGUCACGUCCGCUGGAUCGCGCCGGAUGCCCCGCCCCCGGCCUCUGCCGCGCGCAUGACCUCACCCACCACCCACGCCGCUAUACGAGGGCCAGCCGGGCAGAGGAGAGGCCCCCGCCGCCUGCAGCUUGCUGGCCGGCGGAGCUGACCUGAGGCUGACGCCACUGGCCUUUUCGAUCCGGCCAUCGCGCUGGCGAGCUCGCGUGCGGCCCGUACGCCUGGCUGCCUGGCUCUGGCUCCGCUCCCCACUGGGCAGUGGGCACUGGCCGACUGGCCGUCCGUCCCGUCCCGGCGGGGCGGUGUGAAUGAUUGAGAUGAUGAUGACGAGGUAUUUUAUCUUUUCGUCUUGUUUAUUAAUCGUCCUCUCCUUGUCAGGGGGGAGACGCAGAAAAGCAGAAUGAAUGCCCCGGAGUACUUACUUGGCAAGUCCUGCGUGCACACUUUCUUGAGUCAUCAAAUCAACCCGACUGUUCUCCUCUUCAUUUUCUUUCUGGGCAAGCAAUGACCGGAAGGUUUUCGAGAGCACGGUACCUUCUACACGUUGUAUAUACAGCCAAUACUUGCAAUACGUACAGGUAAUCGCUUCCGUUCCACAUGUGCUCGGAACACAUUCAAGGUCAAAGAUUUCACAAAGUAACCACCUUCAAACAAGUAGAGGGUUUAAAGUUUAUAAGAUGCUUAUUAUGUCACUACCGUUCCAAAUAGUAACGGGUAAGUCUUGUGUGUAUGUAUCUAUGUACGUAAGGUGACCAAAUUGAAGUUACAAAACCGAUGACCAAUACAUAGGAUCCACAGCCUGCCGGUCGCAUGAGAGUUCAACUCCAUCAGUCAAGCAUAGCUAGAAUUUUAGUGCGAUGCAAAAAAAAAGGCAUCCUCAAAGCCCCCGUUAAAAAGAACCGUAGGGGACGGAGGUUCUCACCGGACCACCGCCCCAUGUCUCUUCUUGUUGUCACGGAUCCUUUUGCCGCUCGAUCGCCAAGGCGAAGCAAGAAGCAACCACCUACACAGGACGGCGCCGGCCGGCGUUACUUUGCUCUGUCCGUGGCCGGCUUUUAUCCCCAUAUUCUGCCGUUACAUAGUUUUAUAGUCCGAUCCUACACAUGACGACGUGAUACAUCGUCGUCCUCGUCCAUCGCUUGCCGACGCCCGAAUUGCAUUUUUGGGAAUUCCCCUGCCACUAACCGCCUGGACCACCGGAGGACGGCAUGCCUAAGUGCAUGCAUGCCGGCCGGGCUAGUGUAGUGAGCACAAAAGCGAUUCCACAUCGCGAGUUUGCCGAGGUCAAGGCACCAGUUUAAUUCAGGUGCCGUUCGCGAAAAGAAGGCCAAGACUCGUCGAAUGUUUGCACUAUUGUGUGUACAUCGAUCACAACUGUGCAUGCCACAGCCUGGUUUGAUUGCCGGACGACGGUUGCAUGGCUUGCUCGCUACCACACCAGCACCAGUCGAACGCCAGAAAGAAUCGAAUCUUUGUGUGCAGUGGCUUGAGCCCUCUAACCACAGCCACCACACCACAUGAUCUAUCCCAGAUUCUAGCUAGCUUCACUGAUGGUUCUUCGACUUGUUCACCUCGAUCUCAUGUACUACUAGCACGUACGUAGUUUCUAGUUUGGCAUUGCUGAUGCUUCAGCGUGACGAACAGUACGCUACGGCCCAAGUGAUUCAUAUUUAGGGUGAUCCACGCAUACGCACGCACCUUUCGAUCCCAACUACUGCAUGCAUGGUCCAGACUAGUAACGUCUAGGCGAGCCUCAAAAGUUGUGUGUGUGGAUAUAUAUGCAUGCUUCCUUCGUCCCCGUCUUCCUUCGCUUUAUAUGCAUGGUGAUGAGAGGCCAUUGGAUUGGAUAACGCUGAGGUGGUGCCGUUGGCUGGGUCUUUCUUCCAUUUGCGGCAAUUGGCGCCAUUCGAGGAUCGAUCGGGCUACCAGCCUAGCUACCACCUCGAGAACCUGGACCGGCGUUACUGCUGCUGCUCUGCUAGCUACGUGUCAGCCUAUGAAUUCAAGAGCCUUCACCUACGGACCUACUCUACGGUCCUUUUAACUCAUCGGGCACUGCGUCGCUCAAACAGUCAAACUUGAGCACUUAACCGCAACUGGAGUACCUCAAAGGAGAAAGUUUAGGUUCAGAAAAAUGCAUGCAGGCCAUCUCGAUUUUAAUGUUCGCCCACUGCCUCAAGACGUUGACUCCUCUUUUUGGGAUAAAAUCUGUCCUUUGCCUUCUGAUAACCUUCAUGUGGGAGUACAGUAUGUGUGCUAAAUUUUCACUACAACAACAAAAAAAAAGGUGAUAGGCACUUUGCUUUAGGCAUUUUCUAAUUUGCCGCAAUAAAACUUUCUGAAAAAAUGUGUUUAAAUAAAUAGAUAUUAUGUGGAGUAUCAUAGAUAUUAUUUGUGGCACUUCAGAAGGUGGUCUCGAGUGUAGAGACACUACUUGAGAUAACCUGAAACAAAAUUGCUUGUGGAUGGCUGGAAGCACAUCUUUUACACACUUUACUUAAUUAUAAAUUUCAAAUACAAAAUAAUAUAGAGAAUUAGAGAUAUUAUUUUGGCAUUCCCAAAUUGACUCUAUCUGGUAUAUAUUGUUUGAGGCAUGUUUUAGAGUAUUUCCGCCCAUAUAGAAAUGCCACUGAUUCAGUAAUCCAAUAUAGAUGAUUCACAAAGUGUUUCUACUCUCGGAGAGUCUAAGACAAUGCAUCGGAAGGCGUUUUAUGGCAUUUUAGAAAAAAAUGACUAUGAUUACGUAGAAAUAUGGAGAGAAAAAAUAAAGUGCCUCUACAAGCCGGUUCUCUUGCAUGGAAACAUGGGGAAGAAAUCAUGCCAUACGCCCAUAUUGGUGGACGUUGGAGCGAACAAGGGAAUAGUAGUGACAGGUGGUGAGGUUGGACUUGAAAGAAGAUUGGGAGGUGUGAUUCUUCUACAGGAAUGGGAAUGAGAUAUUGCUUGACGAUUACUAGAUACUAAAUGGAGUUGAAAUUGGGGAGUACGUUAAAAAAGCCGCUGGUAGAUAAAAUCUCUACUUGUCAACUGUAGGCUCACUGGAGCUUCAAAUUUGUCUCAAAUUCGUACUGCUCUAGUACUUUACGACACCUCAAGACAAACCUAAUACGAACGAGCAAUCAUGAGCGCAUUAAGACCGGUUGCAAGAUGGCGGGCCCGGUGUUAUGGUCUUACACGAGGUGGACCAGCAGUCUAUCUAUACGUACACGUACUAAUGUACCCGUAGGCAUGCUCGUACACGUACGUACUCCUAUGGCGAGGGCCAAAGCGAGAAAGAGAGCGGUGUAUGGAGCAAAAUAGCCGAUGGAGCCGAGGGCGAGCGUGACCGAUCCCGGAGGCGAGGACCACGACCAGUAGUCCACUUGCUGGCGUGAUUAGGACGAGGGCCGGGGUCCACGGUGCAGCGGGCCGGGCAGCAGAGAAUCAUCAUCAUCAAUGAUUGAGCGAACGAACGGCGCGGGGCCACCGCCCACGAACGCACUGGCACCACCACUGCCAUAACGCGCCGGCCGCAUGCGGCAUGCCCGAGUCCCGGGGAACUUGUUGCCAAGGCGUGGCGCACGGCGGAGCUAGGGGAGCCACCCCCCUAGCUACCUUCCAGCGUGCGUGCUAGCCGUAGCCCUAGCCCUAGCCGUGGGGGCCAACCAGCCAAGGGCCAUGGCCGAUCGAUCGCGCGCUAGCUUCGGCGGUGCAUGCUCUUCUCUGAUCCUACUGCCCAUGCAUGCGCAUUUUCCUGCAUGCUCGCGGCCGCUCUAGCUAGGCCGGCCGGAGAACGGGAGAAGCUCAGAAGUCUUGCUUUCGGCCAUGUUCCACUUUUUUUUUCUAUCUCAGUGAAAAUUUACUGCUGAUCACUGAUGUUGGCACGCGCAGUGCGUGCCUGACCCCUGAUCAGAUUUUUCAGACCUUGAUCGGAUGGCCUGUGCGCCUGCGACGAGCUGGAAGGCAUGGCGCAUGCGGUACUACUCCACUGUGCAAGCCAUGCAUGCAGCGAAUCCUCGUCCGGAUCAGGGUGGCAACAUUGUCACCAGGCUUGGCAAUAAAUGUUCCCAUCAAAGCCCUGACUGUAGCUUGUAGAUGGUCGGCCGGCCGGCCACCCGGACGCAUGCAAAUUGAUGCCUGGCUCGACGUCCUCAAGCUCAGCACAUCAUUUUGAACUCAAUCAGACUCCGAGUUGACUUGUACCCGUCAAUCAACGUAUUCGCAGAUUGCGCUCACUGCUCGACCAACCGAGCUAGGGUCGGCAUUGAUGCCUGGCUCAGUGCUGCUAGCUGCGUGCUGUACGCCUAGAACCUCGCAACCGGUACAUAGGAGUAAGGUGCUCCUUUAGUCCAUGGACUAAAGUUUUAGUCCAUGGACUAAAGUUUUAGUCCACUUUAGUUCAUGAAUUAAAAAUGGAUUAAAAUGGUGUUUGGUUCAAGUGACUAAAAGUGACUAAAACCAUUAAAUGCUGUGACAAGAUUACCAUUUAGCCUUUGGAAGCUCUCCCCACCAGUUGCCCCUGGCGCAACAGCCUGGCGCCAAAUUCUGGUGGCGCCAACACCCUGCAGGCGCGCGCCAAAGCUCCAGGCGCCAUAUCACCUUCUAUUUCAUGCUGAGUAGGAACGCCAAAAUCUUUCUUGUGCCACAUGUUCAUUCCAUUUGGUAAAAAAAAGUCCAUACAAAUGUUCAUACACAUUCAUACACUCAUACAACCUGGGAGGGUGUUUUAGAGGCCUUGUCAUCUUCUUCGUCACCGGCAUCAACAUCCAGUGGAUUGUCAUAGCCGUGGCCUCCAGAGGAAGAUGCACCGCGUCCUCUUCCCAAUCUUCCUCCCCCAUAGCUCCCACCUCUGCCUCCACACCUACCGUUGGCUCCUCCACAUCCUCCACCCACUCUCCCUCCACCGGUUGCGGCGGUCAUGGACCGGCGACCACGCCCUCCGCCACCCUGUGCUCCCACCCUGCCUCCAGGGGCUAAGGAGGGAGUUGAUGCUCCAAACCAGCUGCACCCCCUGUAGGAACUCCUGGUAUGACCUAAUAUUGGGGAACACGUCGGCCUCUGAGUUGAGGUCCAGAUGCUCCAUGUGGCGGUGGGGAGCGGACAGGGAGGAGGCCGACGGCGACACGAACGAGCCGAAAUUGUCUUCGUCCGCAUCUUCCGAGGAAGUGUGGAAGCUACGUGUACUGGAUGAAGAACCCUAAUACAGGAACUCCCGGUAGUUGUAGUUAUCCAUGGGUGGGGUGCGGUGGUUGGGCGCGGUCGUGCUGGCGGCAUGGGAAGGAGAGGGAGGGGGCGGAUCCGGCGGGGGAGCUUCGGGGGUGGUGGAUCCGGUGUGUGGAGCUUCGGGUGCGGUGGAUCUAGUGGGGGAAAUGGUGCGGGCGGCCAGAAUCGAGAGGAAAUUUGGGGCAACUGGCGGGCGGUGUCAAGGAGGGGGGAGCGAGCGGAUGCCGGCGUGGGAGGGCGCGACCGCCGGUGAGAGGGCGCGGCCGCCGACAUGGAGGAGGGAGCGAGCGAUGGCUGGGUUGGGGGAGGGAAGCGAGCGGUGGUUGGGCCUACGGGGUCUGGAGGCGGGGGUGGGAGGACUCGGGGGCGGUGGAUUCGGCGGGGGAGGGCGCGGCCGCCGGCGUGGAGGAGGGAGCGAGCGGCGGCUGGGUUGGGGGAGGGAAGCGAGCGGCAGUUGGGCGUGCGGGGUCUGGUGGCGGGGGUGGGAGGACCCGGGAGGGGGGAGGGUGCGGGGGUAUGGUGUGCAGAGAAGAUUUUAGUCGGUUUUAGGAGGGGUGGGAGGGCUAAAGGAUUUUAGUCUUCUCACCUUUUAAUCUUUUAGCCAGCUUUUAGUCACCUUUUAAUCCAAAAAAUUUUAGGAGGUGGGAAUCAAAUGACCUAAGCUCAAGGAGGCGCGCACCGUAGUCUACAACCAUUCGCUCGCUCCUCUCUGCAUGCACCGCCGGCCGGCUGCACGCUCCAUUUACUCCCAUCUCAACCACCGAUUUCUCCUCUAGGACGCCGCGCGAUUGACUUGGAUGGAGCCUUUGAGUUUUUGCAGGGUGGUUUUCGCAUAUAAUGCUUCGCCAAUUACAAACGAGUCCUUAGGAAUGUUAUCGUUCAUUUUUUAAAACUUCUAUCAGCCCUCCACUCUGGCAACACCAACAAAUAUUUAGCAGUUCCAUUGUUCAUAAAAAGGGUUUCAAGAAUCUUUUAAAAAAAAGGGUUUCAAGAAAGUGAAACGUUGCAAGGUGAAGUGGAAAGAGCUGCUAGAGACAUACGAGGAGGAUGGUGUGUGGGGAUCGAUGAUAGCAACAGCUGGGGAGGCCGGCGCCAAGCAGUAGGAUGAGACUUGCUGGGGUGGUGGCAGCAGCUUGGUGGGAGUGGGCUAGGAUUAUGCAUUAAUUCGAUAGGGAUGGAGACGAUGGUGCAAAUCUAGAUCGUGUCGAAUUAAACUUUUGAUAGCAAAUAAAGUGACUAGAUUGGUUUAUAUGUAGAAUGUAUGCGAGAAUGGAUACUCUACCUGUAUAUAUACAUUUCUUCAGAACGUGAAAAGGUUGGCACGACUUGGUCUCUUUAGAACACAAUUUGAUCUCUAAUGUUUAACAUAAUACAUUGAGAAACCACAACACAAUUGUAUGAUUGUGCAAAACUAUAUUUGAUAUAAAUCUACACUUACCUUUUGUAAAUAUUCAAUGUCAGUAUAUAUACAAACUAACUGAUGAUUGGAGUUUUGAUACCUUCACAUAUCCCAGUUCCCUAAAGUCACUCUUAGCCCCCAAUAACUCCAUAUUGUUGCUUCCUAUCAUCUACUCCGUUCAUCCAAAAAGAGUAUUGUUCUAGCUUUGCCCUUAGUCAAACUAUCUUUAGUUUGACCAAGUUUAUAGUUAUGAUAUCAAAUAGGUAUACCAUGACAAUAUAUUUCAUGAUGUAUUUAAUGAUACUUUUUUGAUAUCAUAAAUAUUUUCAUUUUUAGUAUAAAGUUGGGUCCAACUUAAGAUGGUUUGACCUGGGACAAAACUAGAGUAACACUUUUUGGAGCGAAGUGAGUAUACUACUCUUAGCUUCAAAUACUUUUUUUCCCCAAUAAUAAUAUUAUUCUGUCUUUGUGUUUAGGGAGUCUCUAAUGGUUAUAUGUAGUUUUAUCUAUAAGAGUGUACAUGUAAUCUAUAUACUACACUGAAGUUAACUUCUCUAAUGGCUUACCUACAAGGUUGUCUCUUAAUUUUAUUAAUGCUUGCAUACGAUUGGUUAAUGUGGUGAUAAUUGCUUUGUUUUUUUUUGAUAAAAAUGCUUUGUUUUCUCCCAAGCAAGAACUAUUUUUGUUCUCUCCAUCCACUAAUUCUCGUCCACUAGGAUAAUUGCUAAGGUGUAGUACCACCUUAAACAACAGGAGCAACACCCAUCUUUGGACCAUUAAUCCACUAACCAACACACUUGAAAUACAGGCGGCUAGAGGGUAUAGGAUGCUCCCACUCUCCCCCCACCGCAACCACUCCUACAUUUGAAUCACGCAAGCCAAAACCGAUUGUGAAAAGUACAAAGAGUGACCUUGACACAUGCGCGCGCGAGAGUGACAAGUGCUAUUCCAAAUUUGCAACCGCAGACGACGGAGGACCUAGCUAGUAACACCCACCCACCUAUACACAAUGACUAGCUAGCGUGGAGGACCAUGCCUCACCACGAGGUGCGAGCAUUGGAGCAUACACUCACAUUUCGUUUUCCAAGCGGAAAAACCCCAUGAACUCGCGUCACACGGCUCCAUUCCACUACGAAAUAGAAGUAUUAAUUGAAAAACAAACUCCUACUCUGCCUACUAGUACCACUACUACGAGACGAGCUCGCCGGCUGCAAGAGCCCUACAAGUCUGCAGCCGAUGAAGAGUAGUACGUGCUCUCUGCCCAGAACCCCUAUAAAACCCCUCCCACAGUAAACUCCACACGGUAAAAAGAAGGACGCAGCCACACACGCACCCAUCCGGUUCCUGGCCAGCAGGCUCGAAGGCGAUGGACGGCGAGGCGCAAGGACGACGCCGCCCGGCGUGGGUCCCCGGCGCCAUCAUCGUCGGCGCGGGCCCGUCGGGGCUGGCCGCGGCCGCGUGCCUCGCGGCGCGCGGCGUCCCAGCCACGGUGCUCGAGAUGUCCGACUCGCUGGCGUCCACGUGGCGCCACCGCACCUACGACCGCCUCACGCUCCACCUCCCCAAGCGCUUCUGCGAGCUGCCCCUGCUCCCGUUCCCGGAGGGCUACCCGGCGUACCCGUCCAAGGACCAGUUCGUGGCCUACAUGGAGAGCUACGCCGCCGCCGCCGGCGUCGCGCCGCGGUUCGGCGCGCGCGUCGAGGAGGCCGCCUUCGACGCGGCCGCCGGCGCGUGGGCGGUGCGCCUGGCCGGCGGGGAGCUGCUCCUGGCGCGGUGGCUCGUGGUGGCUACGGGGGAGAACGCGGUGCCGCGCGAGCCGGAAUUCCCCGGCGCACCGCGGUUCGCCGGGCGCGUCAUGCACACGCGCGACUACAAGUCGGGCGAGGUGUUCUCGGGGAAGAAGGUGCUGGUGGUGGGGUGCGGCAACUCCGGCAUGGAGGUCAGCCUGGAUUUGUGCCGGCACGGCGCCAAGCCCUCCAUGGUGGUGCGCAACACGGUAACUAAUGAUCCCCGUGCUUGCUUACUUACUCCUAGUCCUAGCUAGGACCCGUCGUUUUCUACUCCCGUUGUCUUGCUUUGGACAGCGAAAGUACAAGUGCUGCGAGUUUUGUGCCAUCCUGCUUGAGCACUUUCCCCUUGGAUGAUUGUCUUUGCGCGCGUCGCGCUUUGUUUUUGCUGCGAUCUUUUUUGGGGCAUGCCUUAAUGUGCGUGGUCAUAUUUGGGCACGCUAAGCAUUAUUAGACCUACUAACAUGUGGUACGGUGUUGGGGAUGUCUCUGUCUUGUCCCGUGCCAUGCUCAGCACCCAUAACAUUCUUCUUCGUCUUUGUUCUCUCUUCUUUCGUUCGCAUCAGAAAUUAAAGCUACAAGUAUGUGAUGCGUUUUGCGCAGGUCCAUGUGCUACCCCGGGAGAUGCUUGGCCUCUCCACGUUCGGCAUCGCCAUGGCGCUGCUCAAGCUGUUCUCCGUCCAGGUAGUCGACCGGAUCCUCCUCGCGGCGGCGCGGCUGACGCUGGGCGACACGGGCAAGCUCGGGCUGAGGCGGCCCAAGACGGGGCCCAUGGAGCUGAAGAACCUCACCGGCAGGACCCCGGUGCUGGACGUCGGGACGCUAGGCCACAUCAAAACCGGCAAAAUUAAGGUUAGUGGCAGCCUACUUGCAUUUACACCAUGCUUUCACCAAAGGAGAGCAGCAGCAGUAGAAGAAGAAAAUCACCACACGCACGACCAGUCAAACCAUGGGAAUUUGAACCCCGGGCCGGGCGCGGUCGUGGGCCUGUGCCUCAUCUGGCAUGCCAGCCCGGCUUUAAGGCUCGCCUUGCUCACACACACACACACACACACACACACACACACACACACACACACCAAUUCUGCGAUUGGUUUCCCCCUGAGAAGCGGGCUCUGUUUUUAACCUCUCGUCCUGCAUCAAACCUACCGCUGAAUGAGUUGCUGAUGCGAAACAUGAUCGCCAGGUAGUGGGAGCAGUGAAGGAGGUGACCCGGAGCGGGGUCAGGUUCGCGGACGGCAAGGAGGAGCAGUUCGACGCAAUAAUACUGGCCACAGGGUACAGGAGCAACGUGCCGUCCUGGCUCAAGGUAAAUUCACCUCCCCCAUUCCUCCUUCCUAGUACUGCAACGAGGGGCAAGGCAAAGAUGAAAAGUGACGCCGGCGAAAAGGACUCGCUUGUUUGUUGGUUCGGGGCCCUGCCCUUUGCCGAGCAGAGCAGCAGCUGCUGCAGCGCGCAUCAUGUCGUCACCCCUGUUCGGCCAUCCUGCCCCCGUUGCCCUUCUCGUGUAUGCCGGGCGCGCAGGCGCAGCUCGUGCCCCGCGCUGCGCCGCGCGUUCCUUUCUCCCGAAGUGUUCACCCGCGCCCAAGUGAUCGAGUCAGUGAGUCACCCCGGGGGUAUGGGCGCGGGCACAGGAGCAGGGGCCCCAACGCUGGCUUGGCGCUGAUCCAAGGACUAGGGUGAGGACGACGGGUUCGUAUACGGACUCGGGAGUUUGGAUAUACGCUUUGGGUCCAGUGGAUAGAUACUUGUCGAUACCUCAAGGUGAACGGUCGAUUUGUAUGCAACGUGUGCAACGAGAAUCAGCCAAGUUAAUAACUUGCUGCAUUUACAAUAUUUCUUCUUCAUGUAGGAGUAUACUGUUUGCGACCUUGCUCAUGAACCUCGUUAUCUUCUACUAUGCAGGAUGGAGGUGACGUGUUCACGAGAGAAGGCAUGCCCAAGACCCCCUUCCCCAACGGCUGGAGAGGGAAGAACGGGCUCUACACCGUCGGAUUCUCUCAGCGGGGGCUGCUCGGCGCGUCGUCCGACGCCCUCAACAUCGCCAGAGAUAUACAUUGCCAGUGGAAGGACAUGGGCAGACCCGCUAACAAUAAUGUGCUCCAAAGUGACGAUACUGUUUGACUCUCGUGUAAAUGUACAGUACGCAAGUGGUUAUAUUAAUGUCUUCAAAAGGUACCAUUUUGUGUGCUUACGACAGCAUGAUUUUCGCUUACCGAAUUGGCCAACUUAAAAGCCUUUUAGGGCACGAUUGGUUCACUGCCGAUACUAACCAAACCAAAUUUUUGGCGUGCGCAUAAGUAACUUGCUCCCUCCAUCCAUCCAUUCCAAAAUAAGUAUCCUUUUAGUAUUCAAUUUUUGUCACAAAGAAUGUACCUUUAGCUUCUAGUAAGACUAAUCUAAUUAAAAGAACACUCACACAAAUAAAAUGGAACAUAUAGAGAAGCGUGUAGCACCAAUCAAAUGGCUAAUUGAUGUUAUUUGUUAUGACUACUAUUGUGUCUAAAUUUUCUAAAAGGACACUCUUUGUGGGAUGGAGGGAUUAGAGUCUAAUAAUUGCAUAUUAAUAUCCGUUCCAAUUAAACCAACAAAACAAGAUAUCACUCAACUAUAUUUCGAUACAAAACAAAAUAAUGACAUAUGGACCCUACAUUGCAUACUAAGAGACGAGUAAAUUUUGCAAUUUUUGGCAAGCUAUAAUUUAAACACAACUUUGCUAACGUUUUGGUGUAGCCCAUAGUUUGGUCGCGACCAAAAUUUGGCUGGACUAGAUGGGCUUAAACCAAACAUGCCCUUUGAUAGAAUCAAUCGGCGAUGGUCAAUAUGACAUGGUAAAACUCAUAGACUCAUGUUUGUGAUGUGGAUUUAUUUUAUGGUAUGGAUCAAUUGAUGAUCAUCCUUCUUAUUUUACGUGUUAACUUUGUUACAUAUUAGUAGUACCCAUUAUUAAUCAUAGUCGUUGAAGUGGACCGUUAGGUCAUGUGGUUUUUUCACUACCAGAUAGUCUCAUACAUAUCGUCUUCUUGCAAGUGCUGGCAAUCUAACGACACAAAUAGCUAGUAAGCGAUGGUAAUAUGUUGACGCUCAAGAAUAGAGAUAAUUUAUUGUCUUUCAUUUUAGUUACAUACCACUUGGGCCCAUCUAGAACCGUAAGUCCAGGAAAGAUGAAGCCCAAAAGACCCUAUUUGAACCCAUGUUGGCUGGCAUGGCGCAAAUCUCGACCUUGUGUACGAAGGCAACGAACCUUAAUCUAGGAGGCUUCUAAAAGAACUUAACACUUACAUAUCCAAAACUUAGUAUGAAAGAUACAUGGGAACAUGAAAAUGGAAGGUGUAAUGGCCGACACACCAUGCAUUGUGCUAACCAACACAUAAUAUUUUGACGUUGAUUUGACGUACCAUUUGAACCAGAGGUUUACAUAAGAUCUCAGGACUAACAUGCCUGAAGAUGAGUGAAAUUGGAACAUGGGAAGGUGAAAAAGGGAAGUGAACCAAUCGGUUCAUCCACUGAACUAACAGACACAAUUUGAUUUGGUGUUGGUUUGCUCAGGGUAUAAAUAGAGGGGGUUCCUCGAUUCAAAUCAGGGAUCCAUCCACUAGAAUUUUAUAAUAAAACCAAAUGACACGCACCAUACGAAGUUGAUGGCACCUGCAAGUCUUUGAUUUGUCUAGGAUAUGACUUAGGCUAGAUUCUAGCCAGUGUGAUCACCCUGAGUGAAAUGAUCAUACUGGAGUUUAGGAGCUACAUGUUUCAUCAUUGUAGAUAUGAUAUAUAUAGGUGGUGAUGAUAUAAUGUAUACAAUGUUGAAUAGAGUUCAUCAUGUCUUCCGAUCUAUUACCGACUGAGUGUUUACUUUUAUGCUUUCUACUAUCAUGGAUAUGAUUAUUCCUAGCGCAAUUCUAGAUUAGACUUUUAGCAUGCUUUAUGUAAUCACACUGAUUAGAUUUAGUGUAUCUGUCCUCCAUGAUAGCUAGACAUGUGCUUAAAAUACCCCCCUUAGAGAGCUCUUUGUGGUCAUGUCUAGAAACCUCUUGCACAUAAUGGCAGAGUGUGGCAUGAUCUGGGCUUAAUAGGGCAGUAGUACUUUGGGUUAGACCGAAGGUAAUAGUUUAAUAACUGUUUUUGGAUGAGAUGUUUAAUUUACUUGCUCUUUGGCUAAAGCUAACUACAAGACGUUUGGCUUAAGUUAACUUUGGUUCUGUUACAUAUCUACCUAUCUAUGGAUGUAAUCCACUCAUGCAUAUAUAGCUACCCUAUAUUGGGGUUAAUUUUUAUAUAUAUACAAUCUGAAUUUCAUGAUAAUAUUAGAUCUUUUAAGUUAUCAUAAAGCCUUAGAUUAGUUUGCCGCCGAUAUUUGUGGAUUCGGUUAAAGCCUAGAAUACUCUUGGGGGAAGCUACAAUUGUCACCAUGUACUUGACUUUUGCUUAUGGCGAUUACUUACAUGUUUUCUGCAAUUGCAAUUGCCAAUGAUAAGGGUGAAGAAGAAUCGAGAGGGUGUCAAACGGGGACAAAUAGACAAUCUUCACUUUGUCUUAGUUUCAUGCAACAAGUCAAUGUUAUUUUAAUAACUUGUACAAAUCAUCUCCAUAGAUGCAUGUAGAUGCAUCUAUAUAUCUUUUAUGACAAGAUUGCGUCCAACAUCACGUGUUCCAUUUUAUAGCGCGACCACCACCAAUGUCAAUAAGAGUAUAAGAGAUCUUUCUACUUCACAGCUUACCACUGGCAGUCAUUUGUUGCUGCCAUCUUAGGCCCAAGUCAUUAUUGUACACAUAGAGCAAUCAUUACCCAUGUAGACGUGCAGGCCCUGCCUUUCAUGUGGGGCAGGACCUACUGCCGGCACCACAAGAAGGUGAAGCGUUAGUGAUCACAUCAGAAGCUGCCCCAUCUGUAUGUAAGGGAGUACUUUGCAUCAUUGAAUAAAGCAAGAAAGAUGUUAUAUUUUGUUCCUAAUUUUUAUUAGCUUCCGUGAUUAUAUUCAUGUAAUAGUACUUGUUCUCUAAUAUCAAAUUUCGUAGGUUAGGAAUUUGGGGUUUUGGCUCAAAUUAUUGGCUGUUCUUUGGCUCAUAAGCUUGCUAGCUAUCAACUGGUGCAUAUGCAAGUACACAACAUGGAAAUGAUAUCUGUCCAAUUGAACCAAUGAAAUCAUAUAUCCUGGCAAGGAAGACAUGUCCUGCUAUUCAUGUGUCAGCUCAACGUUGGGUUCAUGCCAAAAGAAUUAACAAAGAACUGACUUUCCAUUCGGAUUUGAACCUGUCACAAUUUCUAAAUUCAAGGUAUGAGCUCUUUCUUUUUCAGAUCUAUAAUAAAAAAUGUCUCCCUCAUAAAUUAACUAAAGUGUUAUUCAUGGAGGAAACUGCCAAUGUUUAGGUUAUUGUGCAGAUUAUCCAUUCUUCAUGAAACUAAAUGGCAACAUUUUAAUAAUAAACAUAGAUACUACAAGAAUUUGAAAAUCAUUAUUAUAAUAGUAUUUCAACAAUUAGUAGAUAAUAAUUUAAUCUUACAAUUUUUUAUAGGUUCAUCCCUACACAUGAUUUUAUCAUCUGCAAUAUUAUAUUUACAAAUCAAAUGCAUACGCCAAUUUUAUUUCCUUCCAUUUCCUGCUCUAUGCAAGAUAAUAACAUUAGCAUUGUACUACACAGUAUAUAGACUUGUUUGAGGACUAAAAAAAGUUGCCUCUAGCUACCGCACUUUGUUUCUUCUUUCUUGUAUGUUGAUACAACCGAAACUACACUGUAUGUUGAGCCAUGAAGCUAUUACUUAGGUAGGGGUAGACAGUGUUGUCUUAGAAAGUUUCUAGCUCCUCUGUUAGUAAGAAAUGGUAGUCCCCCAAGGCCAUGAAUCAAUUAAUAUGAUAAACACGUGGUACAAAAUAUUGGAUUUUUACAUUUUCUGCUGUUUGGUUUUGUGUGUUUAUGUGUAUCUUUUUAUUUAUAUAUAUUCUACUUGAUCAUAUUGUUCAAAUUUUUUUUACAGAAGGGGCUGGAGCCCAUAUAUUUAGAUUGCCAUGAAGUUUAUAAAAAUCACCCUGGAGAAGAUCAAAGUUACAACACGCCUCAGCACACAAACUCCAUUGCACAAUCUUACACAAAGGACCCAGAAGAAAAAUAAAUUUGACGUAGCAAUCCUCGGAUCCUCUGCCGCUGCUCCUAGUUGGAGCGCCGUAAUCAUGAUCCGCCAGAGUCAGGGAAGGAGCACCGUAAUCGGGAGAAGAGGAGCUCCACCAAGCAGCCCAACGAGACCUCCAGCUUUUUAACGCUGCAAGACAUCUCUCCACUGGGGUAUAUUGGCAGUCACUGUUGGAUUCUUGGCUAAGUAGAAGACCGAUGACGCCGACGAGGUCGACGACCCGGAAAAGGAAUCGAGCGACAACAUAGGAGAACAAAAAAGGAACCCCGUUGACCUGGAUAGAAGGCAACCCUAGCUAGAGGACAGAGGAUCUCCAAUCCCAACCGCGCAUAGGGUAGAUAAAACAUACCAAAACAUAUCCGCACUAGAAAUUGUAAUUGUUAUUUUAUAGAUUGUUCGGAUUUUUAAUCUUGUCUCUCUACAUUCUAAUAUCAUUUCAUUUUUCUGUAGACUGACAUAUAUACUUGUGCACGAACUGUGAAGAGCUUAAGUAUUGCUCGUGAAACCCCAUCUUCUAGGGCUAUACUAUUUGAGCUCUCUUACCAACUACUUGCUGCCAUGUUACGAUGGUGUGUCACAGUUGCCUUUUUAACUUGCUUGUGUUGGCCUUUUCUUUUGAGGGCAACUUGCUUGCUGCGUUGAGUUAGUAUGUGUUGGACAAUUUAUGAAGAAACUGGGUUUGAACAUGGAGUCCAUGCGUUUCUUUACCAAAGGCUUUCAGUAAUCAAAUCAAUCAGUGCACAGAAAAGAGUUGACCUAUAUACUAUACUUAGAGCAGCAAACUAAAAAAAAUGCCAGCAGUCGCUGGGCACACCCCUUGGCACAGAACCUCUUUCACGCGGUGGUUGGCGUGCAACAUCAAAAAUUCGAAGUCGACAUACAGACAUCUAGAGGCAGGAGUGCGCCAGUGUAUCUCAUUCAUAUACAUACUGAAUGCUAAAAGUAGCGCUUGGCUGAAGCUAUCCCACAAAACGGGAUGCACGGCGAUGCGGUCGAACGCUCACCCAACAUGGUGUCGCACACUUGGAUACAUGUCCUGGAACCGUCCUUGGGAUCAAUCGGCUUGAUCUCAACGCUUAGCUCUAUCCCUCGGCCCUGCCGGUCGCGCACCAUCUUGUCGCACAGCCUCUGGGACAGUAAGACGCCACCUUUCGGCAGAGACACGUCCAGGUCCACGGCCGACCACCUGCCCACGCAGAAGGAAGGCAGUCUGCUCCACCCGACGACGCUCGUCUCGUUGUAGUACAUGACCACGGCCGUGUUCUCCCAGCAGACUCGCCGCAUAUGCUGUUGUUGUCCACAUGGAUGGUGAGGCUGAAGGCCGGCGCCGAGACAGACGCAUCAAGGCUCUCGAGACCUUAAACUUGGACAGAGAAGCGAGGGUGCACGUAGCGAACCCGGCCUAGCAGGUACGCCGAGCCACAGAACAGCAGGACGAAGGCGCAGGACCACCAGGAGCCAUGCAACGAAGGGAGGAGUUUCGCCGUUCUCGCCUCGUUGGUCGGGUCUCACUCUCGCGUAGUCGGCCAUGACACCCCCGAGAUCGAUCUGUGAACGAAUCUCAGAGAUAGCCGCCGCGCCGGUCUGGAAUAUAAGGGGGUGUUUGGAUACACCCUCCUAAACUUUAGGACCUGUCACAUCGGAUGUUUGGAUACUAAUUAGGAGUAUUAAAUAUAGUCUAAUUACAAAAUUAAUUGCACAGAUGGAGUCUAAUUCGCGAGAUGAAUCUAUUAAGCCUAAUUAGUUCAUGAUUUGACAAUGUGGUGCUACAGUAACCAUUUGCUAAUGAUGGAUUAAUUAGGCUUAAUAGAUUCGUCUCGCGAAUUAGUAUAGGGGUUCUGCAGUUGGUUUUAUAAUUAGCUCAUGUUUACUCCUCCUAAUUAGCGUCCGAACAUCCGAUGUGACCCUCCUAAAGUUUAGGACUUCGUAUCCAAACACCCCCUUCUAUAGCACGCGCGCCACGCAGCCAGCUAGGAUCCGUUUCGGUUGGCCGGUGUUCCGAGCUAAUCGUCGUCGGACUCCCUAAUCCGAUUCGAGUCCAAGUUCAAAAACCAGUACCACCUUUCGAUGCAAUUCAGUGCUCUGAGUUGCAAGUUUUCUUCUUCGUUAAAGAAGAAAUUCGACUUCGACAGAAGGCCUAUGGCACGCCGAGUGUCGACUAGGAGCAGCAUAGUGCAUCUUAGAGCUAUGAGAUCGGAGUUUAUAUUUCAUCACGUAAUCUUAUUUAUAUAAACAGUUCACUCAUCUUUCUCCUUAUAUGAUAUAGCAGUGCUCCUGCCCCUUUACGUUUAAAAAAAAUCAGUACCGCCGCCUCUGCCCACGCAAGACCCGGAUCCGUAUGGAUGACGGAAACAAUUGCAAUAGGUGACUAUAAAUAGCACAGGGCCAAUACAUACAUGGGCUAUAGGCACGAAAUUUCUCCAGACGCGCGCCCUGGCUACAAACUUCGCUAGGCGAGCCAUGGAAGGUCUCCGACGCGUUGGACACCCGUUCUUGGACUUCGCUUACGAGGGACUCCCUGCCCGCCACGACUCUAGGGUGAAAUUCGCGCUAGACUUCGUAGCAAUGCAGCUUGGCCUCGCGAUCUCUUGUAUCUAUGUGCUCGCGUCGGUGAUCUUUUGCUUGGUAAUGCACCAUAAUAUCAUGUACUCGGUGGAAGAUGCGUCGUCUGGACACUGCUAACAGGUGGAGGUCACCGGCAUCGAGGCAUCAGGUCUUCCGGGCCCGCAAGACACGACACCCUCGUCGCCGCUGCGCUUCAACCUCACUGCCCGCGUCGUCAACCGCAGAUCGGACACGCCGAUAUGCCUAAGAAACUGGCAGGUUGAUGUUUGGCACGCUGGAGUACCAUUUGGUAAGGCCUACUUCCCUGAUACGUGCUUGGAGGCCGGGAUGUCACAGACAGUAUUGAAGGCGUCUGCGUCGAACUCCGAGCUGCGAGGGCUGCACGGUGAAAUUCUUCAGCACCACAUGGCGAGCCGCACAUCACCUGGACACCUUAAUAAAGAACUGGUUGAGACGACACUCAACCAAUGUACAAAAUAGUAAGCUAUGAGAUUUAGCGUAGCGCUGUCCGCUAUAGUUCACUAUAGUGUCGCUAUAGCCCACUAAUUAGUACAACACUGUUGUAACGGUAGCUAGCAUCAACCGCUAUAGCCUGCUAUUUCAUACAUUGCACUCAACUACUUCAACGACCAUGAUCACAGAGGAAAGUUCGACCGGCUAUGGUGUCACGCAACAAUGGACAUGCAAUCGCCACAAUCUCCGUGUCGCAUUCACAAUUUAUGGCCUCUGGCAAAGUAGAGAGAAAUCUUCCUAGGUCAUGUGUUCGUUCUAUGUAUCAUUGGUAUACCAACGGGUCUACCAAUGGGAAUCAAGUAAUUAUAUUUAAUUUCUCCUAGCAAGAAAAAGAAGAGUACUAUAAAAAAUUUGUGAUAUAUACACAUGCCGAUAUGCGUGCGUAGCGCAACAGCGGUGCCAUGUAUACGAGACAUAUAUUCUUCAUCUUUAUUUCACUGGAAUCAGAUAUAUAAUAUAUUCUCCAUCUUUAUCCUUAAUAUGAUCCUGUAUUAAAUUAUGGGUUUCACAUAUAACAUAUUUGUCUUCUUUUUCUAAUCUGUGUUGCCCAUUCUCAUAUUAUUUUGUUGACGUGCACUUCCUUCGUUCUAAAUUAUAAUGCACUUUACCUUAUCAUAAAUGAAACUUAUUUAACUUCAACCAAGUUUAUAGAAAAAUAUCUACAACUUAAAAUUUAAUUUUAUUAAAUCUACCAUAAAAUAUAGUGCAUUUAUUUUGAAUUGUUGAUGUUAUUGUAUUUUUGUAUAAAGUUUAUCAAAAUUAGUCAAUUUUGACUUUAGGAUAAAACUAAAGUGAACUGAGAUAUUAACUUUUUGUGUACUUUGACAAGUAACAUAUGUUUCCUGUUUUUUUAAGAAAAAUAUCAAAUUUAUACCCUCCAACUAUGAUGAUGUAGUCUAAUUUUCAGACCUGUAUGACAUAAUCGGAAAAAAUUGGCCAGUGGUUAUGAAGGUAGUUUUCUAUUUUCUAAAAGUAAUAAGCAAUUGGUUUAAUAAAAUUCAUGACUAAUUUAUUUCAAAUUAGAAAAAUAUGAAACGUGUAUGUGUUUUUUCUCAAAAAAUUUAAUCUAUCUUUUGGUGGUAUAUUUUGUACUUAUUUUGGAACUUAUUUGUUACUUCACCCUAUUAUUUUAUUGCUAGCACUUGUGCCAAUUGCUUAUUUAAAUUAUUGUUUUUGCAUUGUAUAAAACCUAGAGAUGGACCAAGAGUUUAAGUGGACUGUAAGUGUACACAGAAGAUCUAGAAGACGAUACCAACCACACAAGUGCCAUGCUCCACUACAUAUAGAUCCUAUUAGGCAUUUCAUCACUACAACUUUACUUUAUGUGGUUACAUGAUUAGGCUAUAGGUUUUAAACAAGGCUGGGGAUCAAACAUCAAGUAAUCAACUAUUUGGAAAAUGACAAUUUAAGUAAAUAACAGACAUGACUAGACCAACAAGCAGUAAAACACAAGGAAUAUGAGGAAACAAGAUCAAAUAUAGGUACACUUUUAGAAAAAAAAGGUUGAUUCUAGUUUCAUAUUUUUAAAUUUGAAACAAAUUAGUUGUGAAUAUUUUAGAUUAAAAAAGUUCUUAUUAUUCCUAAAAAAUGGAAAACAUUUUUGAAACCACAUAAAGGACCAAAUUUGUAUGGGUUUAGUAGUUGGAUGGUGCUCGACGUGAUUUUGUGGUUUAGGGUUGAUUGAAAUAGUUGAUGGGUGUAAAUUGUGCAUAAUUAGAUUCCAUGAUGACCAUGAAUGUGCGUGCAGCAUGACGGUGAUGCCUCUUGCUAGGAGCACACCCACCCGAGUUUGAUUCCUAGCGGCAACGACUCUGGAUGUCCCACUGGGAUUUAUUUUCAAAUUUAAUUCUGCAAUUUCUGGACGUAAACGUGGAGUCAUAAUGGUAUUGUGACAUGCUCGUCACCUAUGAAGCGCUGCAUGAUUUCAUCGAUAACCAGAAGGAUGGGUGGUGGAUGUAUAGUUUGUAGGUUUAGCAUAUGUGAGUGUGUGUGGGUGUAUAUGUGUGUUUGUGCGUGCGUUCAGAUAUUAAAGUGGUACCUUAGUUGUCAUGGCUAAAAAAUUAGUCAAUUAUGGAUAGUGAGGUUGAAAGCCAUCACAAAGACAAUAGAAUUGCACAGUGAUGCGCCUGACGUGCCCAUCAUCUUCGCUUCACCAAGCUCUUGAUACCAAUUGUUGAUUUUGCUCAGAAUCACAAACGAAUUUGGAGAGAAAAGAAUUGAAGGAAAAACACACACAAUUCCAGAACUGCAACAGCUUAGCUCUUCCUCCUUUUCUUUUCCUACGUCCUCAAAAUACUGAUGCUUUGCUCUGCUUUUAUAGUCCAAACAGAAGCAUAGCACUUGUACUUGGAAUACAACUCUACCUUGAUCGUGCGGACAUACAAGGCUCGAGGCCAUCUCAUCUAUGGUCUGAACUUCCUUGUUUGCACAUCUACUUCCUAAACUAGUAUAUGGCAAUAGACUCUAAAUCGGACUUGAUUUGAGUCCUUGCUUCUGACGUGCAUGUUUUUCAUACAGAUACAUGCAUGACCAGUCCUACAAGGACUCAAAUACAUAAUGCUUGACUACAAGUACGUUUAAUCUACUUGCCUACUUUAAUAAUAAACUUGAACCAUGCCUAAAUAUACAAAAAACGAGAUUAAACCCCACAUUCUAAAGAAAGAAAGUGGCCUCGGACAACCUACUUAGGCAAACCAUGGGCACUCAUAUGGCGCAAAUGCUCCAUAAUAAGGAUCUAAUCCACAUGGACAUCGCCAACAAUAACCUCUUUUUUUCGACUCAAUCUAAUGUAAGCAUCAAAGAUCAGGCAGGGAUGAAGAAAGUGGUGAAGAAGUAGGGUGUCAUGUUGUUGUUCUAUUGCUUGAUGCUAACUUGUUCCUCCUCUUGUUACUAAGUUUCUCCAUAUACUUGCUCUUUGUCUUCAUGUUAGGAUAAAUAUUUUAUUCGUUGAUGAUUCUGGUGAAGAAGAAUAGGAUGCUAGUGGAGAAAAGGAGGUAGUUAAAAAACAUUUUUUUUUCUUUAGCAACGGAAAAUGUAGAGCCAUCCUACAUGAUCAAUUGAUUGGAUCUUGGUUGAAGGGUGAACAUCGAUGUAUAGAAUAUUUAUGGUCCCAAGUCAAUAGGUUACUACUUUUCUACUAUGCUUUGGGAAAUUUGUUUGCUUGUCAGCUGCAGUACAUGUUAGGCUCUAGCUUUGGAUGUUGGAUAUUCAUCUAUACGAUGUUGUUGUUUAGACCCGCAACCUAUCGAAUGUAUCCCAAGAAAGUAGAUUGGUUAGAUGGGUUUGUUGAGAUCAGCAACUCGAUGGUGAAGGCGAGACACGAUUUAGAUAGGUUCAUUGAAUAUUGUAAUACCCUACGCCAUGUGUGGUGUAUUGCCUUGCAUUGGGAAUUGGGAUUGAUUGAUUCUUUAGGGUCCCUGCCUAGCCUUAUAUCCGAGGACUAUGUUACAAGUCAUUUGUACACAAAUCCUAGUUGGCUAAGACGGGCGAAGUCCUAAUCUUAUACAAAGGAGUACUUUUCAUUUAUCAGACUAGUUUUAUUCUUAGUAUGGUUGACUACGUCAUCCUGCACCGUAGUCUCGAUCCGAGCAUGUGGGUUGUCCUAUCUCCAUUCUGAAGUUGUCCAUGCCACGCAGUAGGUUGAUGGAUCUCAGUUCGUCACAUGAUGAGGUGCAAUUUCCUAGAUCAUUAUUCGUAUGAUUGAAAAGAUUUUUUUAAAAAAAUGCAUCCUGAGGGGUUUAGAAUGGCUUGGGUUCCGUUUAUAAAGGAUAGCAUAAACAGUAUGCACAUUUUUAUCCUCUAGGGAGAGGGAUCGUGGCACAUGUAAUUCUCUCACUAUAUGUUUGUGCUUUGAUACCUAUAUUUGAUUUUGGUUCUUGAAGUCAAGUCCAUGCAUGAUUAUGGUGGUGUGAAUUAAAUACCCUAUUAUGAAUUUGAAAUUUAAAUUAAUAUGCAUUGUGUAAAGAAUAUUUUAGCCAAAUUUAUAUAGGCUGCUCACAACUUUAAGAUUAUCGUAUUAAUUUAUGUAGCCUUCGCAUUGUUUAUAGGAUAAUGGUACAUAAGAACUUAUAAAAUUUAGAUCAUUAAUAGGACUGUGACCUAGUGUCAAAUAUAUUCUUUUAAAAAGAAUUUAUAGACCAUGAAUAUGUUAAUUUAGGAUUUUAAAAAAUUAUUAGAUAUUUUGUUGGUCAGAUUAUAUUUGAAUACUUUGAUAUUAAUCAUACAUGUUUUCAUGUUGUAGCAAAUAUUUCAUAAAUCUAUCUAAAGGUGAAGUACAUACUAAAUGUUUGGACAUCUACAUGGAGUACAAUUAUAGUUCUACUUAUUUUGUCUCUAAAGGUAAGACACAUGUUGACACAUGUCCAAAGCACAAUAUACCUUACCAUGUUUUGCCAAGAAGUGAAUGCCUCACCAUUUAUAUAGAAGCAAAUCAGUGGUUGCAUGAACAAAAUCAAAUCUUUGUAACACUCUUUCUAUUACUAGAUUCAUAAGAAUUAUCAAUUAUUUCACUAUAACAAUUCACUUGUUUUAGUCAAUUUUGAAGAUCAAAACUUUAUUUGGAUGAUAUUUUUUAACAUCAAGUGCACACAUUUAUUGGACAUUUACUUACUUUUUAGAUGCCUUGGUUAUUGUUACACAACUUCUUCUACAUAUCUUGAGUUUAGAGUUAACAAUUAGAUUGUAUGUUGUUAACUUAGGUAUAUAUGUAGGCCAACUGUUUGUUAGCUCAACCCGAACAUGAGAUUUUUUGUUAUUUCAUAGAAAAAUUAUUAAUUUCUAUAUUGGUUAUCCAGUAGCAAACAUAAUAUAUUAUGCCUCUUGGGCUAUGUAUGGUUGUUUUCUCAAUCUUUCUAUGAACAAACAGGGCAAGCAUAUUUCAAACACUUACUCUCUCAAUUUUUCUAUGGACAAAUGGAAAAACGAUGCAUUGCUUUUAUAAAUUAAAAGUCUAUACUUACAAAUGAUACUAUCAACAUAUUUGAUGAUAAAAUGCAUUGUUAACUCAUGGGAUUUGUUACUAUUUCCUUCAAGUUUUGCAUCAUGAAUAUAAACAUGACCGAUACUAUUAUUGUUAUUGUAAUACUUACCAAUUUGCCAUGAGUGGUAUUUUCACACCAAGCACGCUACUUGUAUAUGGGGUCACUCUUAUAAUUUGUUCAAUAGCAAUUGUUAUGGUACUCCAAAAUGAGUAUGGGAUAGACGAAUAUAACUAUUAUAAUUGUCACGCUAAUAGAUGAAUAUAACUAUUAUAAUUGUCACGCUAAUAGAUGAAUAUAACUAUUAUAUUAAAUUUAUUUUUUUUGGAAAAUAGGAUAAAUAAGGGAAAAAUUACUAGGUAGACCUAACUUUCCUAGAUGGCCUAUUAGAUCUAACUUCUUGCAUGAUGUAUUGUGAUAGGUGCGUUAAGUGACAACUAAUGUAUCUUUUUUUUUUGCUAGUGUGUUAAAAAGAAUAACAUGACCUAUCAUGAAGUGUGUGACAAACUUGAAAGAAAACAUGUAUUAAUCAUGUUUCAUGGGAUAUUUUGCAUGCGACAAACCAUAGCUGAAAAUGUGCCUUCAAACCAUGGUGAGUUCUCCACAUGUGAUACCUCUGUUAAUGGUCAAGAUGUGACAUGCAACAUGUUAGGUCCAUAUGUAUUUUACCAAGUGCAUAACUACAAAAGUGAGUAACGAUAUAUAUUUCGUUCAUUCAAGACUUUGUUUGGAGUAAACUGCAUUACUAUAAAAGUAACACACAACUUGCAUAGCAGGUUCACACAGGUCAUAUAGUUUGUGUCACACCCGGGUUUAUAAACACAACCAAAUGUUCACUUUAUGUAUGUCAUGAUCAUAUUACAUACAUAAAGUUUGAGUACAUCAUCUGAUAUACAUUGCCAUAUCAUGUUAAAACAUCACAAAAUGACCUAGCGGUCCAAAAGAAAAGUACAAUUAUUGCUUGUUAUCUUGUGCAGAAGCAGGCUCCAUGACCACAGACAAUCAACCGGGGGUUCACACUCCUAGAUCUUCAUGGCCUUCAUCACUUGAGCAGCAUUUAUGGAGGGAGAGAGAGAGAGAGAAUAGUAGAGGUUGAAGGGGAAAAGUGUGGGAGGUAAGGAAAUGAAGGUUUAGAUCAAGAACUAGCUGCAAUUUGCAAGCACAAGUUUUAGUCGGUCAUAUUUUAUUAAACUACAUACUUACUAUGAUGAGAGUCUGCAACCCAAACCCAACUUCAAGGUGAAACAUCUAUCAUCUAGAGCCAAACAACCCAUCCAAACCAACCAUACCACCAACUAACCAUGUGAGGGUCCAAGCUACUCUUGUUGAGCAUGUGGCGGUUAUAACCGUUUUACACUCUGCAGAGGGGGUACAUCUUUACUCACGAGUUGUGCUACCCGUUCAUGCCUGGGGUUGCAAGCCUCUUCACACAUUGCCAAGAUGUGUGGGCUUGGUACACUAUGAGGCAAUUACAUAGGUUCCCCAACACUUAUUCACCAGACUCCAAGUGCACAACCCAUCAUUGAGCCUUGCUGGACUCUUGGGAACUCGGCUCUUAUCUAGCCCAAACAGUCCACUAGGUUGCCCUACUUAAUUAGCUAAGACCAUAGCCCAUUUAGUUCUCGUGGUUGUGCAUGUCCUUGAAAUGGCUCAAGCAAGAUGAGCAUCAACCCAAAACACCAUCCACCAGACAAAUACUUGCUCGAGUCCCUAGGCUUCCAUGUUUCUAAAAGAUUACCAACCCAUGUGAUUACAUAGUUGAUUAUUCAUUAUUAAAAUUAAACCCAACCCAGGUGUAGAGCACAACUAAGCAAGUCACUACCUAAAAACCAUAACACUCUCUAUGGGCUUCAAGGAAGUCACAAACAAAUCUAGUAACCCAACAUAGGAUUCCCAUAGUAACUCAAUGCGUGAAUAAAGCAUAAAUAGAAAGUGAUAUUAUUGUAAAUGCAAGUAAACAGGGAGUAUGCAUCAAGGACACUUGCCUUCGUCAUGCUUUUGCUGGAUCUUCACGUGCACUCGAUCUUUUCUCGAACAGCUACUUGCAGCAACUAUCGGAAACAAGCAUACAUACAAAAGUAUAAGAAUAGUACACUUGAAGGGACCGUGACACCCUAAGAGGAGGGGGUUGAAUUGGGUGUUCUAAAAACUAAGACUCCAAGCACAUAUAAAAACCUAUAUCAACUUCUAUCUAGAUGUGCACUAGGUUUUUCUAUGUGUUGCUAUAUCUACCGUAAAAGAGUUUUGCACCCUAGGUUCCAAUCCUAUAAACUACACAUGGCAAUUCUAGGAAAGGUAAACGCGGAAUUGUAAGUGCAAUAAGAAAAGUGAAAGGUAAAUGAGGUAGAGAAGGCAAACUCCUGGCGUGGCGACACAGCAAUUUUUUCCGAGGUAUCGGAAAGUAAAGCUUUCCACUAGUCCUCGUUGUUGCAGCCCCUCUCAAAGGGAAUGCCCGUGCAAGGGCAUAAACUCCCCGGUCAAGUAACUCCGUAUGAUAGCCGACGGGCCUUCCCCACGCGUAAGUGGGUCUCCGCCUAGCCUCUCCCAGAUGCUCCUUGCAGCUCUUCACUUGGUAGAGCUUUGGCAAAACGCCAAGGGCCUCUCCUCCCUCUCAAAAGCACCGGCUGCCACUCCACAAACGCGGUUGGAGGGUCUUGAGAGACUUACAAGCUUCGGAUUUACAACUCUUGGUGCGCGCAAGCACCGAUACAAAGGAGGUGUGCAAACUUGGCCUAACUCUAGGCUAAACCCUAAAUCAAUGCGCUAAUAGGUCUAAACUAGCACUAACCAAGACCUAAGCCUUACAAUAAUUGUCUUAAUUUUCUCUUUAGCACUUUGGUAUAGAGCACUUGUGUUCAUGUGAGAACCAAGCCUAUAGUUUCUCCAAGCUCUAACAUACCUCAAAUGGCCGAGCAAUGGGGUAUAUAUAGCCCCAACUCCAAGAACUAGCCGUUACAUAGCCAUUGUAACUUUCUGUGUAUCACCGCCUCAUUUGCUACCCUUGUCACUGUAGCCACCAUAUGAAUCGGUGAGGUCCAAUUAUACUCCAAAACUUCUAGAGCCGAUUUAUAGCCGGUUUGAGUCGAGCCGACGAUCACCGACUUAUUCAGUGACGGUUACUGUUACCAGAGUAUGAAUAGGCGGUAACAAUGCACGCGCCUACCUUUGCCCUGCCUGUGGUCACCGACUGAAUCGGUGACGGUUACUGUUCCUAGAGUAUGAAUCGGUGGUAACAGUGCAUGCCCUACCUUGACCCUGCCUAUGGUCACCAACUGAAUUGGUGAUGGUUACUGUUACCAUAGUAUGAAUCGGUAGUAACAGUGCACGCGCAUACCUUGGCCCUGCCUGUGGUCACCGACUGAAUCGGUGAUGGUUACUGUUACCAGAGUAUGAAUCGGUGGAAUAUGUCGAUGCAUAUUUGUAGCAGGAUUCGCUUCAAAUCUUCGCGUGUCUUUGUCCAUUCUUCAUUAUCAUCAUUUGUAAGCCUUAGAAUAAGACUAAAACUAGAUUUUUACUAUCAUUUGGAUGCCAUAAAUUUCUUCUAAGUCUUUCUUUUUCUUCUCAUUUUGAUGGUUUUGUAAUUCAUCCUUGGGACUUAUAAAACAUAUGUCAGGCAUACAUCCAUGGGUCCACCAGAAGGUUAGUAUGAAUCCACAUGUGGAGAAGUACACCGAGAUGUAUCAAGACAUGGAGACUACGGUACGGGGGUGGCGUGGUCUAUAUGGAAGUCCAAGGGACUGGUCGAGGAUAAGGAAACUACUCUUCCUAGUUGAAGUAGUAAUCGGUAGUCAGAUCCGACUAGUACUCUUGUAAAACAACUACCCUGUAACCCUGGUCCCCCAAUAUAUAAGGGCAGGCAGGGACCCCCCUCAAGAGAAGUUCAAUCCAAUACAAGCAAACACCAUACAGGACAUAGGUAUUACGCAAUCUAGCAGCCCGAACCUGUCUAAAUCGCGUGCCUAGGUACUCCAUCGAGCUCCUAAUUUCGACGACACCCACCAACCAAAACUCUACCUCGGGUAAUCCCUUAGUAGGUUGCCGGGUUUAAACACCGACAACGUACAUCUUGCAAACACAUUAGUCCCAAUGACUAUAUUGUCAUCAAUCACCAAAAUCAUAAUGGGCUAGAGCCAUUUUCCUUACAACACUAAAUAGUGACAAAAUAGUAUUGAAAGAAUUUUAAAAGAAUGGUCUCAUCGAUACAAACUCGUGAGCGCAUGAGUCACUUAAAUCGGAAUCACGAGUAAAAACUAAAAAGUACUAAUAGUUUUACUAACCAAGAAAUAAAAUGUAAAAUAUAACAUUUCUAGAAUUAUUUUUAUACUGGAAAAUGGUAUUAAUGACAUCAACAUGGGUGGUUUAUGACAUCAGCAAAGAUUUAUGGAAAAGUUUAGUAUAUUUAUUGGAAUUUUGGUAAGUUUAUCUGGUAAUGAUGUCAGCAUAACGUCAGCAUGAACUUUGAUGUAAAUAAAGUAUUUAGAAUCGGUUUUAUUGCAAGUUUUACAAGAUACGAAGAACGGUUGACUAAUUAAUUACUAGGUUUCUCACGGGCUAGAAUGUAAGAUAGCCUGGCCAAAUAUGUUGACUUCAGUCAAGGAUCAAUCUCGGUUCUAGGAUCUGGUUUGGGCGACUGGAUUUUAAAAAACAAGGGGGGAUGGUGGGAUUUAAUCAGGGCCGUGCACGCGGGGUGAUGGACGACAAUGAUGCGCCGCCAGUUUAUGGUCACUGGUGCCGCCUGGAAUUGAAGCACCAGUUCAUUGGACUAGCUCGAUGCUAGCGCUACGGUGCAUGGGAAACGACAGGGAGUAGCACAAUAGGGAGAGGAGCGAAUGGCGAGCUCACCAUGGGUCGGAGAUUGGGUAGAGGCACGGCGUAGAUGUCGUGUAGCGGAUGGAGGUGGAGCGGUUUGGUGGCAUGGGGUGACGACGUGCCUGUGGCCUCGAGUGGCAGACGUCGAGUAGCGAGGUGUUCCUAUGAUAGCAUGGAAAGGAUGAAGGGUGAGAUCCGGACAUCGCACGGUGAAUUACGGUGGCGGAGCCUUCAUCUUACCCGAGGCGGAUGGAAUGGAUUCAGCGGGCGGGUGCGAGAGGCGAGCGUGGCGGCGUGGGUUGGCAAAAAGGGAGGUCGAGGAGGCUCGCAUGGUUUUAUAGGGAGGAAGUGCUAAAAAUAUAGUCUAAAAAUUUAUUUUUGGACCUUGCCAAAAAUUAUUGGGCGACAAUUCCAAGAAAGCUGGUUCCAAAACAAAUCAAAUUGCUACCACACCAUAUUGUUGUGGGCCCCUACUAUUGUUUUUUUUUCACGUCAAUAGAAUGCCGCUUCUUUCUUUCUUUUUUCUUCUCACCACGUUGUUGCCAAGCAAGACCGUCAUGGCCAUUGCUUAGCGCGGUGGACAAAAGCAAGCCGGCCAAAGAAAUUUGGGGGGCGAAUUCUUGAUCUGGACAUCUUUAACCGAGCUUUGAGACUGAGGUGGCUCUAGCUGGAGUGGAUUGACCCAGAUAAACCUCGGGUUGGCUCUGAGGUACCCUGUAUUGCGGUGGAUCGGCAACUGUUCAGGGUAAGCACUGUGGUUACAACUAGGGAUGGAAACGAGGUUUCGUUUUGGCAGUCAUCUUGGUUGAGAGGUCGUGCGCCGAUGGACAUUGCACCUAGACUAUAUAAGUUGGCCUGGCCUGGCGUAAGAACAUGGAGGUGAGGGAGGAGUUACCAAAUCAUUAUUGGACGAGAGGUUUAUGGUGCAUGAACACAGUUGAGGAGAUGGUGGAAUUUGUUGUCCUGUAGGAUAUGGUUCAGGAUGUGGUUUUCUUUGGUAGGCCAGAUGAAAUUUUGUUUGGCGCUGGACUGCUGUGGAGCUUCUCUCUCCUGCUCAGCAUACAUGGCACAGUUAUCUGAUUCAUACAGUACAUUUAGUGGAAGUUCACAAAUUCUUUGCAUGGCUGCUGGUGCAAAGUAAGAUAUACUUACUGCUGACAAGCUGGUCGUAAGAAAUUGGCCCUGCAACACAACUUGCUGUUUAUGUGAUCAGGAAGAAGAGACAGCACAGCGCACCUUUGCCUGCAUUAUGUGUUCACGCGUGAGAUUUGGGUGCACAUGAACUCCUGGUGCUGGAGUAUGGAAUGUCGAUCGAGGAUUGGUGGCAGCGAUCUCUCAGCCCAUACUCAAAGAUUCAGAGAAGGAAUGUAGCAGCUCUGCUCAUGUACACUUCUUGGAAAAUAUGGAAGUAAAGAAACCGGCGCACCUUUGAUGGAAGAAUGGUGAAUGCAAUGCAGGUGUUCUGGUUCAUCGAAGAAGAGAUCGCUGUGAGACAGCAAGCUGUCGGAGGGCCAACUGUAUCAUAGGAGUAGUUUUUAGUUACUUUCUGUUAGUUUAUUUUCAGCUGAUGAGAGUGUUCAAUCAUUUAUGUAAUAAGCCCCAUAUAAGACAUGUUAUGCUUCCUCUUCUAAAAUUAAUCGGCUAUACGUACUAGACUACUCUCGAGUGCCGUAUAGAUUUCGCGUAUACAAUGAUACUACAUAUAGCAUACUAAACCCUCCUAUUUAGCACAUCUCUUUCGGGAUAUGUAAUUCGUCUUGUCCACUAAACUGUGAAUACGGCACGGUGAAGGUGGAGAUUGCACAUCCAUUACUGCCGCGUUGCACCAGAGCCAGUGGAAUACUGGAGAGCUGUACGAUACGUUACGGCGCCCCUUAGACUCCACGUACAUGUGCGUCAUCUCGAUCUGUAGCUUAGGGUCUCCGUGUGAUUUCUGCCCUGCCAUGCGGCGUUGAACUUCACCUGUCAACCCGAUCAGCUCGCUGCGCGACGUGGACGCCUUCACCGACGCGUUCGACAUCUUCUCCAAGCAGGUGUCAGGGAAGUAGGCCGUAAUCCAUACAGGCAUAUCCUUGUUUUCCAGUGCCGGCCGGUUCGUGACGCGAGCGGUGAGGUUGAAGGUUGGUGGCGGCGGCGGCGGCGGCGGGGCCGUCGAGUCUUGCGGGCUGAUCAGGAAACCUGAUGCCUCGACGCCGGUGAUCUCCGCCUGGUAGUAUCCGAGUGCAUCUUCCGCCGUCCAGUAGGCGAAGCCGUAUGCUGCGUGGCAACAGAGCAGCAACCCGAGCAGAACGAUGCCAAUCAGCGCGAACCCCAGCAGAAUUGCUACGAAGUCCAGCACGCGUUUGCCUAUCUCGUCUCGUAAGCAGCGUCCAAACCCAGCCGCCGCCUGACGCGCAGGGGAUGUUCGUUGGCUCGGCGAGCCAGGGACGGCGUGGAGCGUUGAGCCAGUAGAGGCUCCAUACUAACACAUCUUACAUUUUGGAACAUGAGAGUACUUUAUGAUGUUCCCUGCUUAAAUGGGAAAGAAACUUUUUUUUUUGCGUUACAUGUGAAGCAACACUGCUAUUCUGUUAUGUGAUGGCAAAGAUAUUUCAGUGACAAAAUUGUGAAGGAAGGCAAUGUUGCUAUGAGGGCCCAAACCUGGCCGGCCGGUAGCUCACGAUCACAUCGAUGCUCACUCUCUAAUCUCUGUUCUUGGCCGUAUAUAAAUAGAGACUGGAUUCUUUCUAAUUAUGUGUGUAUAUGUGCGUUUGGUUGCAGAUCAAGAUGGAAUAGUGUGCCACACAACACAACUAAUCGGAGUGAGAUACCGGAGGAAACUAAAUAGUUCGAUGGAGAUGCAUGCUGCCGCUGGCCACACUACCCUUGUUCGCUCAUCUUGUUAACCACAGCACAAAUGUGAGCUAGGCCUGCAUGAUAUUAUACUAAGAGAGCGACUGCUCGUUUCCCCCUUUGUGUAGAUUGGCAGGUUAAUGCUUGCUACUGCUAGAGUCAUUGUGUUAUCUCUAGAUGUCUGGUUGUACAUGGAAGAGACAGCGGGCCAAGGAGUAGAGACGCUUGCUUAUCGCAUCCUUUCUGGCAUGGCUUGCACAUGAUCCAGGGCCAGGAUCCGGUGUCGACAAGGACGGAGUGUAUACAGACAGGUGUUACGUAUGUAGCUAAAGUAGACCCAUGGAGCACUAUUGGCGAUGAUCUCCCUGGAAACGUUCACUUCAUCCAAGGGAUCCGAGAUGCUACUGGCGAGAUGAAUGGAACGUGACAGCAGUCCAGCACCGACGGGCGCGCGCGGCGCGACGGAGAAGUGCAAGGCAUAAUAUAGCAUAAUGUAUCACUCUGAAUUCUCCCACUUGUUUGAAGAACAGAAGAUGAGCACCGAGAUUAUACAGAAAAGAAAAUAGAAGAGUUUUUUUAUAAAUGGGGAGAGCUGCCCGAUUAUAUUAAAAAAAGAAGGAGUUGCAAACCGUAUGAAAAGAUAGUAUGAAAAGGAAAGAAAAACAAAACAGACUCGUCUGGUUGGAUUGAGAUAUCAACGCGAGUAGUCACUCAACUCAAAACUGCCAUACUCGACCGGUUAGAUUGGGACAUCAACGUGACCUCACCACUCCACUCACCACGACGGCACCCACCAACAACCACGCUCAUGUAUUCGCCGAAACCUCCGGGCGUGACCCUGCGUGACAGGAUUGAUAGAAAUAGACUGCACCGCACCGAGAAGGCCACCGCCAUGCGGGACCCUCCGUUGUAGUGCCGCUGCAACGCCACACUCCACCUGACAGAGUGAUGCCACCGAAUCCAGACCUCUCGCAGGCUGCCUCACAGUCGCCACUGCGAUAACAUAACGCGUGGGGGCCUCUCCAUAUCCAUUGUUGGACUCCAUCUCACUCCCAUCGCCUCUAAGAAACACCACGCGCAGGGCCUUGCCACGCCCACCACAGUACUCCACAUCGCGGAUUCGUUUCUUUUAUCGCUGUCAGAGUGGUGAGCAAUGUUGCCCGCUCCACAAUAUUUGCGUCGAUCAGCCAAACCGCCACCGUAGGUCGACUUCGCCUCGUUGCUUCACCCGCGCAAAAGCAUCCACCACCAUGUCAGUAAGCCAGAGAAGUCACUUGCGCUGUCUUCCGACGAUGUACCGUACCGGGUAGCCCAGCCAAGCUGAGCAACCCGCCGCGGUCCGCUACAAGCUUAGUUGUCCCACGAUGCCGUUGCCGCAAGCGCCGUUCUCCGACGCAGUCCCAUGCCGCACUGACCGUUGCCAAGCAACACCAGCCGCGCGGCCCGCUGCAAGCGACCAAGACCGACAAUCAUGCGACAACCCCUAGCCGCCACCAUAACUGCGAUCGCCUCCACGUGGCCUCAGCAACAUCCGUCCAGCUUGCCACGCGGCGAAAUUAUCGCCACCGGCUGCGGCCGUCCAUGACUAAUGGGCCAGCAAUGCCACAGAUAGAUAUGGAUCUCUAGAGACGACGCCUUCAAGGAGGGUACGAUGUCAAUGGUGCCGCCGUCGUAGAAUUGGAUAAAAUUUUCACUCAAAGGACCCCGUGCAGCAAGGUUGUAGCUCAGGCAUGAUGCCCUCAACGCGAAGAACGACGUCCUAUGGCAUACUCGAUGUUCGCCAACGAGCCACAGAAUCCCCAUGUGAUUACACGCAAAAUAGUGUAAGCAGUUCUCUUUCUUUCAGUAGAGUAAGCAGAGUGCGAAAUUUCUUAGCGAUUAUUCUCGCGUGUGAUGCAGCAAGCCCAAUCGGCUUAGUGAAACUUCUACCGUCUCGGCGCCGGCCUUCAACCUCACCAUCCACGAUUCCACGCCCAUAGCAAGCAGCACCUCCGGCGAAUCUGCUGGGGCGACAUGACCUUAAUCGUGUACUACAACGAGACGAUGGAGCACGCUGCUUGCAUUCUGCGUGGACAGGUGGUCGGCCGUCGACCUGAACGUGACCCUGCAUGUUUCUGGGCCUGUUCGCUUCAGCUUAUUCAGCCGGCUUAUCAGCCACCAAACAGUGUUUUUCUCUCACAACAAAUCAGCCGUUUCAACUUUUCAGCUGGCUUAUAAGCUGAAGCGAACAGGCCAGACGCUGCGCGAGAAGAUGGAGCGCGACCGACAGGGUUCUUCAUCUCGUCCAGCAAGAAUUUCGUGUUCGGAUCCAUGGCACCGAGUUUCUUUUGGAAUGAGGUAAAGUGGUGGUGGGAAUCCAGCACGGGUUCCAGGAUCUAGUCUAUCAUACGAGAUUUGAAGCAGCAGGCUUUAGAAUUCGAAGGAAUCGGGGAACAGAGGACAGCGAAAACUGGAGAAGAACAGAGGUGACAGGCUUAGGAGGCUCUCUCAAGUCUCAACUCACCCCCAUACUCAUUAGUCGUUACAUAGUGGGCUGGGCCCAUUGUGAGCCGGACACACGGACAUUGGGCUUCAUGGGCCGUUGGCUGACAGAUCAUCAUGUUCAAUUCUUCACAAUUCAGUUCCACUGCCGCUUCAUUCUCUGUUUCUCUUCAGGAUGCAAACAGAUAGCAGGGCUGCCAGACAGUGUCCCACUCUACGCAUGGGAUGGCAUAUAGUGAUGUGGAAGAAGACAAAGGCAGAUAUGUAUUGAAUUGUCACUUGAGAUAUGCAUAUAUUUUCCGGUCAUAGAAAAAUGAUGAUGCAUUCUAUGGCUAUUGUACAUGAGGAAACAUUAAUAGGCAAUGCAUCUUGCUGUAAAACUAGUAGCUGUACAAUGCUCAAAGUUGCCCACAGUGCACGCUUUGCCGCAACAAAUAUUUGACAAAUUGACUCGUGAGCAUGAAUCUGUUCAAACUUUGUACUCAUCCAUUCCAAAUUGUAAAUCAUUCCAAAAAUCUUGAAGAGUCAAAGUAUCUCAAGUUUGACCAAAUUUAUAUGAUAAUAUAAUAACAUUAAUGAUGUCAUCUAAAUAUCAUUAGAUUCUUCAUCAAUUAUAUUUUCAUGGUAUACCUAUUUGAUGUCAUAAAUCUUUAAAAUUUUCUCUAUAAUUUUGGUCAAACUUGAGAUGCUUUAACUCUCUAAGAUUCUUGGAAUGACUUACAAUUUGGGAUGGAGGGAGUAAGUUGUAACCUUGAUUCCUGAUAUGUGUUGUUGAUCAAGCAUCUUCGUCACCGUCUCCUCCAGCUUUGUUCCCGGUUUGCCGCCGGCCAGCGCCCCAACGACCGAGCAGCCCUCGGUAGUCGACGUCUCGGAGGCGCAGCAGCAAGUACAAAACAAUUCCCGAGAUGAACCCCAGUGCGGCGCUCGAGCCCGUGAGCGACACGCCGGCGCAGAUGAGCAUGACGAAGGACUCCUCCUUCGUGCCCAUGUCGCGCGACGCCAUGGCGAGCUCGACCCCAGAGAAGAGCAGCAUGACGCCCAGUAUCCCGAUGGGGAACUGCCCGAGGAUCGUCACGAACGAGUUGCCGAACACGAGGCCGAGCGCCAGCUUGCCGAUGGCCAGGAACACCACGGACGCUCCGCUCCGGCCGCCGAAACGGUACUGCCCCGCCAGUCCGCCCGCGCCGUGGCAGCACGGCAUGGCGCCGAACCAGCAGCCGACGAAGUUCAUGAGGCCGACGCUCACCGACACCCUCGCCGGGGAGAGCUCGGCCCGUUCGGGGAACAGGUCCGACGAGAGCUUGCACACGGCGAUCACCGAGUUCAGCACGGACAGCGGGAGCUGCGGCACCGCGCCUUCCCAGAACCCGAUCUUGAAAUCGUCCCAGGUGAUCUUGACGAUCCGCAGCGGCGCCGGCCCAAAACGAAGGCCCUGCACAAUCGACGGGUCACGCACGAAGCAGAGCAGCAGGCCGAGCGCGAACACGAUGAGCGCCGCCGGGACGCGGCUGCAGGAGCGGCGGCGGCGAAUCGUGCCGUCGCUGGAGACUUCCUCGUCGUCGCCGGAGCCGGUGGCGAGGAUGAUGAACAGCAGCGCCGCGAGCGCGAGGACCAGGCCGUCGAGGCCGAGGAGCGGGCGCGCCACGGCGGUGGAGGCAGAGGACGAGUGGGAGAAGUCCUGGACGUAGCGUAUGUACUUGACGGCGGUGAAGGCGAAGGAGAGCCCCUGCGAGAGCUGGAUGCCGCGCACGACGGGGAGCGGGAGGAGGCGGUAGAGGCAGGUCAUGAGGCCCGUAGCGCCGAGGAAGAGCAGGACGGCGGCGACCGACAGCCCCGCGGACAUGAUCUGCGGGAUGGUGAGGUGCGCCGAGGAGAGCGCAACAGCGGCGAUGGACUUCAUGGGCUGCACGGGCAUCGGGAUGCCGAAGAGCAGGCCCGUGGAGAAGUUGUAGAGCGCGGUGAAGAUGAGCGUGGUGCCGAGGUCGAGGUGCGACGCCAGCGACAGCGCGAGCACGAUGGGGAUGUAGGUGCCCAGGUCGCCCACCGCGCCGCCCAGCUCGGACCAGACGGAGGUCUUGAGAUGGACGGAGGAGGGGAGGAACCCGAGGCGGCGUCCGCUGCCCUCGGGGGGGAGGAGCGGGUCGCCGGCGGCGGACGCCAUGGGGGUGGGCGAGCGGCAACGACUUUCUCUGGAUGUUUUCUGGUGGAUUUGGGCUUACCUUGCACGUUUCUGACGGGAGAUGUCCCGGUGGCUCCACUGAGCUGAUAAAUAUAUGCGCGGGUGCUGUUUCCAUCGAGAAUUUAACACGAAGAUGCGAUCUAUAUGCUUUUUUUCAUACGAGGGUUUAAAUUUUAGCAUAUUUAUAUCGGAUGUUCGGAUGCUAAUUAGGAGUAUUAAACAUAGUCUAAUUACAAAAAUAAUUGCACAGAUGGAGUCUAAGGGGCGUUUGCUUCCACUGACUUAUUUUUAGCACGUGUCACAUCGAAUGUUUAGAUACUAAUUAGGAGUAUUAAACGUAGACUAUUUAGAAAACCCAUUACAUAAGUGGAGGCUAAACGGCGAGACGAAUCUAUUAAGCCUAAUUAAUCCAUCAUUAGCAAAUGUUUACUGUAGCAACACAUUGUCAAAUGAUAGACUAAUUAGGCUUAAUAGAUUCGUCUCGCCGUUUAGCCUCCACUUAUGUAAUGGGUUUUGUAAAUAGUCUACGUUUAAUACUCCUAAUUAGUAUCUAAACAUUCGAUGUGACGGAUGCUAAAAAUAAGUCAGUGGAAGCAAACGGGCCCUAAUUCGCGAGACGAAUCUAUUAAGGCUAAUUAAUCCAUCAUUAGCAAAUGAUUAUUGUAGCACCACAUUGUCAAAUCAUGAGCUAAUUAGGCUUAAUAGAUUCGCCUCGCGAAUUAGACUCUAUCUGUGCAAUUAGUUUUAUAAUUAGACUAUGUUUAAUACUCCUAAUUAGUAUCAAACAUCCAAUGUAACAGGUGCUAAAGUUUAACACAAACACCCCUUUAAUAUCAUGAUGGUGAUGUGCUUGGCACUACGGAGUAGUAUGUUAAAUAAUUGGAGCUUUCAUUCUGUUUUUAGAAUGUAGUCCGAAUUGGUUCAUGUAUGGGAUUUCAGUUGAACUCUUGAAGGGUGAAGGAUAGAUAGUUAUACUUAAAAAAGAUGAAAGCCAGAAUCAUCAAGAUCAUAUUAGCUGUUUGUUUUGAAAGUAUUUUCAUUGCCAUUAACACAUAUCUUAAGCCAUUUCCAGUCCUUGGUGUUUGAUUUGAAAUGUACAAUCCUUAAUUUUGAUGCAGUGUUCAACAGACUAGAAACAAUUUUAUGAGAACCUUUUCUGAAAUGCACGAUCCCUAUUUUUUAUGUGCAUUUCCAAAUUUGAAUUCUUUUGUGUUAUUUUAAGUAACUUUUGGGACGGUGCAAUAUUUUCUGUUGGGAGUCUAUUUAGCUGUCGACAGAUUUUUAGAGUAAAAUCUGUCAAAUUUUAUUAUGUUGCAAUGUUAUUUUCUAAUAUGAUUGAAACAUGAAGUACUAUGCAACAUGCCAGAACAUAGUAAAUAGCAUAUGUAACAUUAGGAAAAUCUGCCACAUUUCCUCCCCUGAAAUCACGAAAUAUUUUAAAAUAUUAAAGAAUAAUGUUUGCAAUAUCAGAUUUGAAUGUCAGAAAAUUCGACAGAUUUUCUUCUAAAAAUCUGCUUCCGGACCCAUGGUGAACAACUGAAGUUGCGCCCAACUGUAUAUCCUGUGACAUCGAAUUCUGUUUCGUCCGGAGGGGCGGACCAUCUGCCAUCGUCGUUGGACAACACUGGCUGCAACGUGGACGUGUCAAGUGGCUUUUCAAGCGACGAGGGGAGAGGGUCAUCUGAUAUUUUCCCAUCCGGGCCCAUCCUGAGCUUGCGUAGUCGCUCGGACACCCACGUGUUGGGUGACAACGUGACUUGCGUGGUCGCACGAUGGACCUUUUAGAAAAUGAUUGAGACACUAGUGAGGCUGAAACCUUUUUUACAAGCUGUCACCCCAAACUCACCUCAGUCCAUCCUCUCUUUCCUUGAUAGUUUGAGCAGCGGUAUCCGUCUUUAGCGUCGAAUUCCCUUGCCCCGUAUGUAAACGACCGUAUGACGGAAUUUAUUCACCGGAUUUAUCAAUCGGAUUCCUCUCUGCAACCUGCAUAUAGGUAAGUAAUUUCUCCAAAAGUUUCUUUUAAAAACCGAUCCUCCAAAAGCUUUGAUACAUUAGCCUCCAGAGACCGGGACUGCCUGGCUGCCACCUUCACUGCGGUGCGGGCCAGGAUUUUGUUGACUGUUUGACAUCGCGUCCAAAUCCCGACCGCUAACCGCGCGCACCAACCGUUGAUCCUCCCGAAAACCCAACACGCCCGAUGCGGCCAUGCCGCGCUACCUCUACUUCCGCCCCGCCGCAGGCCAUGCCCGCCCCCACCGCCACCCCCUCCUCGCCCACCUCGACGCCUGCGCCUCGCGGGCCCACCUCGCGGAGCUCCACGGCCGCCUCAUCCGCGCCCACCUCGCCCCGGACCCCGCCGUGGCCGGCCGGCUCGUCGCCCUCCUCGCGUCCCCGGCCCCGGGCCACGACAUGCGCUGCGCGCGCAGGGUGUUCGACGGGAUGUCCCGGCCGAACGCGCCCGCGUGGAACUCCAUGAUCAGAGGGUACACCAGCCGCGGCGCGCCUGGGGACGCGCUGGCGACGUUAAGGAACAUGGUUCGGAGGGGCGUCGUGCCUGACAGCUACACCAUGGCCGCGGCCGUGACCGCGAGUGCUGCUGGUGAUGGCUGGAAGUGGGAGUGGCGGGCGACCGGGGACGCGGUCCAUGCGAUGGUCCGGAAGAUUGGGUGCGCGGCGGACCUGUACGUCAUGUCAGGCCUGGUUAAUCUAUACGGCACUUUUAGAAGUGCUGAGGAUGCAAGGAAGGUUUUUGAGGAAAUGCGGGAGAGGGAUGUGGUGUCUUGGACGUCCAUGAUCUCAGCUUUUGCACAGCGUGGCAUGUGGGAUGAUGCGUUGAGGUUUCUAUCUGAGAUGCAGGCAGACGGGAUUUUUCCUAACAAAGUCACGAUUAUAAGCUUGUUGUCUGCUUGUGGGCAUGGGCAGGCUGUUGACAGAGGCCGGUGGGUGUAUGAUCAGCUUAGUGAAUAUGGAAUUGAGGCUGAUGUGGAUAUAGGAAAUGCACUCAUAAGCAUGUAUAUGAAAUGCGGGUGCAUGUCUGAUGCUUUGGAAGCAUUUAAGGUCAUGCCUUCAAGAAAUACUAAAUCAUGGAACACCCUGAUCGAUGGGUUUGUGCAAAAUCAGAAGCAUAAAGAAGCACUGACAAUGUUUGAGGAGAUGUUAUCGAAUGACUUUAAUCCUGAUGCCGUAACACUUGUUAGUGUUUUAUCAGCCUGCACUCAGCUUGGUGAUCUUCAGCAAGGGAGGAAUCUCCACAGUUACAUAAAAAGUCGUAGGAUUAGUUGUGACACCAUCCUUACGAAUUCUUUGAUUAACAUGUAUGCCAAAUGUGGCGAUAUGGUAGCAGCAGAAGUGGUUUUCCAGGCUAUGAAACAGAGGGAUGUUGUUUCAUGGACAACUAUGGUUUGCGGUUAUGUGCAGGGACGGCAAUUUACAGCGGCAUUCAUCUUUUUUGAAGAGAUGAAGGCUGCAGGAAUUGUAGCAAGUGAAAUGGCACUGGUUAGUCUACUUUCUGCUUGUUCACAGCUUGGGGCACUUGAUAAAGGAAGGGAGAUACACGCUUAUAUAGAAGAAAAGAACAUCAAAAGAGAUGUAUUCCUAGAAAGUGCCCUGGUGGAUAUGUAUGCAAAAUGCGGCUGCAUCAACAUGGCUGCUGAAAUAUUUAGCAAAAUGCAGUAUAAGCAAACCCUCACAUGGAAUUCUAUGAUCGGAGGCCUUGCAAGCAAUGGACAUGGGAAAGAAGCAGUCCAGCUCUUUGACCAAAUGCUAAAGUUUGGAGAUCCCAAACCUGAUGGUAUUACUUUCAAGACAGUCCUUGGUGCCUGUGCUCAUGUGGGAAUGGUUAGUGAGGGACUCCGUUACUUCCAUUCCAUGUCGACCUCUGGUAUUGCCCCUGAUAUUGAGCACUAUGGUUGCAUAGUUGACCUCCUAAGCAGAGCUGGGCUACUAGAAGAAGCAUUUGAGUUCAUCAUGAAGAUGCCAAUGGAGCCUAAUCCUGUAAUUUGGGGAUCACUUCUUUCAGCUUGUAGAUUUCAUCAGAAAAUAGAUUUAGUGAGGAGAGUCGGGCAACACAUAAUUAAGUUAGCUCCUAAUGAUGUGGGAACACAUGUGCUGAUUGCAAACUUACAUGCUGAAGGUGGUCAGUGGGAUGAUGUGCAGCAAAUAAGAGAGCAGAUGGGAAAGAGGGGCAUAGAGAAGUCACCUGGUCAUAGCUCCAUCCAAGUCUAAAUCUUCUUGAUGUAGUUUAACGUGAUACGUGAUCUGCCUAUAGUACACGAGGCUGACAGGAGCAAUGCCAACGAGUACAGUUUCUGUUUUUACAAGAAAUUAGGCAUCACAUGUCAAUUUCCAUUAACCUGUGUACAUGUGAUUAAUUAUUGUAUUAUUUUUGGGGUAUAAACAGUCAACACUACCUUAACCAUUUUGUGUGACGCCUCUUUUAAUAGCUAGAUACUCACACUUGGCAGUGGUGCAAGCUCAGCUAAAUUUGUCUAUGGUAGCAUUGGAUAAUGUUCAUGCACACAAUUGAAGCUGUGACAAGAACAGAAGACAUGUAAAAUAUACUCAUUUCAUAUUUCCAUAUGAAAUUUAGAACUUACCUGCUGUUCAGUUCAUAGAUUAAUCAACAUAGUUUUUUUAAUGAACUAUCUUCUCUAUGUUUGAGUUAUGCUCAUAUUAUUGAAGAAUCAUGCUUUGUAGCUAAUUCUUUGUACAUUGAUUUGCUAAGACUGUCCGAUUAUCUUGUUCCAAAUAAAUAACAAUUUGCAUUUUUCAACUAUUGCACUGUUCAUGCCGUCAACAUUCCUACAUUCUCCGAUCUUACAAGUCCAAGAGGCAAAACUGCAACCAGCCCUUCGCUGCACAUUGAAGUAAGAUAUUUACGCUUUUUUUAUAUCAAUUUCCAGUUUGUUGAUAUUGCCUAAGAAACGCAAGUCAGUAUCCAGAUUAUCCAUUUGGGGAUUGAAUUCUCAGUUUUCAUAUGGCUGGAAAAGACAGUUCUUCUCUUUUAGAGGGAGAAUGAAGACAGGUAACUCUCAGAAGGCUGACAUUAAAGGCCAAGCUCCAUCAAAAGGUAUGCGCAAAUUAACCUCACAUCUUUUCUGCAAGAUAUUAACUGUUUAAUAGUGAAGAAAUUAAAAAUAAAUGAACCCCACUAAUCAUGCAUACUGAACAAAUGACACAUUGAGGUUUUUUUUUCUCGAACUACGCAGGAGAGCUGCGUGUCAUUUCAUUAAGAAGGAAAAGCACGGAGGGACUGGUUAGAGCCGGACCCAAGUACAGGACUCACACCACACACACACACAUAACAAAAGCUCACAGGCUUGCCACAGGGAGCUUAUCACCAAAACGACCUAGCUAAACACCACAGCCUAAACAGCUCUGGAAAGCGACCAAGCAAGGAGCUCUUGAAGUUUAGAAGCUCCUGUCAUCCCCCACAGAUUACAUUCAUCAGCUACAGACCGGAGCAAAACUGGAAUGCUAGGCCUUGCUUGAUCAAACACACAAGAAUUUCUAUGUUUCCAGAUUUCCCAAGCCACCAAGAUGAUUAGGGAAUUCAACCCCUUACUCAAAUUCUUAGGAACAAGUCUAAGAGCUUUCUUCCACCAACUGGAAAAUCUGAAAUCUGUUGUGGGCACUAGAGCAGACAGAUGCAGAGACUGAAAAAUUGAGAACCAAAUCUGCCUGGAGAAGACACAGCCGACCAGAAGAUGCUGCAUAGUCUUCUCCUGGUCACAAAAAGGGCAGGCAUCCGGGUGGGGCAGGCCUCUUUUAGCUAGGCGAUCCGAUGUCCAACAAUGGUUGUUAAAUGCUAGCCAGAUAAAGAAUUUGCAGCGAAGGGGGGCCCAAUUCUUCCAAAUCCUCUUCCAAGGCGCGAAUUUGAUUGUCCCAACAAAGAAUGCAGCAUAAGCCGACUUGCUAGUGUACACUCCACAUUGGGUCAGUUUCCACCUGUACUGAUCAGGUACUUCAUGUUGCAGAACCAUGCCGUCCACUAGAUCCCAAAUCUGAAGAUACUCAAUGAGAACUUGGUCAGUUAGGCCACCUUUGAUAUCAAGGACCCAUCUCCUAUUAAUGAGAGCUUCUGCUACUGUCCUUCUUCUGACCGAUCUUUUGGGGAUUUUUUGUAUCUGGGGCUAACUUGGCAAUAGUUCUACCAUUCAGCCACCUGUCCUCCCAAAAAAGGAUUGUCUCCCCAUUAUCUACGAAUCUACUGCCAUGUUGAACAAAGCUUGAGCAUUUCGGGGAACUUGAACUUGAAAACCAGCCCAAGGCUGAGUAGGGUCAGUUUUCUGAGCCCACAGCCAACAGAUCCUCAGGGCCAAGCCCAAAGUUUCCAGAUUAUGAAUCCCCAAUCCACCAUACUCAAGUGGUCUCUGGACCCUUUCCCAAGAAACAAGGCAGUUGCCUCCAUUAGCCUGUUCUUGUCCUUUCCACAAGAAGCCCCUUCUUUUAUCCACAGCCUUGAUAACCCAUUUAGGGAGGUCCAAGACUAUCAUCAAAUAGAUAGGAGAGGCUGUCAUCACCACCCGUACCAUGACCAAGCGACCAGCCCUAUUCAUCAGAGAGGCCUUCCACCCUGGUAGGUGAUCUGCCACUUUUUAUCUAUUAAAGGCAACAACACCUCUUUCGUAGGCUUAUGGAUUGUAAGAGGCAGACCAAGGUAGGUGCAAGAGAACUCCUUGACAGCACAGGCCAACACAUCUGCAGUGAGGAGCAUCUCAGCAUCGGAACAGUGAAUGGGAGAGACUGAGCUCUUAGUGAGAUUUGUAUGCAGACCAGAAGCAUGACCAAACAAAUCAAGGAUGGUUUUGAAGACUCGCAGGUCCAUCAUAGAAGGCCGCAAGAAAACCACUGCAUCAUCCGCAUAGAAGGAAAUCUGAUGUCGGGCAUGCUGUAUAGCGAGCGGUUGCAGCAUCUGUUCUCUAGUUGCAUAUUCCACCAGAGAAUUCAGGACAUCCAUAACCAGGAUAAAUAGCAUGGGGGAGAGAGGGUCACCCUGUCGAAGCCCACGACGAUGAACAAUUGACCUACUCGGUUCACCAUUUACUAGGACUUGGGUAGAAGAGGUGGACAGGAUCAGGCAGAGAAGGUCACGCCACCGCUGUCCAAACCCCACGUCGCAGAAUCUCCAGAAGGAAGGACCAAGAAACUGAGUCGAAAGCUUUGGAGAUGUCCAACUUGAGUAAAAUAUGAGCCUCUUUUUUCCUGUGCAAGGACUUCACUAUUUGCUGGACAAGGAGAAAAUUGUCGUGAAUGUUUCUUUCCCUAACAAAAGCACUUUGAUUUGUGGCGACCAAUGAGGGCAGCUGAGGUGCCAGUCGGUUUGCCAUCACUUUUGUCAACAAUUUGACACUGUGAAUCAAGCUUAUAGGCCGGAAGUCCUUGACUUGGGUGGCAUCCAAUUUCUUGGGGAGGAGGGAAAUGAAGGAAGUAUUGAGUAAUCUGAAUUUGAACACACGUCCCUGAUGAAUGGCUGCAAAAGCCUGCAGUAGGUCCCCUUUGAUAAUGCUCCAACAAGACUUAUAAAAACGGCCUGUAAAACCAUCCGGCCCCAGGGCCUUAUCCAAUGGCAUAUCUUUGAUUAUUUCCCAGACUUCUUCCUCACUAAAAGGAGCAUCCAGGGAAGAUAGAUCAUGCUGUUGGACACCUAUUUCAGCAAGAUCAAUUGUGUAGUCUCGUUCCUCUGCUGUCCCCAGAACAUUCUCGAAAAAUUCCAGCACUGCCUCCUGUUUUUCCUCCCGUGUUACAGCUAACUGAUCACCAACUUGUAAUUUUGCAAUGAAGUUCUUCUUUCUAUAUCUUGCCUGUUGAUGGAAAAAGGAAGUGUUUGUGUCUCCUUCACGGAGAUAGAGGAUUCUUGAGCGCAGCCGGGUGAUGGUUCGCUCAAAGGAAGCCAAACCGAGGCAAUGAAGCUUAAGCUUUUUCCUCAGCCACUCUUCACUUGAAGAGAGCUCCUGAGAGUCCCUUGCAAUUUCUAGCUGGUGCAGAAUCUCUUUUGCCAUUUCUAUCUGAAGCUUGAUAUUUCCAAUCUUUCUUUGGCCCCAUUUUUGUAAACCCCUACUGAGGCGUUGCAAUUUGAGAAAAAGCCGCUCAACUGCACAGUUAGAUUGCACCGGAGCAUCCCAAACAGCCUGAAAGAAACCGGGCACCUUGGUCCAGAAGCUCUCAAAAUGAAAGCGCCAUUUUCCACUCUUUUGGAUUUUCAACCCAAGAAUGAGAGGGCAGUGGUCAGAAACUGUGGAUGCUGCACUUUGCAAAACUGAAUCAGGAAAGAUACCUUCCCAUCCCAAGCAACAAAAAGCCCGAUCCAACCUGACAAGUGUGGGAGAUGUACGCUCAUUCAACCAAGUGUAUUUGCGUCCCAAAAGGGGGAUUUCUUUGACCUCAACAUCAUCCAAAAAGCGCCAGAAUCUACCCAUCAUUGCUCUGUCAAGAUUGGCAUUCUUCUUAUCAGCUGCCUGGUAAAUCAGAUUAAAAUCUCCUGCCACUAACCAUGGCCCAUUGCACAUUCCCCGAACAUUCCGAAGCUCCUGCAGGAAUAGAACUUUCUCCUCAUCUUCCUGUGGCCCAUGCACGCCAGUAAACCACCAAUUUCAGCCUUCUUGCUCUGAAAAAAGAACCAAGACUGAAUAUGUCUCGACCUGAGUAGCAAUUGCUUGACAACUGCUACUCUUCCAAGCAAUCAGAACACCAAGAGCCAUUUCGAAUUUUCCCCAAAACCUUUGGAAUUUCCAAACCCAUGGACACGACAGAGUACAAGUUUAACAUUUGCAACAGCUCCGGAACAAUUACACUAAGAUAUGUACUAUUCUUUUUUUGUUAUGUCAAAACUGUAUCAUGUGAUUCUGAAUGACAGGCCAGACUGCUCAUCUACCGUGGUGGAUCACAGAUUCCACUAUUCCAGGCAAACCGAUCCUAGAAAAGAGUCCCAAUUUCAAAUCCACACGGGACACAUCUCAAAUCAGCUGGAGUUACCACAUGCCUUGGAUAAUGUUCAUGCACUGAAGUUGUGACAGGAAGAAAACUACUUCCAACACCUAAGGCUUGCAUACUGAAUUAUAGUUGAAGAACAGGUGCGUAACAUUUCCUCAAUUUAGUAUUUGCAUAUGGCCUGAUGGCCAUAUGUGGCUUAGAACUUCCCGGUUGUUAAGUACUUAGGCAAGGAACAAGAACAAUCAGACCUGUGAGUGUUUUCUAGUUUUUUUUUAAUUGUGUUUGAGUCAUACAUAGAUUAGUGAAGAAUCACGUUGAAUCCCUAAUCAUUAGUAGUUUUGAUUUGUUAGUUUCAUCUGUUGGAAGUAAAUAAUAGUUUUCCUUCCUUAUUUACUUCUUCCAUUCUGCAGGCUGCCCAGAACAAGUUCAAUAAUUAGGAUGCAGCCAUUAGAGACAAAGCUACAAUUAGCCCUUUGUGUACUUACACACGUGGUGUUCUUCUUCCCUCCAAGCUUCCCCUGCCGUAAGAUAGUCUCUGAAAUUUCAAUUUUGUUAUCAGUUUCCAAGUUGCUGAUACUUUGGAUAUCCCUAAGUUUCUAGUAGAAUGGAAACAGGUACUCACUUUUCAGCAUUCUUUACUGUCAUACAACAGGACUCGUAGUAAAGGCUGCUGGAAAGUGAGUAAUUGUUUCAGUUUUUCCAGGAACUUGGGAAUACUCAAACAUCAGUACAUGCCAGAAGACAAAUCUAGCAUUUGAAAAUUCUCUGGAAAUUUGUGAUCAGAAGUCAUCUGUUUUAGAUGAUGAAAUGGUCCUAGCUGAAAGACAACCAUGUACUUCAUGGUGGCCAUUCAUCUGCCAACUGCCAUGGUGGAUCUGAGGUGAAGCAGGCCCGGAAAAGUGUCGCAAGUAAACAGGUGGUGCUACUGAAUAAUGCCUGCACUGCAUGCUGCUACCGAAUCUCAGUCUAUGAGGAACACAGCGUUAGCUGCACAAUCAGCCGAUGCUACUUCUGUUCUUCACCCCAUGUAGCAGUCUGCCUCAACCCAUUGGUGCUGUGGAUAGUCACAGUAAGUUAUAUGUAUCCUUUACUUGUGAUGUGAAGAAGUUGCUCAACGAGGUUAGGAGCAAGGUACGAUCGCUAGCAAACGAGUUCUUGGCUUCUAGUUCUACUGUUCUACAUGACUAUGCUGUUAGUACCCUGAUUGCUGUUAUGAUGCCGCACAGCUCAAUUCGUUGAAUGCUCAUGUCACUAUGUCAGAGGCCUUGCCUGUUGCGUCAAUUUUAGGGCCGUUCGGUUGUUUUGCUGCUUUGCCUGGCCUUGCCUUGCCAGGCGAGCGAAUUCUUGCCGGCGCAAGCGAGCCGGAUUGGCUCUCCCGCAUUGGCAAGGUGAAACCUUGCUAGCACAGACCCCGAGAUAAACUAGCUGUUCUUCCAAACGCGCAGCCCUCGUCCCUAUCCUUGCUUAGCAAGGCUAAAUAGUACCCAGCAAUGGUUCCAAACGGCCCGAGAAUACUGUGGCAUCUUUCCAAUCUGGGCAGCGAUUGUGCAAGUCAAUUAUCGUAAUGAGAAUGACCAGUUUCCCCGGACCACAUGAAUGUCCCCAGCAUGAUGUGCGUCAGGCUUAACGCACUAUAGUCAGCAAUCUAUGUUUUCUUCGUAAAUUUGAGUAGCAAAAGUUGGGUUGAACCAUUAAGAAACAAGGAAACAAGUAGUGAUAACUUUGAACGGGAAAAAAAUUAUGGCCCAUGCAGGUCUCGAACCUGCGACCUUCGCGUUAUUAGCACGACGCUCUAACCAACUGAGCUAAUAGGCCGUUUUGAUACCUCGGAACAACAAUAAAUAUAAGUACCUUUUUAUAAUUGUAUGCACGUAGAAUCAGAAACUAUCAACGCUGCACGCCCGCUUGAGACUUGAGAGUGCUGGAUCCAACGAAUGCGAGGUCCACCGUAGCUCAGUCCUGGUCUCCUGGACCGUCUCUUGUUUGCUGCUUCGUGAUCGCCCAGCCGUGUAGGGCCAUGCCCAAAUUAUUUCCAAACCCGUCGAUGCUAAAUUUAUCCAUCCGACGCUCUCGCCGGCUCUUCUUGGCAACCCACUCCCUUCACGCCACGGUUAAACGCCCGGGCGGCGGAUACUAAUCCGGAGAGCUGGAGACUUGGAGAGGCAACAAAGCAAUCGCGCAUGUGCCGCAGAUGCCCAAAUGCGCGCUACACGGACGCGAUCGAUCGAUCCGGACCGCCCGGCCGGCGGAUCGCCUGCCCGUGCCGUGGUCCGUCCCCCCUGCUCUUGUACAUGGUCUGGUGUGUGAGGGUUUGUGUACUUGUGUCGAGUCGAUCACCGAGUAUCUCGGGUCUCUAGUUAAACGAGCAAUUUGUCAUGGACAUGCUUCGGGAUUUCAGGCCCCGGUCGCGGUCGGUACCCCCAAUUCCCCAAAUCAGAGAAACCAUGCAUGCCAUCAACUACGCGAAACAUACUGAUCUUGCGUGUGAUUUUACAAGGGAAUGUCUAUAUAUCACAUGGGUGAAAUUGAGACUCUCCUCGCUCGUUUUUUUGAGCCAUCAGAUCAUCAUCCAACGACUCACCUUCAUCUUCCACCUCCCGCCGGCUGUGCUUCUUCGCUGCCCGUCGUCCCCUCGUGCCUCUACCCGUCUAGCACGGGUGGGCAAAGGUCCUGCCAGAGCUUCGUGCGCGGCUGGAGUGCGCGGCCGCCUUCUUGCCCCUCCCGUCACCGCUUCCCGUCGUCGUCGUCCCCCCCCCCCCUCCUGCCCUAGCACCACCCAACCGCCCGCCACCACCGUCCUCGCCGGUGGCGCCCCCGCCGCCAUGCCUCACCGUCCCACGCCCGCCACCUCCGCCGGGCCGGCCUAUUGUCGCUGGCUUUCCCUCUAGGCCGCUGAUAAGCACCCACCCCGGAAACCUUGAACCCUUAAUCCUGGAAACCUCGAACCUCUAACCCUGGAAACCCCGAACCCUGACGCCCCUAAUCUCGUCGGAAUUUGGUCGGAGUCGGAGAAGGAAGGGAAAAUAGAGUGCAUAUCGGAAAAGAAAAAAUUGGAUGAGGAAGAGCUCUGUUUCACCCGGAUGAGCUACAGCCCUUCCUUUUUAGAAUGGCCACUAGGCACGGCUGGCAAGAGGGGUUUGACGCCACUUACGCGCACCGUGUGCGAUUUGCGAUCCGUGCCGGGGAGAAGCCGUGCGCGUGUGCGGCCUCGACCAUGUGCGCAGCGCCACCACUUCUCCUGCUUGGCUUGGCUGUCCUAUUGAAACAAGCCGGCCGGCCGGAUACCUCCCGCCUGCGCGCAGCCUCCCAAACGAGAGACACCGGAGGUGGUGCCGGUGCGCAUCUCCACGGAUCCCCGAUUUGUUUAACCAGCGUAGUGGUUGCGGUCGCAAGGCUACAAGCGCUACUGUACAUCCCGGAGCUUUUCGCGGAGCUGCCAGUGUGUUCCGCAUUGAGAAGAAAACCAGCUGCUGACCUCUAGUUUAUUUGUACUCGUAACAGAGCAACAACGGUCAUCGUCGAGGGAGCGGUUUGGCGUGUAGCGUGUCCACCCAUCUUGUGCUUGUGCGGAUCAAGGCCUGAACAAGAAAGAGUACUCUAAGGCGGAAUCGAUGGCGGUGAUUUGGCAGGGACAGUUUGCAUUGUUCAGAUGGCUACUACUGGUUUUAAAAUUCAAUCUGACAAAAGGGCGUGGCAGAGGGUGAGAGCGCCUGAAGUUGUGCAACGAAUUUAGUAAAGAGUGAUGCACUCACUAGUCACUAUAUACUGCAAAUGCAUACUAGUGCUUUUCUUCUUCUUUUUUUUUGAAAGAUUACUAGUGCUUUUCUGAUGGAUGAGGAUCGCGUAGAAGCAUUGGCGGUUGCUGGUGUCAGCAGCUGAGAAAUUGCCGCUGGUGCCUUGCCGUGCUCCGUGUCUCGCCAGGCCACGCAGGCAGAGACGGGACGAGGAUGCUGACGGCCAUUCGGUCUAUCCGACUAGCACAAUACGUCAAUACUACGCCAGUGUAGUUUCUAGAGUUUCUACGACUGCAAUGGCAUUUUCCAUGGACGCUUUCAGUCUCGGUGCCGUUUUAUUCAACUAUGACGGCAUCGCUAACAGAAUUUCAUGUCAUUUCAGAUUCCUCAGUCUGCCUGCCAGGCCAUUUACGAUCGAUUUUCACCGGACCGGCCCCUGCCGCGAUUUUACAGUAACCCCCGCUAUUCUUACCAAUUUACAGUAGCUGCCAUGUCCUAGCUAGCUAGCUGCUGCAGCUGAUAUUGCUCUCCUCGCUGCCGCUGCUGCCGUCCGCGUUGCUGUCACUGUGGUUGUUCUCCUCCGCCCGCCACGCGGACGCCGAGAAGAGCGGCCGCCCGUGCCACCCCAGCGUCAGGCACCCGUCGGCCUCCUCCACGCAGUGGCCCUCCCCGGAGAAGAGCCCCACCAGCAUCCUCGCCUGCCGCAGUGCGUUGGCCCCCAGCGGCACGCCGGCCAGGCCCGCGCGCCCCAGCCUGUCCCGCCACCGCCGCAGCGGCUCGUGCCGCUCCCUGCGCUCCGCGCCCUCGCCGCACACGAUGUCGCAUAUCUCGCGCUCCAGGUACGCCUCGGCCGCCGCGUCGCCCGCGCCGCCGCUCGCCGCGUCCAGGGAGUCGAACACCGCCGAGUAGUAGAAGAGCGCCUCCGUGAACCGGUCCAGGAACCCCGGCUUAUUGUGGUCCGCCUCCUGCUCCACCACCGUGAACACCCUGGGGCGCAUGGACGACACGCAGUCGAGGACGGCGUCGAUGGGCGCCCGGGCGUCGUCGGCCGCCGCGGACGGGUCGGCGACGAGGCGGUGGAGCUGGAGCACGGAGUUGACGGCGACGGCCUCGCCCUGCGACACCUGCAGCAUCCACGGGCGGAUCUCGUCGAGGCGGUUGGCGGCCACGCCGCGGAAGGAGAAGUGGACGCGCACGGAGCGCGCCAGGUCGGCGAGGCGGACGCCGACGUCGCGGAGGUCGUCGCGGCCGGGCGGGGAGGGCGGGCCAAUGCCGGUGAGGCGGAGGAACGGCGGCCCGCCGGGGCGGAGCGCCAGGGCCUGGAUCAGCGCGGGCCACUGGAGGCCCUGCAUGAGGUUGAAGUCGAUGAUGUGGACGUGCUUGCAGCCCUGGACGGCCUCCAGGAUGGCCUGGUUGGCCGUGAAGUGCGCGAACUUGAGGUAGGGCCCCGCCUCGUAGAAGUGGUGGUAGAGGAAGGCGUGGUCGGCGUCGGCGUCGGCGGCGGCGGGCUGGGGCGGAGGUGGCGACGGCGUGGGAGGGAACAGCCUCCGGGACAGCGCGGCGGUGAAGUGGACGGCGACGCGGCCGAUGCCGGAGCCCGGCGAGACGGCGGCGAGAGCGGCGUGCGCGUCGGCCAGGUGCGCGGACGCGCCCGCGUGGUCCCCGGCCUCGACGGCGCCGGCGCAGCUCAUGAGGAGGUGCACCAGGCGGAUGCCCGCGGCCUCCUCCUCCUCCCGCCGCAUCGCCGCCAGCGCCGCGGCGAAAUCGGGCAGCACCGCGGGCAUCGCCGCGUGCAUGUCCGCCGCCGCGUCCGCGUAGUACGCCACCCCGGCGGCGUCGGGCACCACGGUGGGCAGCGGCGGCAGGGAGACGUCGAGCCCCGGCUCCGCGGGCCACUGGAAGGGGAACGCGCCGCCCAUGGCCAUGGGUCGGUGGUGGGGGAGGCGGCUCGGUGGCGUGGGCGGUGACGCGGUCAGUAGAGUGACGGCGUCGCGCUUGGCGGGCGGUGAGUGAUGUGGAGGGGACUGAGGAGACGGGCGGGCGGGUCGCGGGGGGUUAAGGUGCGGGCAGGUGACGUCGGAAAGGCACGGGGAGGUCGGUUACACGUGGAGAGGCGGGCACGAGCACGGGGCGGGCGGGGACACGUAGGCCUCGGGAAGGAUUCUGAGGCCGGCGAGCGGACCGAGGCGCCGUGGGGGCGGCCUGCUCCUUCUGUCAAUUCCUGUUUCCUGAUCUUGUCUGCGGGGAUCUCAUCUCGGAGUGUGCAAUCUUGUAACCGCACCCAAAUUUUACUCGGAGUACUGUAUGAAGGCAGUAAGACUAGAGAGACUACCGCGCAACCCGUAGGAAGUUUCCUCACUGUCGCUGUACAAACCUUCCUCUCACGUCUUCAACUCGAGAAAGUAAAACAUAAGUUCCACGCACGCGUCGGAUCUUCGCACAGGAAAAUGCUUCGCACACGAUCUAUCAGUAGACCGUAGAGUUGAACACAUAAAUUUUAACGGCUCGUAUUUGUAUAAGCUUUGUGCUUUUAUGAUGGUAUAAAUAUAUAGUAAGGGAAAUUCAAGUAUUUUAUAACCCGCCAACACAUGAAUUCUUUCAUGUACGAGUACCUUGUUAAGCUAGUUUAUUUAUAGAGUGCUAGUUUAUUUGUAGAGUCAAUUUCACCUUAGAUUCUUAAACUAUUCCUGAGAUCUCAUCUAGGUUCAUGGUCUUUUAAAAUGGCCAUCUAGAUCCACAUUCUAAUAAAGAGUGAUUAUGGAGGUCCACAAAUACCCACAUAAGCGUGUUUUGCCUAUGUGGUAAUGUCAACGUGUCAUUUUUUAGAAAAUAUAUGGUAACAAAACUAGGGUAGUACAACAACGAAUAACACAUUUUUCCUCGCACAACAUAGAUUUUCAAAAUUGGAUGAUGAAAAAUCAAGUGUUGAAAGACAAUAAGGUCUUGUUUGUUUGAACUUCUUGGCAGCUUCUCAGUGUGAAAGAAUUAGAAUCUUAAACAAAACAAUGAAAUUCUCGUGCAGCUUUCAAAAAGUCAGAAGCCUAGAAAAGGCUGAGUUUUAUAUGAAAAAGUUUGGUUUUUUAGUUUUUCGUAGCAUUUUGAGUCCAGAAAACUAAACAUAUCUUCUAAAAGCUAUUGCAGGCUUUUCAUAACAAAAAACCAGCAGUAGCUUUUCAAAAAGCUUCAAAAAGCUCCAAAAGUUGCACCUCAAACAAACAGGUCCUAAAACACUGGAUAAAUCUAACGAGUGAAAUUGCAGGUUAGUUUUUAAACUCUAAGCCACUUAUGCUUUUUGGAGUUGUGCCAAACAAACCUGGAACCCUACAUUUUAAUUUGCCUCAACUAUUGGAUAACUCUAACGAGUGAAAUUCUGUUCAUAACAUUUUUAAUGGAAACUUUAUUAGUACUCGCACCAAUGUUGGUUUGCUUCUAGCAACAUUAAACUCUCUACUCUGGCGAAUGAUAAAAGAUACAUGUAGAAAUACAAUUCGGCUAAUGGCUGCUUAAGACAAUAUUUCUCAUGAUAUAUGCUUAAGUUUUACAUUUAUGCACAACAAACCCCCAUUUUUUCGAAGGCAUUGCCAAAGUAGUUAUUUGUAUUACUUUCAUAUAAUUGUAGAUUCAAAUAAUUUAGCUAAGCAUGUUGUUUUCACAUGUAUUUUGUUCUCUAUAGUUUAUCUAGAUAGAUAUGUGAAUCGCAAAGUUAUGUUGGGUAUGAACCCAGUGGUUGGUGGCUUGAUCCAUUCAAAUGUCGGUGACUAUUCAUGAUGGGCAAACUAGCUAGACUUAUAUAUGCUUUAUUCGUAAAGUAGAGAUGCAUAGGGCUUCCUCCUAUCACCCCUAUAUCUUGCCUCCUCGUUUUAGAUGAUAAAGUACAAAUUUUGUUAAAUGCUUUGAGUUUACGAGAUAUUUGAAAGCAAUUCUACUCACUAUAAGUAAUAUGUUCAUUUCUCUUAAUAUUUGCUUGUUUUUUUCCAAAAAAAGAAGUUAAAUGUUCAUUUUCUCCAUAAGCGUUAUCUUUUCUUGGCGGAGAGUUGGAGUUCGUUUCUAGGGAGUAGCUAGCUAGGUGAAUAAAUUUUGUUUUGGAAGAUGCUAGGUGAACAACAGAUGAACUCCAGUUAGGUCACCGGCUAGCAGAGGAGCAUGAGAGACAGCAGCGGCUUGCUCCCUCACCCCUCGCUCUCCCACUCCUGCUCCACGCCUGCUGCUCACCAUGAUUGAUGGUAAUUCUCCCCCUUAUCCUUCCAAUGGAUCUGCCAUCACUGGGUUUUCAACCUGGCAGAGUCUUCAGUGAAAAAAUUGGCAAGCGGUACGGUUUUUCGGUUAACUCUAUUGGGAAACUAGCAAGUUUGGACUUUCUCUUGCUAGUAUCUUUAAGUUGAAAUAAAUUCAGGCUCACUGAGGAAUCUAUUGGAAUCUACCUUCAAUCUGUUAUAGGAGGCUUUGCUAACUGUUUUUUAGUGCAUCAACUGGAUCAACAGGUUUUCAGAUUUGCUGUCUCUUGCAAACAAGUUGGUUUUGUUGUUUUGGGGCUCAACUCUUUUUCUUCGGUGGAUUUCAAGUUGGCUUUUCUUCUCUGCAAUGAUGCUAGCCUUGCGAAAGCUUUAGCAUUCUCCAAGUCUGAUUCAGGGCCCUCUUUCACCUAGGAAGAAGUUCAUUCGAAGAAAGGCAAACUCUCUUUUGCGGAUGUAGCCAGAGCUCCCCCUCCACCUCUCUCGGGAGCAAAUGCAGUUUUCCUGGGAGCUAAUGUUGCUUGGAGGAUCAAGAAUCAUUUGCAACGUUCAAGUUCAUAUCAUAUUGGCUCAUUUCAUUCUCAGUCGAGGCCUUCUGUUUUUCAGAGAAUUUCUUUCCCUCGCAAAUCGGUUUUUCAGCGUCUGGAAUUUGGAAAUUCACGGGAUAAUUUUCAAACUUCAAAAGGUCAACGGGCUGCAUUGGUUCAUGGGUCAAAAAGCCUAGCUUUCACGAGGCCCGGUACUGUUGCAGGGUUUCCCAUUUACCGUCUAAGGUGUUUAUCUCCCAACCAUUCAAGGAACGAUUGUCGAAGCUUGAUUAAGUGCUGGCACUGCAAACAACUAGGUCACGUCCUAAACUCUUGCUCACUUUUUUCACGAUCUCCAAAGGUUGAAGCAAUUAAGUGGUUGCUCAAGGAGCUGUAAAUUUUUUCCCGCUCUCUCGGUUGGCCUCCCAACGCUGGGAGCUCAUGGUUUAGGAACCCCAGGCUAUUGACUCAUGGGCCUAGCACAAUUGGGCCUCCGUGUUUUGCCUCCCUUGUUGAGUUUGGCUACUCUGUACUUAGCAUUCCAAGGGACAUUGCCCCUUCGUCUUCCUCGGCUCCCCCUCCUUCAUCCACACCAAACCCCAGUGAGGAACCUAAGCAAGAAGACGGUGGAGGUGAUCCUGCACCCUCACCCUCGACGAUGGCCUUCCUCAACAUCGACCCCACACCUAUGCUCCUCCCGGGUUUCAACAAAGUCUUGGUGGAAGGCAGAGAGAAGUACAUUAGGGUAGUCACUCCAAGGGCGCGAUAGGGCAACAAUGAUCUCGCAAUCGUCACCGUCUCCAAUCUGCCUCCCGGUGAGAUACCCUUUGCUGACCUCCGCAACAUCAUCCUAUAGCUCUUGGUAGAUGAGUAUGGUUUAGCAGUUAAGGAAGUUCAUAGAUGCCUCUUUGGUAGAGGUCAAGCUAUGUUCAUUUGAAUCGUGUUUCUGAUAGAGAUAUGUUGGUCCAUCAUAGUCCCCAUCAACUCCAUGGAAUGAACCUAGAUUUCAUCAAUCAUAAUAGAGGGGCAAAUGCUUGAAGGGUUGUUUUCAAUACAGAGUGUUGGCUCAUGCUUAUUGGUUACCCUCCAAAUGAUCAUUCUGUUGAGGACAUUUCAGAUGCAAUCAAAUCUUUUGGCAGACUAAUUGUAUGACAGAAAGAUAAUGUCCUGGCAAGAAUCAUUAUCAAAGCUCGCGUGACUGAUCUAGUGGAUGUACCUCACUACAUUAUUAUGUCAGAAGGUGAUAAUUCUGAGGGGGGCAUCCUUAACUGUCCAAUGUGAGAUUAUUCAUCAGAAUAUGUUAGGAGGCCUGCUGCAAGAUGAAGACAUUCCACCUGGUGGUCUUGAUGAUAACUUUGUCUUCCUUGGUUUUGGAGUUAACCAAGUGGAUCAGCAGUUUGAUCAAGAUCCAGCUUCCCUCAGCCACAGGCCUUGGAAAAUAAGGGCAAUGCUGACCAGCUCUUACCUAAUCUAAAUCAGAAUCCAGAUGAUCAUGUUCAAAAAGAGGACCAAGCCUAGGAAGUGGAUAAUGAUCAAGAAGAGGACAUUCAUAAACCUCCUGAAACCAUGAAACUAGAAGUGCAGCAACAAGUUGAGCUGGACCUGCAGCUCAGUCUGCCAGCUCCCCUAGGUUCCUCCUCCAACUCAACCAUUGCAUCCUCAGACACUUCUCCUAAGACAAAUGAGGAAAUCCAAGCUACAGUCCAAUCACAGCAGCAGGUGAAUGGACUUAAUAACCAUAAAGAUGAACAAGCAGAAGAGCAAUUGAAUGCUGAGGUGGUGUUUGCUUUACCUGCUAUUCCUCAAGGACAGGUUGGUCAUAGCAUUGUUGAACCAGUUAACAUCAUGCCCCAGGAAGGUGAAGGGGAUCACAUGGACAUUGAUCAAAAUCAUCACGAUCGCCUCCAAGAGUUGGCUGCUCCAAUCCUUCCAGUUCACAAUCAGCAAAAUCAAAUUCAAGAGUUGGCUGCCCCAGGACAUGGCAAUGAUCCAGUUAUUAAUUUGAACUUGAACAUCAACAUGGCCCUCACCAGCUUUGACAACUUCCAGUCCAUGGAUCCAAAGCCCUUUGAUUUUUUUGGAUCAAUGAUGCCAGCAAUCCAAAGCCUGAUCUCUAUAGGCUUUGGGCCAAACACUUUUCUCCAGUGGGCUGCCCUGAGCAUGUGGUCCAGAUCCCAAGGAUUGGGCCUCUUUCUUUACUGUCAUGCCUUUAUCACCAAACCAGUUUGAAUGGGCUAAGAAGUUCCUAUCUUCUCAGGCUUAGAGAGUCAUGUUAAAAUGCACUGAUUUGUCAGCAAUGAUGUCAUUUUACCCUGGCAGCUGAUUGCCCUGAAAAUGCUGAAGUUAAAUGCUCUCCCCCUAAGGAGUUCAUGGAUAGCUCAUCUGUCAAUGAAUCAUUUGAUACCCCCCUUUUGGAUGAGGAAUCUCUCAAGAUGAAUGCUAACUCUGAUGAAACACCACCUACCAGUACAAGGAAAUCUCGUAGGUCCACUCCUGUGGUGGAAACUGAAACAAGAAGGGGUCUAAGAAUUAGAGACAACAACAAUGACUUUAAGCAUGAUAGUUGUACUAGCAGAAACUGUAUGGUCUGUGCUACGCAACCCCCAGCCAUUCCAGCUGCAACUCUUAAGAACAUUGGUGAAUCUGUGUGCAAAAUAACACCUGGUGUGUUAUCAGCUGAUACCAUACUCAAUAAGAACAAGACCAAGAAACCAGUUGGAGACCAGAAGACUUCAAAGAAGGUGAUCUCCUCUAAGAAGGAAAAGGGCAAGAGCAAGCAAGAAGAUAAUGAUCCCAAUGAAGCAAACAAGAAAGGCAAGAAGUAAUCGGUCACUAUGUGUCCUAGGUGUGUGUAGUUUCAUAGUUCUGGGGACCCAUCUCCCUCUUUUGUUGAUCUAUAUGGAUUCUGGUGGUUUGUGCACCUUAAGGGUGACUUUUAAAACUCUAGUGAACUGGUUUAUCGGUAUGAUGGGAUUUCUUUUCUGUUUGGUCUGGUUCCUCAAAGCCUCUUUGUUGUGAUGUUUUAUUUGCAUUUAGUUGUGUGCUGUGCACCCAGCUUUUUUCCUCGCUUCCCAUGUCUCAUAAAUGAAUCAGAAUCAAAAUAGAAGAACCUGAACAGUUCUAUACUGGAACAUAAGGGGAAUCAAUUUAGAAGGCAAGUGGGAUACCAUUAGAAGCAAAAUUAUUGAAUAAAACAUGAUGUUGUAUGUUUACAGGAAACUAAAAAAGGAAUUCUUUAAUGCUCAGUUCAUUAAAAAAUUUUGUCCACACAGCUUUGACUCUUUUCAAUCUGUACCCUAUGUUGGAGCUUCAGGAGGAAGCAUCAUUCUAUGGAAUAAUCUGAAAUUUAGUAGUCAACUCACUUUUCAAAACAAUUAUGCUCAGUCAGUGGAAUUUCAGUGUCAACUAUCUGGGAAAAAUUGGAUCCUAACCAAUAUAUAUGCUCCUUGUACUCCUGAAGGGAAGCUGGUUUUCCUAGAUUGGUUUAAACAAAUUGAAAUGCCUGAGGAUUUCACAUGGCUUAUCGUUUGUGACUUCAACCUAAUUAGAUCUCCAAGUAAUAGAAAUAAACCGGGUGGGAAUAUUCAAGAAAUGCUGAAAUUCAAUGAAGCAAUUAGCAGACUGAGACGGGUGGAAAUACCUCUUAAAGGCUAUAAGUAUACAUGGACAAAUAAACAACAGAACCCAUGAGAGAACUUGAAAGGUUAGGAAUAGAGAUAAAAUCCCAUGAGCCAAAAAUGUCACUUCAAGCAAUUCAAAUUAAGCCAACCUUGCAAGAGGAAAUCUUAGACAAACAAUUAGCUGACACAACUAUGCAAACUCUAAAGAAAAAUAUAGUAGAAGGGAAAGUUAGUGAAUUCAGAAUUGAUCAACAGGGUCUAAUACGGUUCCAAAAUAGGUGUGUCUCCCAAAUUAUGCUACACUCAAAAAUAAAAUUUUACAAGAAGCCCAUUCCUCCCUUUACACAAUCCACCCUGGGAGCACAAAGUCUGCUCAUUUCCUACCGGUUAAAAGAACAUAUUCCUUAAAAAAAUAUGCCAAGCUUUAUAUCCAACAAAUAGUAUCUUUGCAUGGGGCCCAAUAAAAAUUGAAUCUGAUAGAGAUCCUCGUUUUGUUUCCGUUUUUUUGAGAAGCUUACUUAAGUCACUUGGAACAAAUCUAGAGUUUAGUACAACAUAUCAUCCCCAAACCGAUGGUCAAACGGAAAGGGUCAACUAAAUCAUAGAGGAUAUGCUUAGAGCUUGUGUUCUUGAAUUCAAGGGAGCAUGGGAUGAAUAUUUACCUCUAGCAAAAUUUACUUAUAAUAACAACUACCAAGCUAGUAUUCAAAUGGCACCGUAUGAAUCUCUGUAUGGGAGAAGAUGUCGAUCACCUAUUUGUUGGGAUGAAGUUGGAGAAAGGAAAAUGUUAGGACCUGAAAUAAUACAAGAGUCUGAAGACAAAGUAAAAGUCAUCAGAGAACGAUUGAGGAUAGUCCAAAGUAGAUAAAAGAGCUAUGCCGAUAAUAAAAUAAGGAAGCUUGAGUUUGAUAUAGGAGGACUAGUAUGUCUAAAAGUGCCACCAAUGAAAGGAGUAAAUAAGAAACUAAGUUCAAGAUAUAUAGGACCAUUUUCAAUUAUUGAGAAAAUUGGAGAAGUGGCAUAUAGACUAGAACUACCAGAUUCACUUGCAAGAAUUCAUAGUGUGUUCCAUGUGUCAAUGCUCCAAAAAUACCUUCGUGAACUAGAAGAAUAUAUUGAAAUACCAAGAGAACAACUACAAGAAGAUUUAACCUAUGAAGAGUAGCCAACACAUAUCCUUGAUACAAAGGAGAGAGAAACAAGACGUAAGACCAGUCGAUUCUUCAAGAUUCAGUGGAGCAAUCACUCAAAAGAUGAGACCACAUGGGAACAAGAAGAGGAUAUAAGGAAAACCUAUCCAUACCUAUUCCAAAUAUGAAGGUAUAAAUUUCGAGGAAUAAAUUUAUUAAGGAGGAAAGACUGUAAUAAUCUAAAAAAUGUAAAUACAUAUGGACCAUUGUGUAAUGUUUAGAUAUUAGACUGCAGUUUUGCUCAAGCCUGCAACUGCAAAAUCGCAAAACCAAGUCCAGAACUGUGUUGAAUAGUAUAUACGAUGUUUGUGCUGUAGCAAUAAAAUAAAUUAAGGGAAAGAAAGGAGAUAAGAAGGAGAUGUAGCUUGCAGUAGUAAAAAAUAAUAAUAAAAGAAGGUCCUGGACACUAUAAGCUUCCUUAGCUCCCACGUAUCCCAGCAGAUAGAGAUUAGAAAACUCAACCAUGGUAGAAAUUAACCCAACCAUGAUCAAGUCUUGCAGUAUAUAUACAGCCCUCUCCUCCACUCACAGUCUGCACAAAAAAUUCUCAAAAACCAAAGCACAAUAGGGUUGGGAGAGAUCAAGGGAAAUCUGAGGUUUGGAAGUAAUCUUGUUGCUAAAGUAUGCACCUUUAACAGAUUUACUUUCUUACUGCUCUUGAUUUCUGUUCUUUUCUCCCUGUUCCUGCUAGUUCUCUUAAGUCCCAUACAUGUCCAGUACUAGUGCUUGUUUGUGUAUAGCCUUUGCCUUGCUUCCCGUAACAAGCUGAGUUAGUUAAACUACAUGUUCCCAGUCAUGCUUGUAGUAUUUUAAUAUAUAUAGUCAAUCACACACAAGGGCACACCGUACUUGGCAACUAAAUUAACUAAACAUUGUACUUACAUGUUCACUGAUAAAUGAUGUUAGUUGAUGAACCAUGGUCCUGAUGCCAGCAUCAUUGCUUCCGGCAAGAACUUAGUACUCUGGAUGAAUGCAUGAGUUCAGAGCUCUGUAAUUAGAAUAAAAUAACCGAAGAAAACAUGUUUGACCUUACUAAAAUCUGAUGACUAUUUUACAUACAAAAGAACAUCUAUAUAGAUUGUCACACUUGAUGUUGCUUGAACUGAACUGAUGAAUACAUGCACAUGGUAUUGAUCUAAAUAUUACCCAGUUUGUAGUAUUGAUGAAUAUGUGCCCACUUGAUGAAAUGUCAACAUUUAAUAAUUACUCUCACUAAUUAAGUUGAAUGCUAAAGACUGUAAUAAUUUAAUUGAAACUCAUCCAAUAUGUUAGGUCCUGAUUGCAAGGAGGACAAGGAAGAACACAGUGAACCAAUCAAGGCAAGCUGCGCAUAUCAGAACCUAUUAAAUCAUGACAUAUGUAACUAAAUAUGAGAUGAUAAUUAAAAACUGAACUCUAGUCAUCAUAAUUUGGGAAAUGAAUUGUUUAUUACUUAGCCUGGGACAACCAAUCCUUAAAACUGUGAUAUGCAGCAAGGCUGGUAUCUGGGUGAGAUAGGCAUCCUCACUCAAGUAGAGGAUAUGAUGUAGGUUUCUCAAAGAUGGGGUAAUACUAUAAGGUGGAAAUUAUGGUGGCUUAAUGAAUACUUCUCCGUAGAGAAAUACUAAAGACUAUGAACUAUUAUUGUCCCUGUUUAUCUUUUAAUGCCAACUCUCCUGUGGUAAGUAGGAACAUAUGUUCAGAACUUAACUUGCUGAGUAUGGUAACAUGCUCAUUUGCUUGCUUGUGUUUUACUGAUAUGCGUAGAAAUGAAAGAAGAGGAAGGUGUGGUCGGGAUAGGGAGUGAUGACUAUGAACAACAGUAGCUGUAGUUUAGUUUCUAUCACAAUAAAAUUGGUGAUUAGUACACCAAUGCAACUCUUGUAUGCUUGGAAUCAUGAAUAAAGAAUGAAUGUCACUUUAGUUAAGAUGAAACUACUAUUCCAUAUUGCCUUGUACCCUUAUGAACUGCAAGUGUUUACAAGUGUACGGCGGCUGCCAUCUCCAAGUUUAUGUUUAGGGUGUGACAACUAUCAGAGAUGAAUUUGGCCAGGAACAUAGAGGACAUGAGGAAAAGGUAAAUCUCUUGUGAAAUGCCUACAAAGACACGAUGGGAACUACUGAAUUUACACAUAUGUACUUUGAUUUGGAUGAUCUGCUUGUCCCAAAUCAAUGAGUUAAACUAGUUGGAGGAACCCUUCACUAAGGAAGAAAUUGACAAAAUUAUUGCUGAUCUCCCAAACAAUAAGUCACUUGGGCCGGAUGGCUUUAAUCGGGAAUUUUUGAAAAAAAAACGCUGGCCUCUAAUCUCACAAGAAUUUUAUGAUCUUUAUGAACAAUUUUUUGAUAGAAAUAUAUGUGUGAGAAGUAUUAAUAACUCAUACAUGACAUUGAUACCUAAGAAGGAUCGCCCUUUAUUUGUUGGGAUUUUAGGCCAAUUUUGCUCCUAAAUUCAUCCAUCAAGCUAAUCACCAAAAUCUUAGCAGACAGGCUGCAACAAUUGAUUCUCAGAUUAAUCCACCAAAAUUAAUAUGGAUUAAUUAAAAGCAGAUCCAUCCAAGACUGCUAGUAUGGCCUUUGAAUAUCUACACAUUUGCAAGGCUUCCAAGAAGGAGAUAGUGAUCCUAAAACUUGAUUUUUGAAAAAGUCUUUGAUAAAAUUGAGCAUCAAGCCAUUAUGGAAAUUCUCAAAUACAAAGGAUUUGGUGGUUGAUGGAUUGGUUGGAUUAAAGACAUAUUGAGCUCAAGAACCUUCUUCAUUAUUCUGAAUGGUGUACCAGGGAAAGUAUUUCACUGCAUAAAGGGUGUCCGACAAGGAGAUCCCCUCUCACCAUUACUCUUUGUCCUUGCUGCAAAUUUGUUACAAUCCAUAGUUAACAGAGCCAAAGACCAAGGUUUGCUCACAUUGCCUAUCCCUAAAAAGGCUGGUGAUGAUUUUCCAAUUAUUCAGUAUGUUGAUGAUACUCUACUAGUUAUGGAAGCCUGUCCUCAGCAGUUGGCAACCCUUAAAGAAUUAUUAAACUCCUUUGCUAAUUCUACUAGGUUAAGGGUUAACUACAGCAAGUCAGUCAUGGUACCACUGAACAUCUCUGAAGAAAAAUUUGAAAGCCUAUCGGUCGCAUUUAAUUGUCUCAAAGGCAACCUCCCAUUCACAUAACUUCGUCUUCCUCUAGGGACUACAAAGCUAGGCAUAGAAGAAUUCCUACCUCUGAUUCAGCGAAUUGAAAAAAAGGCUUACAUGCACCUCGACAUUCCUCACCCAAGGAGGAAAAUUGGAAAUGGUCAAUUCAGUGCUUUCAUCAUAUGUAGCUUUCUACAUUUCAACCAUGAGGCUACACAAAGGAGUCAUCAAGUAGAUAGAUAAAUACAGGAAACAUUGCUUAUGGAGUGGGGCGGAUCUAAAUUCAAAGAAGCCGGCCAAAGCUGCUUGGCCUAUGGUCUAUGUACCAAAGAAGGAAGGAAGACUAGGAGUCAUAAAACUCUCAGUUCACAAUGAUGCUCUUCUACUCAAGUUCUUACACAAAUUUUUCAACAGGGCCGAUAUCCCUUGGGUUUACUUAUUAUGAGGAAAUUACUAUUCCAAUUGUAAACUGCCUGGAUAAUUCAAAAAGGGAUCCUUCUGGUGGAAAGACAUUAUCAAGCUCCUUGACUCCUUCAAAGGACUUGCUUCUGUUGUUAUUGCAGAUGGCUCCACUGUCUUCUUCUGGACUGACAUCUGGAAUAACAUUGUACCCUUAAUGGCAUUCCUAGAACUUUUCUCUUUUGCCAAGAACAAGUUCAUCUCAUACAAGACUAUUGCAAAUCGGCCAAACCUUAUUCGGAACUUUCACUUACCUCUCUCAAUUCAGGCGCAUCAACAAUUUCAUGAACUGGAGGAGAUAUUACUAAGUAAUUUGCCAUCGACUGAUAAAAAUCAGUGGCAAUACAUAUGGGGUAAUCAUAACUUCUCAGCAUCAAAGGCAUAUAAAGCUCUCAUUGGACACGGUUCAUCCAACCUUCCUAUGGAUAUGGAGAUCAAAAUGCCAAAUGAAGCAUAAGGUGUUCUUCUGGCUAUUUCUCAAGGAUUGACUCAGUAGAGACCUAUUAAGAAGGAAAAACAUGGCUCUAGAUUCGUAUGUGUGUGGACUCUGCAUCCUCCAAAGAUUGCAAACUGUUACCCACCUCUUCCCAAGGUGCAAUUUUAUCAUCUUGAUAUCGUGGUGCAUCUGGACGACUAGGAAUGAUUGGUUGUUCAACAAUGAAGAUCACUCGGUUGAUUCCUGUAGAAGGAAAUACGAAUUCUCUCUUGUUAUGCUAAGAGUAAGCCUAGUUCUGAACCUGCCAUGUCAGCUUGGAUCGAUAGUCUGUAAUUUUCCUUUGGCUAUUUCCCUUUUUUUUCAUGUUUACUUAAUUUUUAGUCUGUAACUUUAAAAGUAGUAGGGGCUUGCCCCUCCUGUUCCUUAAAAAAAAUCAAGAAUUAACUUAUGUCGCGAGUAAGGAGUAAUACUGAAAACCCUAAAACCAAUACACAUGGGUUCUUUUUUCCCCCUUUUUUGUGCGCUCACUUAUCAGAAUUUUGGUCAUACGGGUCCAGGGGCACGUCAGGGCGUCGAGGUCGUUAGCCUCGGAUGCAGCCGUGGUCCUAAAAGGGCAGAACAGAAAUGAGGGGGCUGGACCCAUGGAUCAGGUGGUCCGGAAUGCGUCGUUGCACGGGGGUACCCUCCUGUAACAAGAAUUUGCCGAUAGGCGAACGCCACCCGUACUUAACCUCCUGCAAAUGCUUGCAUUAUCCUCAAUAAGGAAUUAAGGAUCCCUUGCAGCACUGCCGAAAGCACAAGCUCACCUAAUCAAGCUUAUGUAGGUUUUGUCAGUUUGGCACCCAUGGAACACGCCGUCCGUACCCCAGCAGGAGCACAUGGCACCAACCAAAAUGAUUUCAACAACCGUUUCCACAUCUGAAAAUCCGGCCACGGGAGAGACCUCUGAAACUGGCAAGACUUUACGCAAAGCUUCCCGUCGAGGACGGCUCCGAAACUGUGAAAUGUUUCCGUCUGCGAGCUGGAUCUCGAGCGAUGGGGAGGAGGAACGUGCGCUCUGAAUAUUUUUUGCACCAGGCAGGUGACGCCCCGAUCGAUCGAACGGGGGCGGGUCGCCCUCGCCCUCUUUCUUUCUCUUCCGGAAAACGAGGCCCGCUCGAUGGGGUGGCGUAUGGCAAGCGAGCAGGCUGGAAGAUGCUCCCGUCUGCGUCGAGGCGGCGAUGGUCCCCGAGACCUUUGCGUUCUGUGCUGCACGGCCGGAGCGGUCCUCGUUUGUUGGUUCAGUCGGUUGCGGCUCCCUUUCUGCUGUGAGAAACUUUUAGUUUUUUCUUUCAACAAUUGUAUUGCCUGAGAGGGUAACAGACGGUUUGGUUUGUAAAAGUUUCAGGGAAGAGCAGGGGUGUGUUAGAUGUGCUAAGUCUAUCAACUUGCCGUAAAAUCGUGGUGGCGCUUCCAACCUGUCCGUGAGCGGUCGCCAUCGGUUUUGACAAAGCGGCAACCUGCUGACUGUGAUGAGAUGGAGAGGCGCUAGAAAUGAAGAGAAACCUCCUUCUAUACUGAGAGGAUAGCUGCAAGCUGCUAAUUGUCUCUCUGAAAUGUAUGAAUUAGAAAGCACCAUCACCUGCUAAAGAUUUGAAAACGCGGUUGCGUUUAUAUAUAUGAUUUAUACGAAAGAGCGCUCAUCACGUGCGUGUGCGCGAGAGGAUGAGGUUAAUUAUUUGAGCUGUGUUUGCUUUCCUGUGUAUGUGGGAGGAAUGCAUGAUAAGGAUUUCGUGAGUUCACUCUCAUGUUCCAAACAUAUAUUUUGUACAGAAAAAGAAAAUCAACGAUUAGGAAAUUUGAACUCUCCAAAACUUUUCAGCGAAUGUUGUGCAUAAAGGUGGCCCUUAGGGUGUAUUGUGUGCAAUAUUAACAUCGCAAGAUGGAUUGCGUCAUUUGUAUCAUGCGUUAAUCGACAUUGUAACACUAAUGGCAUACGGUUGCACAUUAUAGCUACGAUGAAACAUGGAGUGCAGGAUGAAACAGAUCAGCUCAAAUACAUUGUGCAUGAGUCGAUGACGAUACAAAAGUUGAAAAACUCAACUCCAAGACGCAGAGCUAUGCAGGGUCGACGGGUUUCAGUCGUGUCCACGAUAAUCAGAUAUUCAGACAGUGGCAAUACGGAUUAUCAGAUAUUCAGACAGAGGCAACACGGAUUGUUGGUUCAACGUCCUAAAUCAGACAGAGCUUAUCGGUCUGUGUGCUGUCCAUUUCCCUGUGGUACUAGUACUGCUACUGUACAACAUCACCAGAAAAAAAUACCUACUGGCAGCUGCCAGCGGCGAGCACGAGUCACCGAUGAGUAAACGAGGCAGCGAGCGAGUGAAAGCAUGACCAGACAAAAGCAGCAUCGGCGGCGGUGCUAAUCCGAAUAUUAGCAGUAAGUAUCACUCAACCUGCUGUUACUGUGAGAAAAGCGCGUGUCCUAUCGGAGUAGUAACAUCAGAUUAGGUGCCGAGUUACCAUCACGGCGCACGACGCCAUUGGUGUGGUCAUCCAUCGAUCCGUCCAUGCUUUAAUAAUGAUACGAACAGUUCUAGCUUAAGCUAGGGAUUUUUUUCAAGAGAUGUGACCUUCAGUCGUCAGAAGAUUGGUCUCUGACUCUCUGGUUAAGUCAUUCACCCCCCUUAUUCAGGCCUUUUCUUUUGCAACUAACGAAAGUGAAGUAACUUACGGGGCGUUUUCUUCUCGUGUCUUAUUUUUAGCACGUGUCACAUCGAAUGUUUAGAUACUAAUUAGGAGUAGUAAACGUAGACUAUUUACAAAACCAAUUACAUAAGUGGAAUCUAAACGGCGAGACGAAUCUAUUAAGCCUAAUUAAUCCAUCAUUAGCAAAUAUUUACUGUAGCAACACAUUGUCAAAUCAUGGACUAAUUAGGCUUAAUAGAUUCGUCUCGCCGUUUAGAUUCGUCUUAUGUAAUGGGUUUUGUAAAUAGUCUACGUUUAAUACUCCUAAUUAGUAUCUAAACAUUCGAUGUGACGGGUGCUAAAAUUUAGCAAGUGGAAGAAAACAGGUCCUUAGUCGCAUUUCGACUUCAAUGCUCAAGAAAAAAGAUUCGUAUCCAAAUUCAUAUAGAAUGCUUGAGAGCCCAUGGAAGCUUCCUUUCCCACCCGUGUUACCCUUUUGGAAUAUUUUCAAGUCUUGCAUUUGAGUAGAAUUCUAAGUGCCUGGAACAAUCCAAUCUCGUGUUCUGUAUAUAUGCAUUACGAAGUGAGGUUACAAAGAGAGUUUCUUUAUGUCUCUGAAAAGGUACCAGAGUUAAUUAUAACACAGAAUUGAUACAGUUUUUAUUAUUUUUCAUGGAAUGUAAAAAAAUCCCACCUACGAUAGCCACUGAAAUAUCCAAUUUGCAGUAAGGUUUCACCAAAAAAAAAAGGAAAAAGAAAAU